GUCAGCAUCAUAUUCAUUGCUGUAAGGUUCUGUAAUCCAAGCGUGACAAUCAAAAUAAUGCUUCACAUAACUGCUGUUGUAAGCCUCUCCGGCGAAAGCCGUCUUGUCCAACCCAAUGCUAUCAAGUAUGGCCACCACUGAAAGCUGAGGUGGUCCCUCAAUGUUAGAGCAGCUCAUUAUGCUGAACAGAAGAAGGUGAAGACUAAGAUGAAGAAAAUACAGAGCAAGUUACAGGGCAAGUGUGUCAGCAGUGCCAGCUCAGCUAACAGCUCAGCAGAUUAGUUAAAGAUGGUUGUAAGCAUGAUGUGCAUUGUACUGAAGUUAGUUAGCUUUGAUUACAGUUAGUCUUUGGAUUAGUUAAAUGAAGUUACCGUGAUUGCAUUGUAUAUAAACAGGUGAUGCUUUGUAAUUAAAUGUUAAGCAAAAUAAAAAUCAAAGUUUGUUAAGGAAAUAUCUCCAGAAUUAUCAAUUCAUUUUCUUAGUAACCAAACAACUUUAUUUCAUUUUCUUUCAGUGCGGAGAGGCCGAAAAUUUGCUGGAGGGAUACCAAUUAAUUUGGCAGAUUUCUGAAGAGCGAAAUGUGUUUGAUCGGAGGCAUAAACAACCAACUUAGUAAUGUUGUCAAAGCCUCCUCCAAGUUUUUCCAAUGCUUUGUCUCUUGCAGCUGCCAGAGUGCAAACGAGGGAUUCACAAGUGCUUCCGUGCAGGACACCACCACCUGUUCCGGAAAACAAAAAUGAAGAAGGAAGCUUGAGCAUUUUCCCCAUCCAAUCCAUCACAAUGGAUUCGAGUUCAGUUGCUACCGGAGAAGCGAGCCAGUUGAAGCCAACCACGUUGAACCCUGAACAAAGCAUCUCACCAAGAAAGCCAGCAGUGCUUGCAUUUGCUUGGAAAUAACCAAAGAAAUUGGGGCUUUGCCAGUGAGUGAGGCCAGGUAAGAUGCAGUCGGUGACAUCUUUUAGAAUAUCAUCCAAUGACUCUGGGGAAUGCGGGGCUGUGUCAGGCAACCGAGCCGACAAAUAACCAGGCUCUACUUUGCUUUGAACAGGGUAUUUCUCGAUGUUUUUGUAAUAAUCAGCAAUGAAAUCGAUAACAGCUUUCGAUUCGUCAGAGAAGCUCUUUGGCAUUACUCUUAACACAUGAGGCAAGAAUGGAACAAAAUCAUAAUACUAAAGAUCUUUUUAGUGCAAACUAUGGGAUGAUGAAUGCUAACUACUCUCAGUUUAGAGGAAAUAAUAAGAGAGGUGGUUAUAGUGGAUAUCAAGGGCAAUUUAAUGCUGGAAAUAGGAAUCAAAAUGGAGGAAGAGGAAUGUCUUUCAAUUCAUUCUCAAGAGGUUUUCCAGCUGGUGGAUAUACUGGUAAUGCUGGUGGCAGAGGACAGCAAAUGAAUGCAUAUGCUUAUAAACCUGUGCUUAACAACAGGCAUAAUUUCAAUGUGAAUCAUGGCUCAACUUCAAUGCCCAAUGGAAAUGGAUCUGAUGAUAAUGUGCUUAUCUGUCAAAUCUGUCAUAAAGCUGGACAUGCAGCUGAUGUUUGUUGGCACAGACACUUUGAUGGCUAUGCUCCUCAACCCAGACAAUUUGGAAGGGGCAGAGGGCAUAAGUCUGCUUAUAUGGCUAACUUUGAUCCACAAAUUGGCUUUACUUCACAAUUUGAAGAUUCGUUUGCUACAGAAUAUCCUGGUUAUCAUGGGUACCAUCCACCUGAUAUGAAUGCAUCAGUUGCAUCAGUAAGUCAUCACUCAUCUGAUAUGCAUUCUGUACCUGGAGCAGCUUAUAUUGCAAAUUUUGAAGGACCAGCUGAUGAAGGGUGGUAUCUUGAUAGUGGAGCUACGCAUCACAUCACUAACAGCAUGGCCAAUAUGCAUAUCAGAGAUCAAUUCACUGGAGCAGAUCAGCUCAUUAUUGGAAAUGGACAAGGUUUGCCCAUAACUCAUGUUGGUGAUGCAUCAUUUCUCUUUAAAAGUUCCAAUUCUACACACAAACACUCACCUAUAGUACUUAAAGAUAUUCUGUUGGUGCCUUCCUCUCAGUUAUCAUCAUCUUUUCUUUCUCAUAUGUGUUCCAAUAAACCUUUGUCUAUGCUUUCUUGUUGUUGUUUCAAUUCUGUUCCUUCUGGAGUAUUUACAGAAUCUUAGAAAUCAUGUAAUCAAACUGAUGAUUCAUCUUGUAAAACUUCAGUUAAUAAAGCUAUUUUGCUUCAUAGAAAGUUUGGUCAUCCCAAUCAUCAAAUAUUAACUCAUAUACUCAAAACAGCAAAAUCUAUUCAUUUACCUGCAUAUCAAAAGCAACAAAUGCAUCAGUACAUCUGUGAGGCCUGUCAAAUGGGCAAAACACAUAAACUUCAUUUUCCAAUUACUGAAACCAAAACCUCCAAAACUCUAGAACUUAUACACACUGAUUUAUGGGGUCCUUCUCCCAUUAUUUCUAGAGAUGGUUAUCAGUAUUAUAUAAGUUUUGUAGAUGACUACAGCAGGUAUACAUGGAUUUAUCCUUUGAAGCUAAAGUCUGAGGCAUUAGAAGUCUUUAAGCUCUUUAAACUGCAGGUUGAAAAUCAGUUUAGCACAACCAUUAAGAUGAUGCAAUCUGAUUGGGGGGGAGAGUAUAGACCAUUCACUGAGUUUUUAAGCCAAUUUGGUAUCAUCUUUAGACAUCCUUGUCCUCACACUCAUCAUCAAAAUGGGUUAGUUGAAAGGAAGCAUAGACAUAUUGUUGAAUUGGGUCUGACUCUCUUAGCUCAAGCUCAACUUCCCUUUAAGUUCUGGUGGGAUGCAUUUCAUACUGCUGUAUAUCACAUCAACAGACUUCCAUCUCCUGUUUUGCAACUUUUAACCCCAUAUGAAAAGACAUUCAAACACAAACCUGAUUAUGAUUUUCUCAGAUGUUUUGGGUGUUCUUGUUAUCCUUACUUGAGAGAUUACAAUAAACAUAAAUUUGCCUACCAUUCUAGUAAGUGCAUAUUCAUUGGUUACAGUCCUUCACAUAAGGGCUACAAAUGUUUACACCCUUCAGGUCGAGUCUAUGUGGCAAGACAUGUUACCUUUGAUGAAUCAGUUUUUCCUUAUGCCACUGAGUUUGUUUUUCAUAGUCAUGCUAAAACUGAUUCUCAAAUUUCUCAUUCCCAUACACCACAGCAAAUCCAUCAUAUCUCUUCUUUGCCUGUCAAUAACAGCACUGGUAAUCUGAACUCUGUAAGAUCUGGAAGCAGCAGUUCAAGUCACUCAGAUCAUCUAGAACAGACAGCAACUGAUCAGAAUUCACAACAAGCUACCAUAAAUGACAGGUCACCUUUUCAUACAUGUCCAACAAUUGUUGAAUCUAUACAAAAUAUUCCAAAACCUCCACAUCACUCUUUGCCUAUACAAAGUCACCAUCCUAGCAACACUUCUUUCUAUCCAUAUACACAACCAAAUACACAUCAGAUGAUAACCAGAAGUAAAGCAGGGAUUUUCAAACCCAAAAUUUAUACUGCUGUGCUUACUCACAAGGAACCAGAUACUGUGCAAGAAGCAUUAAAUGAUUCAAAGUGGCUACAAGCUAUGAGGGAGGAAUAUGAUGCCUUGAUUAAGAAUAAUACAUGGACAUUGGUUCCAAGACAAGCUGAUCAGCAUGUGGUUGGAAAUAAAUGGGUGUAUAGAAUCAAAUAUAAUACAGAUGGAAGUGUAGCUAAGUAUAAAGCUAGACUUGUUGCAAAGGGUUUUCAGCAAGUGGCAGGGAUUAACUAUUUUGAGACAUUUAGCCCAGUUGUGAAGUCAGCUACAGUUAGAGUAAUACUUAGCUUGGCAGUGAUGAAUCAGUGGAGAAUAAGGCAAGUGGAUGUCAAUAAUGCCUUUUUGAAUGGAGAGCUAACAGAAGAAGUUUUCAUGUCUCAACCUGAUGGCUUUAUUGAUGCUCAGAGAUCUGAUUUUGUAUGCAAAUUACACAAGUCUCUGUAUGGGCUCAAGCAAGCUCCUAGAGCCUGGUAUGACAAGCUUAAAGGAUGCUUAAUAAGCUGGGGUUUCACUACUACUAGUUCUGACACCUCAUUGUUUGUUAGGAAGAUCAAGACAUCUAUGAUCAUAGUUCUUAUAUAUGUUGAUGACAUACUGAUCACAGGUCCAAAUACUGAGGAGCUGGAAGGUUUUAUAACUGAAUUCAGCAAAACUUUUGCUCUAAAGGAUCUGGGAGUGUUAUCCUAUUUCCUUGGAAUUGAGGUAUUAUAUGAUGCAGAUUGUAUGUACUUGUCACAGAGAAAGUAUAUCAGAGAUUUGUUAUCGAAGGUAGAAAUGACUGAAUGUAAGGGCAUUGAUACACCCAUGAGUACUGGCUCUAAACUGCAAAAGAUAGUUCAGGGGGAACUUGGAUACUAUCUUGAAGAUCCAACUCAUUAUAGGAGCAUAGUUGGAGGAAUGCAGUACCUGAUACUUACCAGACCUGAGAUUGCGUUUGCUGUAAACAAGCUUAGUCAGUAUGUAGCUGCACCAACACUACAACAUCUAAUGGCAUGCAAGAGAGUUAUAAGAUAUCUAAAGGCAACUCAAGAUUAUGGUUUAAAAUUUUUCAGAGAAGGAAGCUUAACACUCACUAGUUUUACUGAUGCAGAUUGGGCAUGUGACUUAGAUGAUAGGAAAUCAGUUGGUGCUUAUUGCAUUUAUUUAGGCAAUAAUUUGAUAUCCUGGUCUUCUAAGAAACAAUCAGUGAUAACCAGAUCAAGUGCCGAGAGUGAGUAUAGAGCUUUGGCAUCAGUGAGUGCAGAGCUGACAUGGUUACAAUCCUUAUUUUCUGAGUUGGGAAUAAGUUGCAUAGAAAAGCCAAUCAUAUGGUGUGACAACAUUAGUGCCACUGAACUAGCAAAGAACCCUGUGUAUCAUUCAAGAACAAAGCAUAUCGAAAUUGAUAUGCACUUCAUUAGGAAUAAGGUUCUUGCUGGUGAGUUGAUUAUUCACUAUGUACCAAGUGAAGAACAGAUUGCAGACAUAAUGACCAAGCCUCUUUCAUUUGUAAGGUUUAACUACUUGAGGUCCAAACUCAAUGUCCAUCUUUGUCCUCUGAGUUUGAGGGGGGCUGUUAGAGCAGCUCAUUAUGCUGAACAGAAGAAGGUGAAGACUAAGAUGAAGAAAAUACAGAGCAAGUUACAGGGCAAGUGUGUCAGCAGUGCCAGCUCAGCUGACAGCUCAGCAGAUUAGUUAAGAUGAAGAUAUACCGGCUUCAGCUUUAGAAGUUUUGAUGCGAUCAAUGAUUUUGGAAUCCAUGUGCUUAAGUUGUUGCAUCCGUUGCUUAAUAUCAGUGAUUCUGCUUUGGAGUCCUUGCAGAGCAUCAAAAAUGUCCUUGCUGCAGCUGCUUUGAGUCUUCUGUUGAGUGAUGCUGUUGAUGAAUGUGUCAAUCACCUUCUCAGAUUCAUACGUAAACCAAUUGAUUUCGUCCAUAACGGUCGCCAGAUCUGGGUCAUGACUUUCCUCCUCCGCCAUUUUUUCGAACAGAAGGAGGGAGAUAUCAUCUUCAAAUUCGCUCAGCCAAGAAGUAACGAUUUCAACCUCCGCAUGAAGGUUCUGAAUAGGUUGUUUUGCAGCAUCAGGCAACGUGACUUCUUCACCAGCUAACACCCUUCUCAGCCUCUCUGAAAAUAGUCUGAAGUUGAUGUGCAUAUCUCCUCCUCUCUCAGAUUCACCCUGAAAUCAGUCCUGUAGCAUGCAAAGAAAUAAUUAAAAGAAAAACAUGCUUUAAAGCUCUCAAUUCAAACAUUAGUGCUGGCUCCCAUACCUCCCUUCUCUUAGCUAGCUCUCCGGUCAAGAAGUUGAAUCAAGAUCGUUGACUCUCAGAUUAUAACAGAUCAAGGAAGAAUCUUACAAUAAUCUCGUCUCCCAUAUGAUCAAGACCAAUUUGUUUUAUACAUCCACUUUUAAGAAAGGAAGGGUAAAAACAAUUCCACUGGGACUAUAAAAGCUUGUCUGAAAAGAAAAGAACGGAGCAAGCACAAGAGCGUUAUCAAUUAUUUAAUAAUUAAUAACUAAGCCGUGGAAAAAUGCAAAAUCAUGUCAGGUGUUACUUGUUAAAUUUAUUGCGAGACUUGCAUGUAUCUAUAUCACAAAUAAAAUUUGUAUCCCAGGGUUAUAAAUGUAAAAUUACUCAAAUAAAUAUGCAUUCUUAAUCAUGUGUGAUGCUGUCUUAUUUCUGAGAAAGUACUAAAUCGUUUGUAAAAUUUUAUAGUUAAUAUAUGUUCAAUUUUCUUUUUAGCAUUCUUUUUUAAGAAAUGAAAAAUGAUAAAGAAUUCUAACAACGGGUGACAAAAAUAAUAAUAAAUUGUGCAAUGUUACAAUGUUAAUUGAAAAAUAGUUAUAAUUUUUUAUUUAACAUUAUAAAUAAAAUCUAUAGUUGUUUUCUCACUACUGUAUCAUUUUUUAAUUCAAAUAUCAGUAUUAUAUGAGCUCUCACCUUUUAGAAAGUAUUAUAUCAUAAGACACUAUUUAUAAUUAUUUUCAUUUGAGCCCUUAGUGUUAAAAAUAUAACAAUCCAUCAAUGAAAUCAAUGAUAAUGGAAUUCUAAGUAGGAAUGGCAGAAAAAUCAAGUCUAGCUAGAGCAUGUUUUCUAAGUAUUCUGGCUGGUCUUGGGCUCCGGCUAAAAAGUUCGAACUCAGCUCGAAAGCCAACAUUGUAUAGUGGGAAUCUAGGACCAAUCACAUGGAGAUGAUUUGUAAAUUUUUGUACACAAUUUUAGUAUGCAUAUCAGAAGAGAGGCAGCAAUCUUAGUUGAUACUUUUAUUUGACAUAUGAUGUAAGAAACGGAACAAAGAUUGUAACGCCACAAAUUUUGCAAUUCAGCAUCCAAAAUAUCACUAGAACUUGCAAGACAAGCUUUAAUCUCUUCAACAAAGGUCGAAUUGCGGGCAGGAACACAAACGCAGAGAUGGGUAUCAAGAUCGCAUUCGAAACGACUGACAGGGAUUGUCACAGUCGGCAUUGCUUUUACAAGUGACUGCUUUUGAUUCCGGUUGAGCAUCAACUGCCGGCAUGGAAAUAUUAAACAACACACUUGCAUAUAUAAAUGCCAAACAAUUAAUUAGCCUAAUGCUAAUAACACGCCUGCAUAUAUAAAUGCCAGCCAAUUAGUUGUCAUAUUAUAGUUAAUUAUGCAUGCAUUAAAAAGAUGAGGAAAAUAAGAUUAAGGAACAAACAUGAGGCCACCAACAGAGUGAUGAAAAAUGUGGAUUUAAGUUUAAGUUCCAUAAUGUUUAUGUAAGCAAAAGUGCAAAACUGAGAGUCUGUGGAUAAUGAUAUUAUUAAAUUUAAUAUGGGUUUGGUUUGCAUAGAUUCAUGAAUUUCUCUAGACAUUAUAUGCGCCGGGGGAGAAUUUAAUCCACUUGACAACUAAAAAAUUCAGAAAUCAAACCUCGAUUUGACAAAUUAGAAAUUUAAAAAUUAAAUUUUUUUCCAUAUGCAUGCUCUCGUUUUUCUCUCUAUCACAGCGGUAUAAUUGGAAUUAUUGUUAUGACAAUUUGAUUCUCUUUUCUUACAUGUUGCAGGAGUCAUGUCCUCCCGUUGAGGUGACAAAAUGACUAUGGAUUGUGCCUGAGUGGAGUACACCACCAGUAUGAUUAUCUCACUCCCUUUCGAGGUUUUGUUGCAGUAAUUUCUCAUCUUUUAUAGGGUACCCUGCUCUUCAUUGCUUCUGUAGAAGUCUUAUGAGCUAAUUGCUUCCGAAUCUUUAAAUUUCUUCAAUGAGGAACCUUUGUUUGGAAAAUUGAUUUUCAUCUGAUCCGAGAAGGGUGCUUUGAAGCAGAGAGCUUACGAAAUGCAGCAUGCAAAAUCAUGACUACAAUGCAGUAGACUAAUUGUUAGCUCACUCUAAGCAAAGGCAACGUUCAUAAAAGAUGAAGAAGAGUUUCUAAUAUUUACCAACAUAACCGAUAGCAAGUGCACAGAAUAGAGUCAUCUGAACAUUCAGUAGCAUAAGAACAACCAAUGUAGCUGCAAAGAUGAGAUGUAAUUACUACUGUGAAGUCGACGAAAGAAUUCCACUAUUUAUCAACAACUAGACUGUAGUAUAAUGGAAAGACCUGCCAAGGAAAGUUUAAAGCAAAACUCAUCCAGAGAAGGCAAGAACAUUAGUAUAGAAGCAGAAGUGCACACAUUCAUAUUUAGGGGUAACGAGAAAUGUAUCAUAAAUCACUUGCUCUAGCACAGUACUAUUUCAUGCUAAUUUUCUUGCUCGUUCUAUGGUUAGGACCCUUUGAGCGGAAAGAAAUCAAAUCACAAUGCUUAUUCUAGCUAGAAACUCCUGAAGUCCAUGCUUGAACCCUGUGUCAAUUGGUCAUAGACUCCAUAUUCUCCCAAAAGUAUGACAUUUUUUUCUUCCACUGAUUAAUGGAACUUAAAACUGUUUUGCCACAAUCUUAGUCAUACAAACCCUUUCUCUUUACAUUUCUUAAGGUCAUCAGACCCAAACCAGAACAUGUUUACUUCCUAGGAGAAAUCUUAAAUAUCUUAAUCAAUACGGAACUGUGUAGUUCAGACAGCAUUCCCUUGGCCAACUAGACGUAACGAUUUGCAAUGUCCUAGUAAGUCUAUGAGUGGAACUAACAGUGCCCUUCCAAUACGGAAAAACAAUCGUCAAAAACAAUUUUUUUACCCCAUCAACCACAUACAGUAUAAGACUGUAGCUGGUUAUCUCAAUAUCGGCUGCCAUUUUGAUUCAAAGAAGAAAUAUUUGAGAACUCACCACAUUGUGCAAUGCGAACCAGAACCUGCCUAAUCACAGGAUGCCGAUCCCAGUUCCAUUUGUCACUACAGAACUUGAAAAAAUCCCAAAGUGCCAAACUUGAUAUCAACCCAACAAGUGCAAGUGGCAUCUGGUAUCUAUAAGAUGGAGACAGAGACAAUGUCACUAGACAGAUGAUACACAGAAAAAAAAACUUGUAAUACAACUAACACACACAAUACUAUGAUUAAAAAAAUAUCUCCAUCAGUUAAAAACUAAACAAUGGAAAGGCGAGACUCUAUGAACUAAUGCCCUGAACCAGCACAAAUACCAAUUCUCCCGGAGUAUUUUAAGUAUUCAUAUAGUUGUUUCAAAGCACAGGAAAAAAAAAAACAACGCAAAAUUGCAAACUCAUAGUGUUGUUAUUUAUCAAUUGAAACCCAGAAAAAAAAAUCUGUAACUUAAUUAUUCAUUUAAGCAGAUUGAAACCCUUACAAACACAGGUAAGCAAAUCAAAAUUAUCAUUAAAAAUCCAAUCAAGGCCACAUAAAUCUAAUCACAUCCAAAAGCAUCCCAAAAUCUCGUUCAAUAUUCAUACACCCACAUACAAAAACCAUUCAAAAAUUUAAUUUUUUUUAACUCAAAAUAAUAACUCAGGAAAGGAAACAAAAUUCUUACAGAGAGCAAGCAAAGAAGAGGAUGAACAAAGAAGCAUAAUUCCUGGCAUAACGUUUAACAUUCUCAUGAACUCUCAACUUAAGGGUGUGUGGGGAAGAUGGAAACGAGUAAGACCCAAGAGCCCCAAUAAACUCACGGGUCCAAGACGGGGUGUUGGCUGAGAAAUCAUCAGUGGUGAGUUUAGCAAAAGGGUUGGCGGUAAGAAGAGAGAUAAAGGUGUAUAAAUAAUGUAAAAGGCUGUGAGUUAUGGUCGUGGCUGUGGCUGUUUCUUUGGUGGAGGCUGUUGUGACGGCGGUGGCCGAUGUCGUGGUGGCGGUGUCAAGGCUUUCGAGGUAGCCGGAGUCGCGUAGCCAUGACUCGAAUGCUGGGUCGGUUACGUUUAGAGAUAACGGGUUGGAUGCGAAUACCUUCCCCAUUGCAAAAAGUUAUCCAAUUUCGGUUGAACGAGGGUCACUAAAUUAUCAAAAUAUUAAUAACUAAUUUGUAACAAAAUUCAUAUGAUAUGAUAUGAUGAUAUAGGCCUUGGUUAGUGGUUUUCUAAACAAUUUAUUAUUAUUAUUAUUCUCUUAAUCAUUCCAAGUUUAAAUUUCGAAGAGGUAGGGGAUAGAAAUAAAUUAUAUUAGGAUUUGUCGAUUUUUCAAUAAAAACUUCAGUAUUAUAUGCUUAAUUGUUUUAAAGAAUUUUCUUUGAGUAUUGUUUUGAGUAAAUAAAUGUGAUUAAUUUAACAUGCUUAAGGAUUUUUAGUAUUUUAAAGACCAUACAAAGUAUAACUUAAUUUUUUAAAUUUAAUAGAUGAGUGUGUAGAACAAUAAAGUAUUUAAAGUAAUUAUUAGAGGAUAAAUAGGCAUAUCCAAUACUUUUAUUUUUUUGAAAAGAAAGUAAAUCUUUCAUAAAUCACAACACCUCAAAUACAACUUGAAUCUCGACUGGAAUAGUUCCUAGCCACAUAGAAGAAGAAUUUCUUCCCAAAGCUAACUUAGCUAGAGAGUGGGCAUAAGCAUUACAUUGACUUGUUAUGUGAUGAACAACUUUUUGAAAAACUUUCAACUGAUUUCGGAUCUCCAGAAUUGUCCAAAAAAUUUCUGUUUUGCUGCUCUUGGUGUUGUUUACAAGUUGAACCACCUCUAAGCAAUCUGACUUAAUGAUCAAGGAAGUUAAAUCUGCUUCUUUUGCCAACUGAAGCCCCCAUUGCACAGUCUCUGCCUCAGCUAAACUGACUGGUCCCUUAAGAUGAAUUUGAUUAAUACCGGCUGCAAUUAUCUUUCCAUUAGAAUCUCUAAUCACUGCUCCCACGCCUGCAAUCUGAUUCUUAGUAUUGAUGGCAACAUCCACAUUAAUUUUGAAAAUAUUUUCAGGGGGAGGGAACCACUUCUGUUGUUUCUCUCCUCUGGGGUGGGCAAUAUGAGAAGGCUUUGUCUUUCUUACUCUUUGAAAAGCUGAGCCUUUACAACAUGAGCAGGGAGGGGACUCCACUUUUGAUGCAUCAUAGAUAGUUUCUUCUCUGCAAAAACUUUGCCCAAAUUUCUUAAGUCUCUUAAAGGCAUCUAUCAGAUCUGCCUUUGCAACACUUUCCACAAAGUAGAAACUUUUCUUCUCAAAAUUAUGCAUCAUAAAAUACAAAACCAAGCAAAAUCAAAUGAACAACCCCAAAUUUGUAAAUCUGGGUAGACAAACAAUAAUAAACCACCACAAAUCUCUAGAUAUGAGUGGAAGAAUACACCACCACAGAUUUGAAAAUAUGAGUGGAAGAACAAAACCACCACAGAUAUGAGGAUCUGAGUGGAGAAAAUAAGUAAAGAAAAUAAAAAAAGAAGGUUUCGCUAGAAAACCAACUCAUAGAGCUGAUUUUUCGGCGAAAGAAGAAGGUGAAAUGUUACUGGAUGUUCAGAGCCUUUUUUUUCUGGAAAGGCAUAUCCAAUACUUUAACUUAUGGUUGGUUGUUUUUUUCACUGAAUUUUCUAAUUUGAAUUGAAUCAAUUACAAGUUGUGACUCGAGCUCAAGAGAGUUGAAGAGAAAGAAAAAGAAAAAUGGAGUCCUUCUCUUGUCCCUUUUAAGUGAAUAUAUUUAGGUUGGGUACCGCAGGGUAGUUUAAUCUUUUCUACUGCAUGGCACCUCUUUACUCAAAUAUCAAAUGAGCUUGCUCUUCACGUGACACCAAAUUUACCAAACUUUAUUUUUUUCCUUGAUUGGCUCGUGUAGGACAGUCGAGGUGUCAUUUGUUUUUUCACCGUUCAACUUCUUAUUUAUUAUUCUUAUACCACAUGUCAGCUUUCAACUAGUCCAUAAAUAUCCUUCAAAUUUUACCUCCAAACAAAUCUAAUAACCUCUUGAAAACAAAAAAUUAAAAAUUUACUCAAUCAUUCAAUGUUAAGGAAAUUGGCCAAGUAAUGGAAUGCUAACAAACCAAAUUAAAUUUCUACAUUUAAUUUUUUUUCUCAUGCAUGCUCUACUAAAAAUAUUUGAUGUGGUGCUAAUGCUCACUGCAAAGUAUAUAUUAGAUGCUCGUGCAUAUACCGUAGGCUAUAGCUAUACAAAAACUUAUACUUGCGUUCUCGAAUGCACACACUUGCACGCAAAAUUCUAUUAUUGAGAGUCGCUGCUUUCUAUAACACGGCCUUUUUCUAGCCUUUCAUUAGACGUGGUUUCAAUUUAUUUAACCAUUAGAGGGACACAUCAGUAGUCACAAAAAUGCCCCUCUAAAUGGCAAUUCUUUUAAUCAUUUUGCUGCCGCUCUUCCUUCCAGUCCCAAGUACAUAGCCCAAACUUCAAUUUUCUCUGGGAAGGUAAUGAAGCGUGGCUUAGUCUCAGUAAUAUGUCUUCCAUAUUCCAUGGAAUGAGCCAAAAGAGGAGUACUUCUAUAGUUAGUAGCAACUAGCAAUCAUAUUGAUUCUUAAAGGAAUUUUCUACAUCAGAUAAAGAAAGAGCAGCAGAGAACAAAGCUGUUAAUCAAUCAACACAUGUAAAGCAGUAUUAGUAUUUCUGCCUUAUUGUAGUGCCUAAGCGGGUAUUAGGAUUUCUCCACAAGAACGUUUACUAAGACAUUCAGCCAAGUGUGAAGUUCAUCAAUAAUUAAUCUUUUCUGGAAAUAAACGGAACAUAUUGAGUGCCAAACUUGCCCAGCCUUUGAAACAGGAUUUCAGAGCAAGCAACAGUGUUGAAGUCAACAAAUUGUUGAAAAAUAAUAAUAAUUAAAAAUUAUAUUUUUAAUUAUUUUAUUCUUAGCAUAGUAAUUCAUUUCUCCUAUAAAUAGUUAAGGAUUUCAUUCAUUUGAAAUCGUCCCAAAAUUGUUAAGCUUAUAAGUUUCUAAGCUUUUGAGGAAAGUGAGAGAAGUGUGUCUGGGGAAUUUAUCUUUCCUGCAGAGUGUGAGAGUACUGGGUAUAUUUGGGUUUCUGGGAAGUGAGAUUCGUUACUCAAAUAUUGUACUCUAUUAAUUGUUAAAUAAACAAUUAUUCUUUCUUGCCUCCGUGGAUGUAGGUUUAAUUACCGAACCACGUAAUUCUUGUGUCCUUUAUUUUUCUAUAAUUAUUUGGUGCGCUUGAUUCCGCAUUCCGCGCACAACAAGUGGUAUCAGAGCCGAAGGUUCUUACUUGGGGGGAUACGGUACUGUUCACGUAUACGGUACUAUUCCCGUAUUCGGCACUGUUCACAUACGGUACUGUUCACGAAUACGGUGGAGACGGCCAUUUAUACUUGGGAGACAGUCUAUUGUAAGUAGUGUAGAUGUAAGUUUAAUUACUGAACCACGUAAAUUCUUGUGUCCUUUAUUUUUCUGUAAUUAUUUAGUGCGCUUGAUUCCGCAUUCCGCGCACAACAAGUGGUAUCAGAGCCGAAGGUUCUUACUUGGGGGGAUACGGUACUGUUCACGUAUACGGUACUAUUCCCGUAUUCGGCACUGUUCACAUACGGUACUGUUCACGAAUACGGUGGAGACGGCCAUUUAUACUUGGGAGACAGUCUAUUGUAAGUAGUGUGUAUUUUUGCAUGUCUAGGAAAGUUCUGUUAACAAAGGCGAUAAGAGUCUAAGGAUUCUGGUUUUUAAUUGGGAUCGAGUUCCUGUCCAGUUUUCUGAGAACUUUCCUGGUGCAUUUAUUCACGCGAAAUUAACAUCAUAGAGACUAUUUUUCAAGUGGAAAUAGUUCGUUGAGAAAAUAGUAGAAGGUGAAACUUCCAGAAUUGGGGAGAGAUCUACCGAGACUAUUUCAGGAGACACUUCAGGUGGGAUGCGAGAUUUGUCAAAUCGCUAUUCAGCACCUGUUAUAGGAGGCCAGAAGAUCGAUGUUGAAAAGUUUGAUGGGAAAAUCAACUUCGGCAUGUGGAGGCGCGAAGUUAUGGAUGCCCUUAUUCAAAUCGAUCUCGAUGUUGUUAUGAAAAAUAAAAGAUGAGUAUCGUCUGAAGCUUUGGUGAGCAAAGAUUGGGCGAUGGAGAAACAAAAGAAGCGUGGUGGAAAGAAUUCUCGAUCCAAAUCGAGAAGCAGAAAUAUAGCUCGAGAUGAGUGUGCCUUUUGUCAUGAAAAGGGCCAUUGGAGGAAAGAUUGUCCAAAGGCUCAAAAGAGAGAUGGGAAGAAACCAGCAGCAGCAAACAUGGCACGGAAAGAUGAGGGCUCUGAUUAUUCACUAAGUAUUACUCCUGCAGCAUACGUGGCUAGUUCGAGCGAGUGGAUACUUGAUACUGGAGCAACUUAUCAUUUGUGUCCUAUUAAGGAAUGAUUUACGGAUUUUCGUAAUUUGGAAUCCGGUGCAGUUGUGAUGGGGAAUGAUCAACCUUAUCGCACAAUGGGGAUAGGAACAAUUCGGCUCAAAAUGUUUGAUGGAAUGAUCAGAGAACUCAAAGAGGUUAGAUUUGUUCCAGCUUUAAAGAAAAAUCUAAUUUCUGUGGGUGCUUUGGAAGCUAAAGGCUACAAGGUUACCAUUGAAGAUGGUAUAAUGAAGUUUACACAUGGGGCUAUGGUGAUUCUGCAAGGGGUUCGGCGUCACAAUCUGUACUAUUUGAAGGGAGGUACAACUGAUGAAGCAAAUGUUGUUGAAGCGCAUAGUGACACCACCAAGCUAUGACAUGUACGACUGGGACAUGCUGGAGAGAAGUCUUUGCAAACUCUGAUGAGACAUGGACUCUUAAAAGGUACCAAAACCUGUAAAUUAAAUUUAUGUAAGCAUUGUGUAGUAGGCAACUGAUGAAGCAAAUGUUGUUAAGGCGCACAGUGACACCACCAAGCUAUGGCAUGUACGACUGGGACAUUAAGAGUCUAAGGAUUCUGGUUUUUAAUUGGGAUCGAGUUCCUGUCCAGUUUUCUGAGAACUUUCCUGGUGCAUUUAUUCACGCGAAAUUAACAUCAUAGAGACUAUUUUUCAAGUGGAAAUAGUUCGUUGAGAAAAUAGUAGAAGGUGAAACUUCCAGAAUUGGGGAGAGAUCUACCGAGACUAUUUCAGGAGACACUUCAGGUGGGAUGCGAGAUUUGUCAAAUCGCUAUUCAGCACCUGUUAUAGGAGGCCAGAAGAUCGAUGUUGAAAAGUUUGAUGGGAAAAUCAACUUCGGCAUGUGGAGGCGCGAAGUUAUGGAUGCCCUUAUUCAAAUCGAUCUCGAUGUUGUUAUGAAAAAUAAAAGACACUUGUAUAAUGAAGAAAUUUAGGAUCGUAUGAAUGAAAAAGCCUGUGGUCAGAUCAGAUCUUGUUUGACCAAGGAGGUGAAAUACUUGGUGAAAGAUGAGGAGUGUGCGGUGACUUUAUGGCGUACAUUGGAGGAGAAGUACCUGGUGAAAAGUCCUGAAAAUCGCCUUCAUGCAAUGAGCCAAGUAUAUGGUUUUCGAAUGAAGCCUAGGGUGUCAAUGCACGAUCAUGUUUCAAGAUUUGAAAAGUUACUUGCUGAUUUGAAGAAUCUUGAUGAAGAUAUUAAGGAUGAAGUCAAGGCUAUAAUUCUGUUACACUCACUACCAGAGGAAUAUAGCCAUUUUGUGACUACUUUGAUAUAUGGGAAGAGUGUGAUCGUCUUUAAAGAUGUUUGCACAACAUUGACUAGCUUAGAGAUUCGGAAUAAUGAUAAAAAUUCUGAACGAGCAUCNNNNNNNNNNNNNNNNNNNNNNNNNNNNNNNNNNNNNNNNNNNNNNNNNNNNNNNNNNNNNNNNNNNNNNNNNNNNNNNNNNNNNNNNNNNNNNNNNNNNNNNNNNNNNNNNNNNNNNNNNNNNNNNNNNNNNNNNNNNNNNNNNNNNNNNNNNNNNNNNNNNNNNNNNNNNNNNNNNNNNNNNNNNNNNNNNNNNNNNNNNNNNNNNNNNNNNNNNNNNNNNNNNNNNNNNNNNNNNNNNNNNNNNNNNNNNNNNNNNNNNNNNNNNNNNNNNNNNNNNNNNNNNNNNNNNNNNNNNNNNNNNNNNNNNNNNNNNNNNNNNNNNNNNNNNNNNNNNNNNNNNNNNNNNNNNNNNNNNNNNNNNNNNNNNNNNNNNNNNNNNNNNNNNNNNNNNNNNNNNNNNNNNNNNNNNNNNNNNNNNNNNNNNNNNNNNNNNNNNNNNNNNNNNNNNNNNNNNNNNNNNNNNNNNNNNNNNNNNNNNNNNNNNNNNNNNNNNNNNNNNNNNNNNNNNNNNNNNNNNNNNNNNNNNNNNNNNNNNNNNNNNNNNNNNNNNNNNNNNNNNNNNNNNNNNNNNNNNNNNNNNNNNNNNNNNNNNNNNNNNNNNNNNNNNNNNNNNNNNNNNNNNNNNNNNNNNNNNNNNNNNNNNNNNNNNNNNNNNNNNAAGUCUUUGCAAACUCUGAUGAGGCAUGGACUCUUAAAAGGUACCAAAACCUGUAAAUUAAAUUUCUGUGAGCAUUGUGUAAUAGGCAAGAAAACAAGGGUUAAGUUUGGUACGGCUAAUCACGAUACUCGUAAGAUCCUUGAAUAUAUUCACAGUGAUGUAUGAGGACCAACUAAGACUGCAUCAAUUGGUGGAAGCCAUUAUUUUGUUACAUUUGUUGAUGAUUUCUCUAGACGUGUGUGGGUGUACACCAUGCGAGGAAAGGAUGAGGUUCUAGAGAUUUUCGUGAAAUGAAAGAAAUUAGUGGAGACUCAAACUGGCAGAAAGAUCAAAGUAGUACGAUAUGAUAAUGGGGGUGAAUAUACUUCUGAUCCAUUCUUGCAAGUAUGCCAGAACGAGGGUAUUAAAAGACAUUUCACGGUGAGACAUACUUCGCAACAGAACAGUGUGGCUGAGCGUAUGAAUCGUACUUUACUGGAGAAGGUACGGUGUAUGUUAUCUAAUACUGGUUUAGAUAAAAAGUUUUGGGUUGAAGCUGUGAGCUACGCAAGUCACUUGGUAAACCGAUUGCCUUCUGCUGCAAUUGGAGGUAAAACUCCUAUGGAAAUGUGGUCUGGAAAGUAUGCACAAGAUUAUGAUUCCCUUCGUGUAUUCGGGUGUCCAGCUUAUUAUCAUGUCAAAGAUGGUAAACUGGAUCCUCGUGUUAGAAAAGCUAUCUUUAUGGGAUUCAAAAGUAGAGUAAAGGGCUUCAAGCUUUGGGAUCUCGAAGACAAAAAGUUUGUGUGUAGCAAAGAUGUCACAUUUGAUGAAGCUUCAAUGAUCAAAGCUUCAAGUUCUCAGCAGGUGGAGAACAAGACCAAAGAGGUAUUGCAGCGGGUGGAGCUUGACGUAACUCCAUAUGUACCAGUUAGUUCUACAUCAAAGAAGAGUUCAACUAUAGAGGUGACACCUAGAGUUGAAGAAGAGGUUGUUUUUUCUGAUGUCCCACAAAAUGAAGAAACAAUUGAUGAUGUAGAUAAUGAUGAUUUUAUAGCAACAAGGAGGCCAAGAAGAGAGAUAAAGAAACCCAGAUGGCUUACUAAAGAUAUGGUGGUAGCCUAUGCACUUCCAGUUAUUGAUGAUGACUUCCCCAACACUUUCGGUGAAGCAUUACGCUGUAGUGAAAGUGAUCAGUGGAAGUUAGCCAUGGAGGAAGAGAUGAAAUCUCUCCAUCAAAAGCAGACUUAGGAACUUGUAAAGUUACCAAAGGGGAAAAGGGCUAUUGGCAAUAAAUGGGUCUACACCAAAAAGCAAGGAUCUCCAAAUCAAACAACUCCUCGAUACAAGGCAAGGCUCGUGGCAAAAGGUUUUGCUCAAAAGGAAGGUAUUGACUACAAUGAAGUUUUCUCUCCAAUUGUAAAACAUACUUUCAUUCGUAUCCUACUUGCCUAAGUUGCAGAAUAUGAGUUAGAGUUGGCUCAAUUGGAUGUUAAGACGGCGUUCUUGCAUGGAGAUUUGGAGGAGGAAAUCUAUAUGAUUCAGCCUUGUGGUUUCAGAGUUACUGGAAAGGAGAAUCAUGUGUGUAGGUUGAUUAAAUCUUUGUACGGACUGAAGCAAUCGCCAAGGCAGUGGUACAAAAGAUUUGAUCAAUUUAUACAAAGGCAGAAAUUCACCAGAAGUGAACACGAUCAUUGUGUUUACUUUAGAAGACUACCAGAUGAAGCUUUCAUCUAUUUGUUACUCUAUGUCGAUGGUAUGCUUAUAGCUUCGAAGAAUAGAGAUGAGAUCGAAAGAUUAAAGAAGCAGCUGGCUUCUGAGUUCGAGAUGAAAGACUUAGGUGAUGCACAGAAAAUACUUGGGAUGGAGAUUCGUAGAGACAAGAAGAAUGGGAGCGUAUGGUUGACUCAAAAGUUUUAUUUGAAGAAAGUGCUAGAAAGAUUCGGUAUGGAUGACAAAAUUAAAUCGAUAUGUACACCUCUAGCUCCUCAUUUCAAAUUAAGCUCUUAUUCAUGUCCUAGAUCUCAAGAGGAGUGCGAUUACAUGGCUCAUGUUCCAUAUGCUAGUGCUGUGGGUAGUCUUAUGUAUGCUAUGGUAUGCACAAGGCCCGAUAUAUCUCAAGCAGUGAGCAUGGUUAGUAGAUACAUGCAUAAUCCGGGUAAAAAUCAAUGGCUUGCGGUAAAGUGGAUUCUCUGAUAUCUAUAUGGGACAGUUGAUGUUGGGUUAUUGUUCAAGAAGGAUUGUGGUCAAUAAUGUGUUGGGUAUUGUGAUUCUGAUUUCGCUAGAGACCUUGACAAGCGAAGAUCAACAAUGGGCUACGUAUUCACAUUGGGUGGAGGUCUGGUUAGCUGGAGGUCGAUUCUACAAUCGACAAUUGCUCUAUCCACUACGGAAGCAGAGUAUAUGGCAGCAACUGAAGCUGUAAAAGAAGCUAUCUGGUUGAAAGGCUUAUUAGGUGAUUUGGGAGUAAUCUAGGAGAACAUUGCGGUCUUCUGUGAUAAUCAAAGUGCGAUAUUCCUUGCGAAGAAUCAAACAUAUCACGCUUGGACGAAGCAUAUAGAUGUGAAAUAUCAUUAUGUGAAAGAGAUUAUCGAGAGCGAUGUUGUGUUGUUGAGAAAGAUCGAUACCAAAGAUAAUCCAUCAGAUAUGUUGACCAAGGUAGUUUCUGGAGUUAAGUUUCAACAUUACUUGAAAUUAAUUCAAAUCCUUCGAUUGUGUUAAGAUAUGUCCUUCGGGAAUUUUGAACUACGGUUGGUUUGAUCCCAAAUUUUAGAUACGUAGGCAGUCAUAGAGAUGCAACCACUUUGGGGAUGAUGGCUUGUUGGUAGUCGACUCAAAUUUGAAAAAUUUUCGCCGAGGUGGAGAUUUGUUGAAGUCAACAAAUUAUUGGUGCAAAUUUGUUGAAGUCAACAAAUUGUUGGUGCACCAACAAUUUGUUGAAAAAUAAUAAUAAUUAAAAAUUAUAUUUUUAAUUAUUUUAUUCUUAGCAUAGUAAUUCAUUUCUCCUAUAAAUAGCUAAGGAUUUCAUUCAUUUGAAAUCAUCCCAAAAUUGUUAAGCUUAUAAGUUUCUAAGCUUUUGAGAGAAGUGAGAGAAGUGUGUCUGGGGAAUUUAUCUUUCCUACAGAGUGUGAGAGUACUGGGUAUAUUUGGGUUUAUAGGAAGUGAGAUUCGUUACUCAAAUAUUGUACUCUAUUAAUUGUUAAAUAAACAAUUAUUCUUUCUUACCUCCGUGGAUGUAGGUUUAAUUACCGAACCACGUAAAUUCUUGUUUCCUUUAUUUUUCUGUAAUUAUUUGGUGUGCUUGAUUCCGCAUUCCGCGCACAACAAAUAGAACAAAGACAGAAAAUACAUUCAACUGAACCCAACACCAGAAAGCAUCACAAAUAUUAUUUAUUUUUUGUACACAAUUAACGAACCAUCGCUGAAGCACAAAUCAAUGAACUCUCAACUGAAAAUCCGAAACGAAACUUCUUAUUUAUGAGUAGACAGCGGAAACAAAGAAACCAAAAAAAAGUCCACCACUGUAGGAUCAGGAUUUGUCUGUGUAGACAGUAGAAGUGAAGAUGGAAAGGAUUCUGGUUUAAAUUGAAGCUCAGGCUGUAGUCAUGAUGUUUUCUGCUCUGAUUUCACCUACACAAGUCAUUAAAGAAAUUGUGAAAAAGAAGAAUUUUAAAUUACAUUUUUUUCCUUAACUAUUAAAACAAAUGAACGCCGAUGUCUGCUAGGCUCAUGGUUGAAUGUGGAAGAGUAUUUAAGUCUCCGCUGCUGCUAAAUAGGGCUUGAUGAUUGGGGUGAGUAUCAGAAACUCUAAAGGGUACUUAAUGUUGAGACAAACUAGAAGAAAACACUCUGUAUAACCAUCUUUAUAUUGAAGAGAAGGGGGAAAAAGUAUAUGAAAUUUGAUAAAUAAUAAAAAGUUGAAGAAAUUAGAUAAAACACGAAACAAAUAUCAAAUUCAAUAAGGGCUAAUCAAAUUCCGUAAGGAUAUAGUUGAAUGCUGCACUGUUCCUUAUCCUCAAAUUCCCUUAGCUUUUGUCUCAGCUCUGGCUGAGGCCACCAGCAAUCGAACUUGUUUAAGCUCUUUACGCACCAGAGCUGUUCAUGCAUUUUUUUCAAGUAAGGACAAGGGUUGAUAAUCAAGCAUUCUAGUUUUGGCAUGGCUCCAAUCCCCAUAGUCCACUCCUCUAGGCAUAGCAUUGAUUUCAGGUGCAAUACCUUGAGAUUUGGAAAACCAUGGGAGCCACAAGUUAGCUUCCUACCUGAAUAUGAAUUUUGCUUCAGUUUGAGCACUUGAAGAAGUGGCAGCUUUUCUAGUGCGGGCAUGGGAUCCUCCAUAAGUUCAGUAUUAGAUAAACUCAAGUGGGUUAGUGUUGGAGGAAAAUGGGAUUCAACAAGGACAAUUUUAGAGAAAGCUGGCAUCUUGCUUUCGUUCACCAACUUCAAUGAUUCGAGGCAGCUUAAUCUGCAAAGACUACCCAUGUGAGCCAACUACCCAUGUUGCGAAGAUGAGCGACUUUUAAGAGGAAUAAAACUGUCUGCCUCUUGAGGGGUAUUUAAGAAAACAGUGUACACCAGAAGAAGGAAUGAAAAAAGAAAAUUAAUCUUCCAUCGUAGAGAAGGAGAGAAAAUUUAUAUUAUUUCAUCUUUUUUUCUUAUUCUGCUUUAGUUAUUUCCUUUAUAGUCAACUAUCUAAUUUACUCCAAAUCUAACUUAAGCAUCAAAGGGUUCUCGCCAGAUCCCCCACAGGCGAGUUGUGACCGGUUUCUGUAGCUUUCAAGUUGCAGAUUUAAAGUCCAUAUCAACAUUCAAAUUUUGUUCGUACUAGUUUUCCACCAAAAACAAAUUCAGCUGUUGAAGUCCUUUUUCAGCAUCAACAUCUUGGACAUUCUUAAGAUAGCAAAAUCAAUAAACUCAACAUUAUGUUACUGGCUAAAGAGUGAAGAAACCAUAAGAAUCCAAUGACAACCAAAGCAGAAGGAUCAAUUUUAAUACAAAAGGGAAUUCCUCUGCUGCAAACGAGGGCUUUGAUGUGAUUGUAAAGAAUUGAGAGUGAGCAGCAGUACAUCCUCUCGCCAUCAACUUCAUUGCACUGCAUUACAAGGCAAAUGUGAAAACGAUCACAACUGCUCUUUAUUCUCUUAGUGCAAUUGGGCUGCUAAUCAACCAAUAGAGAAAGAACUAAAUUUUAAAUAUUAAAUCUUAAAUCUUUAUUCGCUACAACUAAAUUUUAAAUCUUCCACUUUCAGAACUUUACUCGUUAAAUCUCCUCUUCAAUUCUACCUAGUCCUUACUGGAUCCUUAAAGUCACCAAGGAUUAGUGAUGGUUUUUUAUUUUACGAGGGCUGUUGGACAACCCAGAUUGACAAGGGCUAAAAUCUCCAUAUAUUUGGAGGCUAUGAAGAUUAGACAAUAUGCCCCAGUUUCUUUUUGUUGUGUUUAAUCCUCUGUUAGUACCAAGAUCACACACUUAAGACCCUCUUUGACGUAUCAAGAAUCAUUCCCAGAAAACCAAACUCAAAAUUGAAUCAAAGUGCCUACAUCCACUGAAGAACAAGGACCAUUUCACAAUCAUUCCAAGAAUAUAAAACUUUUUCUCUUUAAGUCUCUCUCUUUCUAUGGCUUUGAUGAGACAUGUGAAGAUGACCCAACAACCAUUUCACAAUCAGUUUUAAGAUGAUGAGAUGUGAUCACAGCACAAACAUUUUUCGUCUAACUGAAGUAAUGAGAUUGAACUGUACCACUAUUCAAAAACUAGAAAAAAGAUAAAAUAAAAUAAAAAACAAUAACAUAUAUGCAACUUGAAUGUUGACAAAUUGAAUACACACCGGUGAAUGUGAAAUAGAAAGUAAAACAAUUAAUCAAACUUUUGUACAAAAUAUUAAUCCGAAUAUGACAUAAUCCUUGAAAACAAAGAAACCAAACAAUUUCAGUGAAGACUGGAUUCUUAUUGAAAUUGAAACUUUGGCUGCAGUACAGUUAAGAUAUUUUCCGCUUUGCUUUGACCUACACAUUCAAGUAAUUGAAUAUCUUAUUUUUCAGUUUUUCUUGAUUAUUUCAACAACCAAUACAUAAGGGUUCUACCUCUUCUAUAAAUAAGGGAUUAAUGAUUAGUGUCAGUAUCAGGGAAUAUAAUGGACACUUCCAAGUCUUUGUUGUGAAAAAAAUUAGAAGCAACCACAAUUAGAAUGUAGAAAACACUUUAUGGUAUCAUUAUUAUUUAGGCUGCUACGUACUAUCAAAUCAAUCAUAGAGACUAGAUGUUUACGUGAAAUUAGAUAAAUAAUUAGAGGUUGAAGUUAUUGGAUAAAAAGGAAAAAAACUUACAUCAAAUUCGAUCCAUGCUAAUCAAAUUCCAUAUGGGUAUAGCUGAAUGCCAUACUGCUCCUUAUCCUCGAAUUCCCAUAGCUGUUGUCUCAGCUUGGGCUCAGGCCACCACAACUCCAAUUUGUUUAAGCUCUUUAGGCACCAAAGCUGUUCAGGAAUCCUUUUCAAGUGAGCACAAGGGUUGAUGAUCACGCAUUCUAGUUUCGGCAUGGCUUUAAUCCCCAUAGUCCAUUCCUCUAACCAUAGCAUAGAUUUAAGGUGCAGCACCUUGAGUUUUGGAAAGCCAUCAGAGCUACAAGCCAGCUUUCUACCUAAAUACUUCAGUUUGAGCACCUGAAGAACCGGCAGCUUUUCUAGUGCCGGCAUGGGAUCAUCAAUUAGCUCAAUAUUCGAAAAACUCAAGUGGGUUAGACUUGGAGGAAAUUGGUAUUCAGCAAGGAUGGUAUUGGAUCGCCGUGGCAUCUUGCUUUCAUUCGCCAACUUCAAUGACUCGAGGCAGCUCAAUCUACAGAGACUUUUGGACAACAAAGAUUGAUAAUAACUUAAAUCUCCCCAUAUCCGGAGAUUUUGAAGAUUAGGUAGUCUGCCCAAUAUCUCUUCAGUAGAGCAGCAAGGAUGCAAGGCUAAAAUGAAAUUGAGAUUUUAUAGAGAGCCACAAUAUUUUCCUGGAUGUGCAGGAAGUGUGAUCGCUCCAAAAUUUAGAUACCUCAGUUUGCUCAUCUUCCAAAAUUCAUCUGCUGUAUGAUCUAUGUAGCUAAAGGGCAUCUCUAGGGUGUACAGGUUCAAAAGACUGCUUAAGAACGAUGAAGGCAGGCUUUUGAGGGAGGGGAUAAUACUCUGAGAAAUUUGAACAUUUUACAGAUUUUCUUGCAAUAAGUGGGGUCAAGGUAUUGGCUUCCUGAAGUGAGGUACAACAAAGAAUGGAGGAACGAGUCAAAAUCAUCUAAAAAUGUAAAAUGAUUCAAUUUUCCGUGAGCGGUGAAGCGUUUCACAUUUUCCCGUAAUCUAACUUCCUGAUCCAUGAUUGGGGAAAUGAUAAAUUCCCCCUUGAAAGCCACAGUCAACAAUGCAGGACUGCAACUCCCAGGAAUAGAGCUUGUGUUGAUUCUGCUUAUAUCACUUCUCUUCCCUGCAUCAACAAAGGCUCCAUUGAUUAGUUGUUCCAAGUACUUCUCAGUAAUUGCCUCGUUGUUGUCUGGAAUGAAACCUUCAGCUAUCCACAACUGAUAUAAUUGCUUGGUUCAUAUCUCAAAGUGUACGCGAAACACAGAUAAGUAGAGACAACAAAGUUUCAAGUAAAAAGGUAACAUACAAUAUGCAACGACUUGAAGCCCUCGGGGUUCAUCAAGUGCUUCCUCUAUAUUUUCUUUCAGUGAGAUGCUUCCAUGAUAUAAGAUGUGGAAAGGCCAUCCUUGGUAUGUAACUCUCAAUGGUCCUCCAGUGGGCACAAAAUCAAGCCCAAUGUUCUCUCCAUUUUCGAACUGAAAUGAGGUGACGAUCUCAAUUUGACUGAGUGUUAUCAAUACUCUACUUCCAAUCUGAUUAUCGGGAAGUAUUCUCGAAUAACAUCCCAUACUGAUAUUCUCCACACAUUAUCAAGCACAAUCAAAUACCGCUUGGUCAUUACAUAUUCAUGAAGAAUAAUUUUUUUCAUUUCCGAACUUUCUUUCAUAAUUUCACUUAACCUACGUGAAGGCAUCACAAACUUAAUAAUGUCGUAUAAUAUUUGGUCAGCAUCAUAUAGUAAAGACUCUUCAACCCAAGCGUGACAAUCAAAAUAAUGCUUCACAUAGUUGCUGCUGUAAGCCUCUGCGGCGAAAGCCGUCUUGUCCAAUCCAAUGCUAUCAAGUACGGCCACUACCGAAAGUUGAGGCGGUCCCUCUAUCAAUAGAUCUAAUAACUCCUCCAUUCUAUUAUCUAGACCCACCGUGUCCCUAUCCUUAAAAGAUGAGGAUGCAGGAAAAUUACCGGCUUUUGCUUCAAUCGAUUUGAGCCCAUCAAUGAUUCCGGAGUGGAUGUGCUGAACUUGCUGCAUCCGUUGUUUUAUAUCAAUGAUNNNNAUUUUGUCAAUGAUAGCCUUAAAAUCUUCUAAUUCUGCAAGAGUUUGACCCUCUUUUGCAUUGACUUGCCACAUAAACCAAGCAGUGUUGUAUCCACAGUCCCUCAGCCAAGAAGCAAUGAUUUCAGUCUCAGUGUAAAGGUUCUGAAUAGGUUGUUUAGCAGCAUCGGGCACUGUGAAUUCUUCACCAGCUGGCACCCUUCUCAGUCUCUCUGAAAAUAGUCCAAGGUUGAUGUCCAUAUCUCCUUCACUCUCAGUAGUCAGUAGCCAGCAGCUCUAGCAUGCAAAGAAAAUAAUUAUAAAAAAAAAAGUUAAAAGCUCUCCUUUUACUUCAACAUUAGUCAACAUAAUCAACUGAGGAUGGCACCAAUACCUCAUUCUAUUAAGAAGUUGAAUCAAGUUCAGGUGGUUGUCAAAGUAGAAUAGAUCAAGGCAGAGCAGUACUGGAAAAUGAAUCUUAAAACUAAAUGCUGCAGGUGCCGUGGGGAUACUGAUUGAUAAGAGGAAUUAUAUUGAGAAAUUAUUGAUGUACAAUAAUGAUUUUCUGCACAAAAUCUGAGGUAUAAUGUAUGUGUACAUAAAAUAUUCUUUAUGCAAGAAGAUAAAAGGGUGUCUUAUAAUUUGUGUUUUAUAUAUAUGUGUAUGAAGAAAGUAAAAUAGGCUAUCAAGACUAGUUUCUUUUUUGCCCUAUCAAAAGACUGAAAGAUUAAAAAUAAUUCCACUGGGACCAUAAAACUUGUCUAGAGAGAAAAAGCAUCACCUUAGAAUCUGAUUCAUGUUAAGAAAUUGAGUUUUCUCCCAAGAUCACUACAAAUAAUUUGUCAAGAAAUAAAUUAACAGAAAAAAUUAAACGGAGAAUACAUCAGUCACACAUCACAAGAUUUACAUGGAAAACUCUAAAUCCGGAAGAAAACCACGGCUGUUGUCAAAAGACAACCAGAGAAAAAAAUAUUCAUUAUGUAGAAAAUUAUUACAACCACACUCUCAGAAAUAAUUUCUCUCACCCAAGCCCCAAAUACAUGAUCCCGAAAAAUAUUCUUUAACAAAACAAACCCGUAAUACCCAUAUUGAGGAGCCAAAUACUCCUAUUGAAUGCUCUUAAUUGGAUACAAAAGUGAGGAGGAGAACCCUCCUAUUUAUAGGCAAAAACUUGCAUAAUUAUGCCCACCAAUUUUGAUCAAAAUUGGUGGCUUAGCCAUCAAAUUUGAUGAACAAAUUUUGGUCAACAAAUUUGGUGGUUAAGCCACCAAAUUUGAAGCCACCUUUCUUUUUUUUAAAUCAAUUUUCAACAAUUCAUUGAUGCAUCUAAUGCAUAAUAGUUGCUAUUGUUAGAGAUUUUCUUUUCAAGCGCUCUACAGACUACAACAGAAUACGUUAUAGUUUGAAUCGUUAGAUGAUCAUUCCAAUAGGGCUAAAGGUGUUCAUGGAUUAGAUUCAGAUAUAUAUGAUUCCAUCUGAUUUGGAUUUGGAUGUUGCCAUAUAUAUCCGAUUGGAUAAAAUUUGUGCAUCUGAUGGAUUGGAUCCACUUUAAUUUAAACAAUUUGAUUGGGAUUGCACUACUAUAUAUAUAUAUAGGAAAAUGCUUAACGUCGGGAAGGCUGAGAGAACCCUGAGAGAAACGGCAGCUUGUGCUACCGUUUCCCGCAUGUUCUCUUAGCCCCACCCCCACUUUACUUUAAGCAUUUCCUCUUUUGUUUUUUAUAUUAUUUUAUCUCUCUUUUAUUUUUUUCUUCUUUUAUCUUCUUCUUCUUCUCUUUUUUCUUUCUCUCUCUUUUGCAAUUUCUUCGUUACUUAUCUCCAUCAUCAAUUUCAUCUUCUUCAUCAACAACAUCAUCAUCACAAUUAUCUUUAAAAUUCUAGUUAUACAAUCCAAGAGGGGGGUGAAUUGGAAUUCUAAAAAUUAUUCAAUUUAUAAAGAAAAACUUAAUGCAAAUAUAAACCAAAUUCAAAGUAAUAACAAAUAAGUUGAUCACAAUAUAAAAAGAUAAGGGAAGAGAGAUUCAAACACAGAGAUUUUUACGUGGUUCGACCAACCUCGCCUACGUCCACGCCUCCAAGCUUUCCGGGCUUGAGGAUUCCACUAAGCAAGCAUCCAAGGCUUCAAAUGCUUACACUUGACUUCCAACAUGUCAAUAACCUUUACAACAAGAGAUUAUCCCAAUCUCUUUAAUCCAAGUGUAUCCCAACACUUACAAUCACUCAAAAUAAAAGAUUACAAAUUUGUUUUGCCUCUCACAAUAUUUAAGAUUACAAAAUGAUGCCCAAUAUGUGAAUAGAUGAAGCAAGAAUGUGUUCAAAGCUCUAUGAAGAUUGUAUUCUCGAGUAUAAGCUCAAUAGUCGUGUUGUGAUCAGAUUUGUUUGAAUUUGAAUGAGCUUAUUUAUAGUUGGAGCUGAAAAAACUAGCCGUUACAAACUGUCUGCCCGAAAACGGUUCGCCGUUAAGCAUUAACGGUUAACCGUUUAGGCUGGUCAAAAGUUACCGUUGGGCCAAAUUUCAAAUAAAUGGUUUGCCAUUUAGGAUUACUCUUUCGCCGUUAAAUUUCAGAGACCUGCAAGAUAAACACCAGUUAUCCGUUUACAUUAAACGGUUAAGGAUUUGCAUGAAGUGACUUCUCUGGAUAUUAUCGGUUAACCGUUUGUAAUAAACGGUUCGCCGUUUGUUUUCAGUUACCUGCAAAAUAAUUUAGCCUUAUCCGGUUUUAUUAAACGGUGCCAGAAGAGUGCAACCUUCAAUUCUGGAUUUUAUCGGUUAACCGUUUAAAUAAACGGUUCACCGUUAAAUUUCAAUAGCCUUCCCAGCUUUUUGUGUUUUCCGUUUUUCUUAAUCGGUUAGAGCUUAGGCAAUAUGUUGCUCUCUGGUUUUAAUCGGUUAACCGUUUGAAAGAAAACGGUUCACCGUUUAUUUCCAGAAUCACAUUUUAAACCAGAUUUUGCAGAGAAUCAUUUUCUAAUUUGAAAGACCAUCUUUUAUGAAUAUGAUUAGAAUGAUUAUAAGGCUUUCGUUUAUUAAGGAAUAGCUUCAACAUUUUAAUAAAAAAUCAUUUAAAGUUUGUUAUCAUCAAAAUCAAUAUUAUUAACAUAUUCAUGUUAACAAUCUCCCCCUUUUUGAUGAUGACAAACUUUAUUCAAUAUUUUGCUCCCCCUUAAUAUAUGCUCCCCCUAAAUGUAUGGCCAAAUUAAGAAAUGUCCAAUAAAAAGACUUUUGCUCGAGAAAAUAUUUUUAAAUUCAUUUUAAAUCUCCUCAUAAUUAUCUCCCCCUUCAUCAUCAAAAAGAAAAGAGAGAAAGGAAAAUCGCAAAUCCGUUAAAGAAGUUACCCGAUUUUGGCGAGUGAAAAUUUUGGCAGAGUUUCCCCUUAAAAUGGAUCAAAACCACUAAUACAAAAUGAGAUUAAAACACUUACAAAAUAUAUUAACAACAACUCCAUCAUUCAACAAACCAACAACGCCAUGAACAAACAAACCAACAACUCCAUUAACCAAUAAACCAACAAUUUCAUCAACCAAUAUCAAGUCAUCCAACAUCAAGAACAUCAUAAAAACAUGUCAUCAAAAUCCAUAAAGAGCAUAUAGAGGUAGCAAUGUAUAUAAAAAUAUAAAUGGCAACACGCAAACAACCAAAAUAUGAAAUGUAUGUGCGAAAAUAGAAUUCAGAAACUAUGGAGGUGGAGAAGAUGUGCUCCCCGGAUCAUAGCCAAAAUAGUGGAGAAGAGUGUGCUGUCCAGCGAUAAGCUCAUGCUACUGAUCAAUGCUCUGCUACUGGAAGGUCUGAAAGUCAGAACGUAACUGCUGGUGGUCACGGGAAAAAGUGUCCAACCGAUCAAGAAUCAGCUGCUGGCGCUCCGAAAUUCGGUGAACAUCAGCAAUCAACUGCUGCACAACAUCUGAAGCAUGGGGCUGAACUAGAGCUGGAGGUGGUUCAGAGGCAGAUGGGUGCUCAGGAACAUCAGAUGGCUCAGGAGCAGGAGGCUGCUUGGGAGCUAGAGGCGGCUCGGAAGAGGAGGGAAUAUCAGCACCCAUCGCACGCUCCUCAGAGUCAGAGUCAGCUGAAGGCCAAGGGACAAAACGGCGAUGAGGAGGAUGAGGAUGAGCUCCUAAUCUAAAAUCUGGAAGCUUAUUGGGAGGAUAGACAUCGUUGAGCAUCCGAUCGUCCUCUGGAGCAAUCAAGGUAUCCCGGUUUUUGGAGUUGUUUGUCUUUAUCCACUCACCAUUCUUCCUAGUAAAACCGAUACUAGUCAUGGCCUCAGGACCAAUCCCUCUAGUCUCCAUAUAAGUGGUAUCAAGAAGAGGCACCUCAAAGCGUCGUAGUAUCUUAGUAAUGAUACUGCCAUAUGGAAGCAAGUGGUGGUUAACUGCGGGAGUACUCAACAUGUGCCGCACAAUAACAUAGCCGAGGUUAAUGGGACGGCUUGAAAUGAGACUAUCUAAUAGGCCAACGUCCAACCUCGUAACCUCAUCCGAGUGAACCUUCCUAGGUGUCACUAUGUGCUGUAAAAUAGUGUGAAGAAUGCGAACUUGGAGAGGUAAAAGUUGAGACCGAAAAGGUAGAAGACAGAUCUCAUCAGACAAGUCUCGACGACGACAAAUAUUACGGACUCCAUCAGUAUGAUAAAAACUGUAAAAAAAAAGGGCUUUCCUAGAGGUGUAAAUAUCAUGACCCUCACUAGAGAUACCAAGAAAGUCAGCUAGGUCCGCAUCAUCAAAUUCAAUAGGCACAUCGCCGACUUGAGUAACUAUCCUAUUUAGGCGAGUUGCGAAGAUUUCCAUGUUCGAAUAAAAGACUCGUACUAAGUUGGGAUAAACUCGGUCAUCAAAGUCAAUGGCAGACUCCCAAGGCUGAAGCAUAUCCCUAAUACUUCUACCACAUACAACUAAGGUACUGAAAUCAUCUAUUUCAACAUAAGAAGAGUCAAGUACCUUUCGACCAUUGAAGCGAUUCUCGAACCGCUUGGCCAAGGAAGGCAUGGGGAAAUGAAUUAUUGCGAAUUCAGAGACUUCCCGUAGUGGUAUAGGGUUCCUUGGAGGCACAGAUUUUCGCCUGAGAUUUCUCCGAGGGGGUGCAGCCAUGGUGAAGCACAAAGGAGUUUGAAAAUUACUGGAGAGAUGUGAUGAGAAGAAGAUGAAUCGAUUAUUUGCUUAGGAAUGAGUAAAUGAUGUGAUUUUGAUGCUUAAUUUGGCUGAAGAAGGGGAAGAAUCGGGUUAAAAAGGAAGAAACCCGAGCGGCCGCAGUUAGGGUUUAGAUUUGGGAUUUUUCAAUUUUGGGCUUGAUUUGAGGAUUUGAAUCGGUGAAAGUGUUCUAAAGGUGAUAAGAAAUGAUGUUAUAGGUUUGAUUUGACAAGAAAAACAAGAAAAAUGAAGGUUUGAGGGGAGAGGAGGAUUCGGCUGUGCAACAAUGGCCGAAACGGUGAAGGGGCAACUGGAGAAGGAGAAGAAAAAACCUUUGAACAGUUUUAUAAUCACGAAAAUGGUUAACCGUUUAUUUAAACGGUUAAGGGGUAACUUCCAGAGGCUAAAGAAUGGGAAACGGUUAAAGGUUAAACUCUUAACGGCUGAGGAGUAACUGCUAGCGAGCUCUCUGAUUUUAAACGGUUUACCGAUUGCAACAAACGGUAAAAGGGUUAAAAGGCAGUCAACUUAAUCGAGUUUUUGGAAUAAAAUGGUACACCGUUUAUUGGAAACGGUUAGCCGUUUAUUUUAUCAAUAAUUUCGCACAUUUGAUUUAAUUUUUUGCCAGCAAAUAAUACAUUCCAAGAUCAUUUAAUUGAUCUAAAAAUGUUUCAUGAGCCAUUUUAAUGCAUGAUUCAUGAACAUGUAUUGAAGCAAUUAAUUCAUAUAAUCAAUCAAGAAUUAACAAAGCAAGCACAUCAUUUGAAUAUCAAGCUUAAGCAUUUAAAUCAUCAAUUCACCAAGAAGUCAAUCAAUUCAAUACACUCAGUAGCAUGAAUAGUAACGUUAAUGUGAAAAUUUCAUCAUUCCAAGUUCAUGCUGAAUCUUUGAAAAUUGUUCUUCACCAAGAGGUUUGGUAAAAAUAUCCCCCUUUUGAACAUGAUCUCUCAAGAAAUGAUGUCUUAUUUCUAUAUGCUUGGUUCGAGAGUGUUGAAUAAGAUUCUUUGAAAGAUUUAUAGCAUUAGUAUUAUCACACUUAAUAGGAAUUUGUUCUAGGUUAAUACCAUAGUCUCUAAGUGUUUGUUUCAUUCAAAGAGCUUAUGCACAAUAACUUCCUGCAGCUAUAUAUUCGGCCUCUGUAGUUGAGAGUACAACAGAAUUUUGUUUCUUGCUAAACCAUGAAACAAGUGAGUGACCUAGGAUAUAGCAUGUUCCACUAGUGCUUUUCCUAUCAACGUUAUAACUGGCAAAAUCCGCAUCCGAAUAACAUGUUAAAUCUAUAUGAGUUCCCCUAGGAUACCAAAGGCCAAUAUCUACGGUUCCACUCAAAUAACGGAAAAUUCUUUUAAUAGCAAGCAAAUGAGAUUCCUUGGGACAAGAUUGAAAUCUUGCGUACAAGCAUACACUAAACAUGAUAUCGGGUCUACUUGCAGUUAAAUAAAGUAAAAAUCCGAUCAUACCUCGAUAUAUUUUUAUAUCUACUUCCUUGCCUUUUUCAUCUUUGUCAAGUUUGGUUAUUGUGCUCAUUGGAGUGUUUUUGGUCUUUGAGUCAUCAAUGCUGAAUCUUUUGAGUAGAUCUUUUACAUACUUGGCUUGAUUUAUGAAAAUUCCUUUCUCAUUUUGUUUUAUUUGCAGCCCAAGGAAGUACUUCAACUCUCCCAUUAUACUCAUUUCAAAUUCAUUACUCAUGUAAGAUGAAAAUUCUUUACACAACAAUUCAUUAUUAGAACCAAAAAUAAUAUCAUCAACAUAAAUUUGAACAACAAGUAUGUCUUUUUCCUUAUGUUUGACAAAUAAAAUAGUAUCCGCUUUACCCAUUGAAAAAUCAUUUUCUAAUAAGAAAUUCUUAAGUCUAUCAUACCAUGCUCUAGGUGCUUGUUUUAAGCCAUACAAAGCUUUAAAUUACUUAUAAACAUGAUUUGAAAAUCUUUCAUUUUCAAAACCAGGGGGUUGUUUUACAUACACUUCUUCCAUUAUAAAACCAUUCAAAAAGGCACUUGUCACAUCCAUUUAAAAUAAAAUAAAAUCUUUAUGACAUGCAAAUGCCAACAAUAUUCUAAUUGAUUCUAGUCUAGCUACGGGUGCAAAUAUUUCAUCAAAAUCAAUUCCUUCUUCUUGGUUGUAACCUUGAGCCACUAAUCUAUCUUUAUUCCUUACAACCACACUGGAUUCAUCCAUCUUAUUUCUAAAUAUCCAUUUAGUACCUAUGACGGAUUGAUGUUCCGGUUUAGGAACUAAUUCCCAUACAUUGUUUCUUUCAAAUUGAUUUAACUCCUCUUGCAUUGCCAUAAUCCAAGAUCAUCAUUUUCCGCAUCCGCAAAGGAUUUGGGUUCAAUUUGAGAAAUAAAUGCAUUAUGCUCACAAGUAUUUCUAAGAGAUGAUCUAGUUGUAACACCUCGUGAGGGAUCUCCUAAAAUUACAUCCUUAGGGUGAGAAGAAACAUACCUCCACUCCUUGGGAAGUGAUUGAGAUGCACUUUCAUUGUGUUCUACAUUCAUUUCUUCAUGUUGCUCAUCUUGAUUCCCAUGAGACGUAUCCUUUUGGUUAUCUUUUGAUGAUUCUUUUUUUAAGUCUUCAUCUACAUCAUUAUCAACAACAACUUUCUCCGUAGAUGAGGGGUUAGACUCAUCAAAAGUAACAUGCAUAGAUUCUUCUACAACUAAUGUAUUUUUGUUAUAAACUCUAUAAGCUUUGCUUGAGUUUGAAUAUCCAAGAAAAAUACCAACAUUAGAUUUUGGAUCAAAUUUGCCAAGAUUGUCUUUUGUGUUCAAAAUAAAACAUUUGCAUCCAAACACUUUGAAAUAACCAAUGUUGGGUUUUCUAUGUUUCUAAAGCUCAUAUGGAGUUUUGUUAAGGUUAAGUCUAAUCAACACACGAUUUAAAACAUAACAAGCGGUGUUGACGGCCUCGGCCCAAAAAUACUUAGGCAAUGAAUUUUCAUUCAACAUAGUCCUAGCCAUUUCUUGAAUGGAUCUAUUCUUUCUCUCAACAACUCCAUUUUGUUGUGGAGUUCUAGGUGAUAAAAAUUGAUGCUCAAUGCCAAAAUCAUUACAAAAAAUCUCAAAUGCAUGAUUUUCAAACUCUCCUCCAUGAUCACUCCUAAUGCAUGCAAUACCAUACCCUUUUUCAUUUUGUAUUUUCUUACAAAGCACUUUAAAGGUAUCAAGAGCAUCAUCUUUAUUGGCUAAGAAUAAUACCCAUGUAUAUCUAGAAUAAUCAUCCACUAUCACAAAUGCAUAAUAUUUGUAAUUUAAACUAGCAUAUCUAGAGGGUCCAAAUAAAUCUAUGUGAAGAAGUUGAAGUGGUUUUGAAGUAGAAAUACGAUUUUUAUUUUUGAAAGAUGUUUUGAUUUGUUUUUCAAAUUGACAAGCUUCACAAAUCUUAUCUUUUUGAAAACCAAUUUUUGAAAGACCUUUAACUAAAUCAUUUUUCAAAAUUUUUGAAAUCAAAUCCAUACUUGCAUUUCCUAACCUUCUCUGCCAUAACCAACUAUCAUCAUGCAAUGCCGAAAAACAUUUAUCAAGAGUAGAUGCACAUUCUAUGUCAAUGAUAUAAACAUUACCACAUCUAUUCCCACUUUUCAGUCAUGUGCCUUGAACAACCAUUGUCCAAGUAUCAUUUAUUUUUCUUCUUCUUUAAGCCCUACAAGAAAAAUCUCAAGUUUUAGGUACCCAAAGCUUUUUUGGUCCUUGAGAGUUAGCAACGGUUCCUUUUGGAACCCAAAUACAUUUGACACCAUAAUAUGCAUUCCUUUUCACGGGACAUCUAUAUUUCAUGUGACCAUUUUGAUUACAAUAAUGGCAAACAAUCUUAUGAUCACGUGUGGAGGUAGCUUUAACAAAAUAAUUCUUAUAAUACUUUUGCUUCAAGUUAGGCUUAUACCCAAGUCCUCCUUUAUCAAAAACACAUUUUUGUGAGUUAAGCAUAUUAUCCAACAUCUUUUGCCCAUUUGUAAAUUUCAAAACAAUUUCAUUCAAUUCAUUACUCUUUUUCUUGAGCAUUUCGUUCUCAUUUUUCAACUCAUCUAUGUGUGAUUCUAAAUGCUCAUGUGAGAUGCUAGGUUUCUCAUUUGAUAAUGCAAUUUCAUCAUGCAAUGUUUUGUUCUCUAUUUCUAGGCAUGCAAUUCUUGCAUUUAGAGAUUCAUUUUCAUUUUUAAGCUUUGCCAUUUCCUUUUUAAGACAUACAUUCUUUUUACCAAUCUUCAUCAACUCAUUAUGCAAUUCUUUAAAAGCAUCAUACAAUUCAUCAUUGGUGGGAUCACUUACCUCAUUGAGAUCAUCAUCCCCUCUUAUUGCCAUAAGCACUAGGUUUGAUACUUCUUGCAAUCCUUCUUCAUCACUUGAAUCUUCCUCGCUAUCAUCCCAAGUUGCAACCAAUGCUUUCUUCUUGAGUUUUUUGAUAAGUGGGCACUCCGAUCUUAUAUGGCCAUGCUUCUUGCAUUAAUAGCAUGUGAUUACCUCUUUCUUCUCCCUUUGGUUCUUGAAGUUUCUGAAAUUUCUUCGCUCUACGGUUUUCUUGAAGAAUUUUCUGAACCUGCUUGCUAGCAUGGCUAGCUCUUCAUCAUCCGGUUCACUCUCCCCAUCACUCUCAUAUUUUGAAGAUUUGAGAGUAAUGCUUUUCUUCUUCUCCUCAUGCCCUUUUUCUGCUGCCAAAUCUUCUUCAUAUGAAAUGAGAGAACCAAUUAAAUCAUCGAGGGCUAAAGUAUUUAAAUCUUUGGCCUCUUCAAUAGCGGUUCUUUUUGGUCUCCAUUCUUUUGGAAGUGACCUAAUGAUUUUCUUAACUUUUUUGCUAUUUGAGAAGGUCUUUCCUAAGGCUCUUAGGGUGUUUACUAUGUCCGUAAAUCUCGUAUACACAGAGUACACACUCUCAUUUUAUUCCAUUUGGAAUAACUCAUGUUGUCGAGUGUACCUACUAAUUUUUGACUCUUUCACUUGAUUUGUGCUUCAAGUUUGUGCUAAAUUUCAUUGGCACUUUCACAACUAGAUACUCGAUGAAAUUCUUUUUUAUCAAGUGCACAAAAUAAAGCAUUCAUAGCUUUGGAAUUUAGAGAAGCUUUUCUCUUUUCCAAUUCAUUCCAUUCCGUUGAAGGUUUUGGAAUAUCUUCCCCGAAUUCAUUUUUAGUUAGGGGCAAAAACAGACCAUCGCGUACAACUUCCCAAAUUUCAUAAUCUAAAGCUUGCAAAUAGAUUCUCAUUCUAGUUUUCCAAUAUGCAUAGUCAUUACCGUCAAAGAACGGUGGUCUAGUUGUGGAUUGCCCUUCUCUAAAGGUUGAGUCAUUUAGGGUUGCCAUAGAUCUUUUACUCUAGACGAUUAAGUCCUAAUAAGAGAACAAGGCUCUGAUACCAAAUGAAAUUCUAGUUAUACAACCCAAGAGGGGGGGGUGAAUUGGAAUUCUAAAAAUUAUUCAAUUUAUAAAGAAAAACUUAAUGCAAAUAUAAACCAAAUUCAAAGCAAUAACAAAGAAGUUGAUCACAAUAUAAAAAGAUAAGGGAAGAGAGAUUCAAACACAGAGAUUUUUACGUGGUUCGACCAACCUCGCCUACGUCCACGCCUCCAAGCUUUCCGGGCUUGAGGAUUCCACUAAGCAAGCAUCCAAGGCUUCAAAUGCUUACACUUGACUUCCAACAUGUCAAUAACCUUUACAACAAGAGAUUAUCCCAAUCUCUUUAAUCCAAGUGUAUCCCAACACUUACAAUCACUCAAAAUAAAAGAUUACAAAUUUGUUUUGCCUCUCACAAUAUUUAAGAUUACAAAAUGAUGCCCAAUAUGUGAAUAGAUGAAGCAAGAAUGUGGUCAAAGCUCUAUGAAGAUUGUAUUCUCUAGUAUAAGCUCAAUAGUCGUGUUGUGAUCAGAUUUGUUUGAAUUUGAAUGAGCUUAUUUAUAGUUGGAGCUGAAAAAACUAGCCGUUACAAACUGUUUGCCCGAAAACAGUUCGCCGUUAACCAUUAACGGUUAACCAUUUAGGCUGGUCAAAAGUUACCGUUGGGCCAAAUUUCAAAUAAACGGUUUGCCGUUUAGGAUUACCCUUUCGCUGUUAAAUUCCAGAGACCUGCAAGAUGAACAUCAGUUAUCCGUUUACAUUAAACGGUUAAGGAUUUGCAUGAAGUGACCUCUCUGGAUAUUAUCGGUUAACCGUUUGUAAUAAACGGUUCGCCGUUUGUUUCCAGUAACCUGCAAAACAAUUUAGCCUUAUCCGGUUUUGUUAAAUGGUGCCAGAAGAGUAUAACCUUCAAUUCUGGAUUUUAUCGUUUAACCGUUUAAAUAAACGGUUCAUCGUUAAAUUCCAGUAGCCUUCCCAGCUUUUUGUGUUUUCCAUUUUUCUUAAUCGGUUAGAGCUUAGGCAAUAUGUUGCUCUAUGUUUUUAAUCGAUUAACCAUUUGAAAGAAAACGGUUCACCGUUUAUUUCCAGAAUCACAUUUUAAACCAGAUUUUGCAGAGAAUCAUUUUUUAAUUUGAAAGACCAUCUUUUAUGAAUAUGAUUGGAAUGAUUAUAAGGCUUUCGUUUAUUAAGGGAUAGCUCCAACAUUUUAAUAAAAAACCAUUUAAAGUUUGUUAUCAUCAAAAUCAAUAUUAUUAACAUAUUCAUGUUAACAAUCUUCUUUUUCCUCCUGUUAGUUUUGUUUCUUCUUCUCCAUCAACAUCAAAAUUUGGUUUCAUCUUCUUGUAUAAUUAAAAGGCAAGCACCCCUUUGACUUGGAAUCAAAAAAUCGAAAUCAAUACAGGUGUUGUUCUUCAUUUUUUUGGGUUUUUUAGAACAAAAAAUAGGGGAAAUACACUUGGAAUAAUGGAGAGACCGGACGAAGUGACGAACCGGACUGGUGGUGUCUGUCGUGAUGAGCUGAAGAGAAAGAGGUGGUUGUCGGUAACGAUGCCAUUGAUGAGAGAGAGUGCCGAUGAAAUUGAGGGAAGGGAGAAGAUACAGUAGUUUCUGGUGCUGGAGAGAUGAGUUGACUGCAACAAAAGGCUGACUGCAGCAAAUGUUAUGUUAAAAAGAAAAGAGAAAGUAACGUGGGAGGUGGGGCCAAGAGAACACGCGCGAAGCGGCAGCACAAGCUGUCGUUUCUCUUAGGGUUCUCUCAGCUUUCCCGACGUUUAGCACUACUCGUAUACUGCUGUACGGCCAAGGCGGAUGUACGGUACAGCAGCCCUUUCAAAUUUUUGUCUGAAAUAUUUAUCAGAUCCGAUUUAUUUUAAAUCCGAUCGAUUGUAUUUGAGAUUCAGGUUGGAUUCGAAUGAUUUUUUUUCCUAAUCCAAACAAUUCAAAAUCCAAUCGCACUUAUCCAAAUCUAAAGUGCAAUAUUCAUCUCUUUUUCAUAUAUCCUUUGCUAAAUGAAAGUAAUCAUGAUGUCGGGCCCUUCUUUAAAAAAAUAAUAAAAAUCUUCAAUUUAUAUGCAACUCCUUUCUCAUUAUUACUCUUCUUUGUGUUCGACUAUUGUAGUGCUUUUUCUUCUGAGAUAAACUUUAUAGUCCCUAGUGUGAUUGUUUUUACCUUUUCUUUCUUGAAAGUGGAUAAAACAAAUUGAUCUUUGAUUGAUACUUGAUGAUGUCCUAUUUUCUUUUUAUUUUCAUAUUUCUUUUUUCUAACAUAUUGGGGUACGCAAUUGAAAUAGAGGUUCAUUUGUCACAACAGUCCACGCUAAUAUAGACUAUCAAGUUGUGACAGGAAUUAGUCCAUUUGUGCAGCCACAUGACAACAUUUAAAGUCGUCCCACUGCAAGCAAAUAAAAUUAGGUGCCACGGAUUUAAUGGGACAAUCAAUAAAAUUAUGUCCACUGUUUUUUAUUUACUCAUAGUUUAUAAUUAAGUUUUAGAAUAAAUAUGUGACUAGAUUUUAUUUGACAAAGAAAUUGCGUACACUCGUAUGCAACUGUGACAUCUAACUAUCUCUACCAUUUCCAAACCAGAACUUCUAUGUCAUGUUUAAAACACGAGCAAGGAAUUUUAAGUUGGAGAAAGACUUUAGGUAGAAUAGAGACACAAUAUAUGAAAAAGUAAAUGUAUGCGUUAUGAGAUUUUCGAAGACAAGCAUAUUUGUUGACUCGGUAGUUACAUCGAAGUCUUACUCUUCGAGUUAAGUCAACGGUGCAAAAUUCAUGGAAUCUGCAUUUAAUUGUCUGGCUAAUGGGUUCUCAAAUUGCAAAUGAAAGAUAAAAAGCUUUGGUUACACACACACACCCAAAAAGAGAAAAAAAAAUGCCGCCACUGGGCUAGAUACUGUUUAGGAAAUGAAAUAUGGUGACUAAGAUAAAGGUGUUUGCUCAUACAUUAUCGUGCUCUCCUCAAAGUAAAAGUGAGCAAAUGGUUGAGCAGAUCACCUCGACCAGGAUGUUGUUUGGUGACCUCGAGCACAUCACCUCGACCAGGAUGUUAUUGGUCACCUCGAGCCGAUCAUCUCGACCAGGAUGUUAUUGGUCACCUCGACCAGAAUAAUAUGUGGUGACCUCGAGCACAUCACCUCGACCAGGAUAUUAGUGCUCACCUCGACCAGAAUAAUAUGUGGUGACCUCGAGCACAUCACCUCAACCAGGAUGUUAUUGGUCAACUCGACCAGAAUAAUAUGUGGUGACCUCGAGCACAUUUUCUCGACUAGGAUGUUAUUGGUCACCUCGACUAGGAAGUUACCAGGAAGCACGAUUCAGUCAAAACAUUUUCUCCGAAAUAUUAGGGACCAUAUUCUUAGUGGGCUGAAAAUUAGUAAAAAUUAGUAGUUUUCUUGAGAAUUCUAGGGGAGAGGAUAAAAACCGCUAUAGUUUCCUAUAAAAACCCUAGGAAGGGGAAGGAAAAAAGGGAUUCUUCUAGCUCUCUCUCUCUCUCUAGGCAACUGAAUCCAUUGGACCUUUUUCUCUCUCUACCACUGGAAAAUUUCUCUUUCGCUUAGGAUUUUUUUAAGAUUAAUUAUUCUCAGUUAUUUUCCUUUAAAUUUACUUAAAAGCUUUUUUGUUUAAAGCAAUCAUAAUUAAUUCACAUGAAUUGUGGUAUGGAUUUUUCCAAGUAAGACCCAAAUCGCUGACUUGAGCAUCGGAGGGUUCUUGCCAGAAAAACUUUCGGCACUUUCUGACUGUUGGUUGUGCUCACAGGCUCACAGGUUAUCUGCUCAUGAGUUCUCUGCUCAUGGAUCGUCUGCUCAUGGAUCAUCUGCUCAUGAAUUGUCUGCUCAUGGGUUGUCUGCUCAUGGAUUGUCUGCUCAUGGGUUGUCUGCUCAUGGAUCGUCUAUCCAUAGAUUAUUUGCUCAUGGAUUGUCUGCUCAUAGAAUAUCUGCUCAUAGAAAUUCUGCUCAUGGUGUUAACUAAUCAGCAGCUUCCCACCAAACAAAUUUAAUGCUGAUGCAGGGAUUUGAGAUUCGAUCCACUCAUCCGGAUUUCGGCAUCAACAGAUACAAUUAGCUGAAAUGAGGAUAUUAAAAAGAACACGUGCUCUAUUUAAUUGGUAGAGUAUUAAUGGAGCUUGUGUAAUUGUACAUUUACUGUUUUUUAAGGUUAUUUUUCAUAUAGUAGAAAGAUCAUAAAAUGUUUUUAUUGAAUUACACUCAUUUAAUGUAUGUAUGAUAUAUAUGCGUAUGAAUUAAAUAUAAAUAUAGAUAAAGGACAGUGUAUGCCAGCAAGAAAACUUUUUCUCUAGAUUGAAAAUGAUUUAAAAGAACCAUUUUUCUCCCACUAAUAUCUUCAAAAUCAUUAUUGUUAAUAACAGAACCCAAAAAAUAAUUAAAUAAUCUCUUGUUUAAUAUGUUGCAUGCUUGCAGAAAAUUGCGGAUGAUUGAACCAAUAAUUCAACCUUUACUCCAUGAGCUUUAAACUAAUAAUCUGUCAUCAGUUAUUGUCUAAAUAAAGAAAUUUAUGAAUCGGUAUAAAAUGGGGUCCCAAAUCCUGACCUACAUUGAAAAUUAGGAUAUGAAAUUUGUAACAAAUCUUAUAUAGGGUUUGUAUCUCGAUUGUUAUCUGGAUAAUUUUGCCAGCCUAGGUUCACGUAUUAACAGUUAGAGCGGGAGAUCCCAAAAAAGGGUAUCUUGAAUUUAACCAAAUUCAUUAUAAGGAUAUAUGGACCCAUUUGAUUGCCUAAGGGAUCUCGAAUGAAAUUUUCAAACAUCUCAAAUCCUGCCUUGAUUAUUAAAUUGGAAGAAAACUAGAUCUUGAAUCUCAACUCGAAUAAUAAAUCAGAAUGAGAAAUUUUUAUCAAAUCUUGUAUCAUUUAGGACGGACUCCCAAAUUCCAAUCGAGAUUUGAGGAAUUUUGUAUUAGCAACUAGAGCCGAAGAUCCCAAAAAAUAUCUUGAAAUUAACCAAAUUCACUAUAAGGUAUGAACUCAUUUGAUUGCACCCUUAAAAAGUAUUACAGAUGACACCACACAAUCAUAUUAUUAAAACAAACCAAACCACACAUAUCCAGGCUUAGCAUGUAUAUAUAAGAGCACAAAAAAUAACUUCUUUCUCGUUAUAAAGGAGAACAGAAUCAGCUAGAAGCAGGGGAAUCAAAGUACAACAGAAAAUAAAAGAAAAAAAAUGAUACACAUUCAUUUGUUCAGCAAAAACCAAUGACUAUAAGGUGAGCAUGAGGCAUCAACCUUUAAAAUUGGACAGAAUAAGCUAAUUCCUUAAAAUUCACAUGCUAAUACUAUUUAUAAUUUCUAAGUCCAAAGUUUAAAAUAAUAGGUAGUAUUUGUUCAAAACAAGCAUUUAUAAUUAUUAUUCGGAUGAUUAUUUCAAGAAUCUAAGAUAAUAACAAUCCAGUAUUCAAGUUAUUUAUGAAUGAUUAGGGCUUAAAAUCUCCAUAAAAUUGGAGAUUCUGAAGAUUAGGCAAUAUGUCCCAGUUUCUAUUUCUUGUAUUUAGUCCUCUAAUGUAUCAACAAUCAAUGCUAGAAACCCAAUCCCCGAAAUUGAAUUAAAAAAAUAUAGAAAACAUAGAGCAAAUCAACAGUAGAUUCAGCAGCGAUGAUGCCUACAUCCAAACUUCUCUUCUAAUGGAAGUGAUGCAGAAUUCCCUUAAGAUAAUUAUGACCAUUAACAUGUAUUACACAUGGUACGACCAAACCACACACGUCCACACUGAACUGGAGUUUCAAGCACAUUACGAGAAUGAAGACACACGAAUAGAAUAUACACAGUGAAUCCAAAAACUUGACAUGAUUGCUUGUAGCAGAUCCUUGAAAACAAAGAAACCCAACAAUGUCCUGCAUCAAUCCUGAGGACUCAAUAAUGUGUAGACAACAGAAGUGAAUAUUGAAAGGAUCAAGGCCGGAUUCUAGUUGAAAUUGAAACUUUUGCUGCACUACAGUUGACAAAUUUCCCGGUCUGAUUUCACCUGCGCAAGUAAUUUAAGAUCUGAAAUUAUAGUUUUUCCUCACUGUUCAACGAUCAAUACACAAGGGUUCUGAAAUUAUAGUUUUUCCUGACUGUUCAACAAUCAAUACACAAGGGAAAAUGGUCGGGGUCAACUUCAGGAUCUGUGAUGAACACUUCAUCUCUAAUGUUGAGACAAAAAUUAGAAGCAACCACAAUUAGAAAACACUUUAUAGCAUUAGGAAGCUGCGUACUAUCAAAUAUAUUGAGGAAAAGAAAAAACAUAUGUAUGAAAUUAGAUUAAUAAUUAAAGGUUGAUGAUAUUGCAUAAAAUGAAAAACUUACAUCUAAUUAAAUCCAUGCGAAUCAAAUUCCAUAAGGAUAUACUUGAUUGUCAUACUGCGCCUUAUCCUCAAAGUCUCGUAGCUUUUGUCUCAGCUUCGGCUAAGGCCUCGAAUUUGUUUAAGCUCUUUAUGCACCAAAGCUAUUCAGGAAUCUUUUUCCAGUAAGCACAAGUAUUGAGAAUCAAGCAUUCUAGUUUUGGCCUGGCUCCAAGCCUCAUGGUCCACUCCUCUAGCCAUGGCAUUGAAUUCAGGUGCACUAUCUUGAGCUUUGGGAAACCAUCAGACCUACAAGUCAGCUAUCGACCUGAAUAUGAGUUUUGCUUCAGUUUGAGCACUUGAAGAAGUGGCAACUUUUCUAGUGUUCAAGUGCAGGCAUGGGAUCAUCCAUUUGUUCAGUAUUAGAGAAACUCAAGUGGAUUAGACUUUGACGAAGUAGGUAUUUGGCACAGACGAUUUUGGAGAGCCUUGGCAUCUUGCUUUCAUUCACCAUCUUCAAUGACUAGAUGCAUGAGUUUAUUCAUCUUCCAAAAUUCAUCUACAGUGUAUGAUCUAUUUAGCUAAAGGGCAUGGCUAUGGGGUACAGAUUCAGAGAUUUCUUAAUAAUGAUGAAGCCAGGCUUUUGAGGGAAGGGAUAUUCAGCUUCAAAUAUCAAAAGAAAUAAAGUUUCAAUUUUGGAUGGAAAUUGGCUGAGAACAAGAGAUCCCAAGUCCAUUACUCAACCGAUUUUCACCCAAUCUAUGGGGUCAAGGUGGUCGCUUUCUGAAGUACAACAAAGAAUGCAGGUGCGAGUCACAAUCAUCUAAGUAAGCAAAAUCACUCUGUUUUUAAAAAACGUACACACGUUUGACAUUUUUUCGCAAUUUACCUUUUUGAUCCAGGAUAGGGGAAAAGGUAAAUUUCGCUUUGAGAGCCAUUUGCAACAAUGAAGCCCAGCAACGACUACGAAUAGGGCAUGUGUUGAUUCUACCUCCAUCGCUUCUCUUCUUUGCAUCAACAAAGACUCUAUUCAUUAGUUGUUCCAAGUACUUCUCGGCAAUUGCCUCGCUAUUGUCUGGAAUGAAACCUUCAGAUAUCCACAACUGAUAUAACUGCCUGGUGGAUGUCUCUAGGUGUACAGGAAACAUAGAUAAGUAAGGAAAACAAAGUUUCAAGCAAAAAGGUAAACAACUCUCAAUGGUCCUCUAGUAGGCACUAAAUCAAGCCAAAUAUUCUGUCCACUUUUAAACUGAAAUGAGGUGACGAUAUGAAUUUCAGUGAGUGUUAUUAGUACUCCACUUCCAUUCUGAUUAUCCGGAAGUAUUUCUUGAAUAACAUCCCACACUUCAAUGCUUCACACAUCAUCAACCACAAUCAAAUACCGCUUGAUCAUUAGAUAUUCAUGAAGAAAUUUGUUUUCAUUUCAUAAUUUUUAUCCUUUAUUACACUCAACCUAGAUGAAGGCAUUAGAAACUUAAUAAUGAUAUCUAAUAUUUGGUCAUCAUCACCAUCAUAGCUGUAAGGCUUUGGAACCUAAGCGUGACAAUUAAAAUAAUGCUUCACAUCACUGCUGCAUUAAGCCUCUGCAGCAAAAGCCACAUUGCCCAACCCAACGCUAUCAAGAUGGCCACCACUGAAAGCUGAGGUGGCCCCUCUAUUAAUAUAUCUAACAACUCCUCCAUUUUGUCUUCUAGACCCACCGUGCCCCUAUGUCCUUGUUGAGUGAUGCUGUUGAGAAUGUGUCAAUGACCUUCUCAGAUUCAUAUGUAAAGCAAUUGAUUUCUGGUGCCAAGGUCUGGGUUGUCAAUUUCAUCUUCUCCUAUUUUUUUGCAGCAGAAGCUAGGACAUAUCAUAUUCAAAGUCCCUCAGCCAAGGAGUAACGAUUUCAACCUCGGCACAAAGGUUUUGAAUAGGUUGUUUUGCAGCAUCAGGCAAUGUGACUUCUUCGCUAGCUAACGUCCUUCUCAGCCUCUCUGAAAAUAGUCUGAAGUUGAUGCCCAUAUCUCCUCAAUCCAAAAAUUAGUGCUGGCUCCCAUGCCUCCCUUCUCUUAGCUAGUACUCCACCCAAGCAGUUGAAUCAAGAUUGCUGACUCUCAAAUUAGAACAGAUCAAGGCAGAGCAGUGCGGGAAAUGAAUCUCACGAUACUCAGUCUUCCAUAUGUUGCAAAAAGAAUAAAGCAAAGAGAAAUAACUACAACAUCAUCAAGUAUCAAUCAAGACCAAUUUGUUUUAUACAUCCACUGUCAAUAAAGAAAGGGUGAAAACAAUUCCACUGGGACCAUAAAGCUUAUCUAAAAAGAAAAGAACAGAGUAAGCACAAGAGCAUUAUCAAUUAUUUAACAAUUUAAGCUGUGGAAAAAUAGAAAAUCAUGCCUGCCACUUAUUAAAGAAGCAAUAACAUAGCAACGUCAUAAAAGCAAUGGAUACAAUCAUUGCUAUAUGUUGAAAUUAACUAACUUCACAAUCUGGACAUGAACUCAUUUGAUUGCAACCAUUAAGUAGACUUAUAGAUCACAUGACACAUGAUCUUAUAAAUGGACUAAACAUAACAAAACACACAUCUCCAUGUCCAGGCUUUGGUGGCUACAUAAUUACAAAACAGCAUGUAAGUAUAUAAAUACAGAAAAAAAUUAUAAGACACAAAAUUUGUUCACAAAGUAAGAAAUUACCUCUUGUUGAUGAGUCCAGAAAUGACCGAGGUGUAGUUUUAAUUGAGCUGACGAUCUUCCUCCACAUACAUCACCAUUUUUUCUUUUUUGGACGCAAUGAGACAUGACUUGGCAUCAUUGUCAUUGAAAUACACCAGAUAUUUCUAGAAUGCCUGCGAAUCUAAUUUAUUUCCAAACACACUUGAGAAUUGGGAUUGUCAAUAAAAGAUGAACAUUGAUCAUUGAUGUGUAGGUUUCAAGUAUUUUGUGUAUGAUGCGGAGAUAAAUUAGAACUCUACAUGACCAUCUGAAGAAUUUUUUCUCAAAUGAAUCUUUUGAGUUGGAAUUUAGACAGAUUCACUAUCUAAGUAUCUUGAAGCAGUGGAGAAUACAUAUGACAAAGGUUGAAGUAACUAAUUUUAUGAGCAGGAACUGAAAUGAUUUUGGCAUGAGAUUACAACAGGUGAUUAACAUAUAUGCUUCGUCUAAGGCAGCCUCAUUUUAAGUGUUAUUUCAUCAGGUCAACAAUCUUCAGGAGAAAAAUGAAUCAAGGGCAAUAAAGGAGGUGGUUGAUGCUAGUGAUUCCUGAGUGUAGCAGCAAAAAUAAAACUAAAUUGUAGAUUUGCUGUAGUCUUACAAUAGACUCACCCUGUCCUUGUCCUUGUCCUUGUCCUUCUUCUUAUACUGAUGAAUAUGAGGCCGAUGAUAUUUCUGUGAAUAAAGAAAAUGAUAAUAGAAAUGGAACCAUUGGGCAAAUGGUACUGCUGUACCGUACAUCCGCCUUGGCCGUACAGCAGCAUCAGUAUGAUAAAAACUGUAAAAAAAAAGGGCUUUCCUAGAGGUGUAAAUAUCAUGACCCUCACUAGAGAUACCAAGAAAGUCAGCUAGGUCCGCAUCAUCAAAUUCAAUAGGCACAUCGCCGACUUGAGUAACUAUCCUAUUUAGGCGAGUUGCGAAGAUUUCCAUGUUCGAAUAAAAGACUCGUACUAAGUUGGGAUAAACUCGGUCAUCAAAGUCAAUGGCAGACUCCCAAGGCUGAAGCAUAUCCCUAAUACUUCUACCACAUACAACUAAGGUACUGAAAUCAUCUAUUUCAACAUAAGAAGAGUCAAGUACCUUUCGACCAUUGAAGCGAUUCUCGAACCGCUUGGCCAAGGAAGGCAUGGCAAAACUUAAUUAAGGCAAAUGGGUAUUCAACCACGUUGAGUUUUAUUCAACGUGGGUAUUAAUGGAUGAAUGAUUUUGGUAGAAUUAAAGUUUUUUUUUUCCGUUUUUGUUUCAUUUGUCAACUCCAUUUAAUCAAUUAAUCUCAAUGGCUAUAAGGAUCAUUUUUAAUGCAAACGGGUAUUUCUUUGCUGCAAAAGACGGCUUUGGUGUGAUUGUAAGGAAUUGAGAGUGAGCAGCACAUCCUGCGUGCCAUCAACUUCUUUGCACUACAGGCACCCUCUGCAUGCUGUGAAGGGAAAAAUGUGAAAACCAUUGCAUGCUGUGGGGCUGCUAAUCAAUCAAUAGAGAAAGAAUUCAGUAAUCAAUUCUAGCAAAGCUUCCAAAACGUGCAGCACUAUAGAUUAAAUCUUCCACUUUCAGAACUUUACUCAUUAAUCUUCUGCUCCAAAUCACCAAUGAUUAGUGCUGGUUUUUUAUUUUACAAGGGCUUAAUCUCCAUAUAUCUGAAGACUAUGAAGAUUAGGCAAUAUGCCCCAAUUUCUUUUUGUUGUGUUUAAUCCUCUGACAGUACCAAGAUCAAACACCUUAGACCAUCUUUGAUUUGAUGUAUAAAGACUCGUUCUCCGAAAUCCAAACUAAAAAUUGAAUCAAAGUGCCUAAAUCCAGUGAAGACAAGGAUACAAGCUUUCAAGCUUUCACUAUUUCACAAAUCAAGGUUACCAGGAUGUAGAGCUUGUUACAGAGAACAAGAAUAUACAACUUUCUACUUUAACUCUCUCUCUCUCUCUCUCUCUCUCUCUCCAUAGCUUUGAUGAGAUCUGAGAAGAUGACCCAUCAACCAGCCUUAUAAACUAUGAUAAGGCCAUCUCUAACAAUCCCAGAAUUUUCCUGCACUUUUUUAACUAACCCCAACUGACUUUUGACCAGCAUUCUCGCCCUUAUAAUGACUGACACGUCGGUGAAAUUCCAAAAAACCGAACAACAAUGUCGUUCUGCCAGUGUUGAGAUGAUGAGAUGAGAUCAAAGCACAAAUACUUUUCUUCUAACUGAAGUACUAAGCUUGAAGUUGAACUGUACCGCUACUUAAAAACUAGAGAAAGAAAUAAAAUAAAAAUAAAAACAUAACAUAUAUCAAUUUGAAUGUUGACAAAUUGAAUACACACCAGUGAAACUGAAAAUAGAAAGUAAAACAAUUAAUCAGACUUUUGUACAAUAUAUUAAUCUGAACAUGACAUUAUUACUUUUAGCAUGCAAAUCCUUGACAAUUUGAAUGUUGACAAAUUGAAUACACACUAACUGAAGUACUAAGCUUGAAGUUGAACUGUACCGCUACUUAAAAACUAGAGAAAGAAAUAAAAUAAAAAUAAAAACAUAACAUAUAUCAAUUUGAAUGUUGACAAAUUGAAUACACACCAGUGAAACUGAAAAUAGAAAGUAAAACAAUUAAUCAGACUUUUGUACAAUAUAUUAAUCUGAACAUGACAUUAUUACUUUUAGCAUGCAAAUCCUUGAAAACAAAGAAACCAAACAACGUGUAGACAACUCAGCAGAAGUGAACACUGAAAGGAUGAAGGCUGGAUUCUGGUUGAAAUUGAAACUUUGGCUGCAGUACAGUUAAGAUAUUUUCCGCUGUGCUUUUACCUGCACAUACAACUGAUUGAAGAUCUUAUCAUACAGUUUUUAAUGAAUGGUGUCAGCAUCAGGAACUGUGAUGGACACUUCAAGUUUAUGUUGAGACAAAAAUUAGAAGCAACCACAAUUAGAAUGUAGAAAACACUUUAUAUUAUGAUUAUAGUUUAGGCAGCUGCAUACUAUCAAAUCUUUUGUGGAGAAAAAAAAAACUUUUAUAUGAAAUUAGAUCGAUAAUUAAAGGUUGAAGUUAUUGGGGAAGAAGAAAAAACUUACAUCAAACUCAAUCAGGGCUAAUCAAAUUCCGUAAGGAUAAAUCUGAACGCCAUACUGCUCCUUAUCCUUGAAUUCCCGUAGCUUUUGUCUCAGCUCUGGCUGAGGCCACCAGCAAUCGAAUUUGUUUAAGCUCUUUAUGCACCAGAGCUAUUCAGGAACCCUUUUUAAGUAAGCACAAGGGUUGAUAAGCACGCAUUCUAGUUUUGGCAUGGCCCCAGUCCCCAUAGUCCACUCCUCUAGCCAUAGCAUUGAUUUCAUGUGCAAUACCUUAAGCCUUGGAAAACCAUCAGAACCACAAGUCAGCUUUCUACCUGAAUACGAGUUUUGCUUCAGUUUGAGCACUUGAAGAAGCGGGAGCUUUUCUAGUGUCGGCAUGGGAUCAUCCAUUAGGUUAGUAUUAGAAAAACUCAAGUGGGUUAGACUAUGAGGAAAUAGGUAUUCAGCAAGGAUGAUUUUGGAGAGCCGUGGCAUCUUGCUUUCGUUCACCAACUUCAAUGACUCGAGGCAGCUCAAUCUGCAAAUACUUUGGGACAACAAAAAUUGAUAAUAACUUAAAUCUCCCCAUAUGCAGAGAUUUCGAAGACUAGGCAGUCUGCCCAAUAUAUCUUCAGUACAGCAGCAAGGAUGCAAGGCCGAAAUGAAAUUGACAUUUUCCAGAGAGCCGCAAUAUUUUCCUGGACGUGCAGGAAGUAUGAUUGAGCCAAAAUUUAGAUGCCUGAGUUUGUUCAUCUUCCAAAACUCAUCUGCUGUAUGAUCUAUGUCGCUAAAAAGCAUAUUGAGUGUGUACAUGUUCGAAAGAUAGUUGAAAAAUGAUGAAGGAAGGCUUUUCAGGGAAGGGAUAUUCAACUUCAAAUAUCUUAAAAGAGAUAAAUUUUCAAUAUUGGACGGAUAUUGGUUGAGAACAAGGGAUCCUAAGUCUAAUACUCUGAGAAGUUUGUACAUUUCACAAAUUUUCUGCCAAUCUAUGGGGUCAAAGUGGUCGCUUUCUGAAGUGAAGUACAACAAGGAAUGCAGGUGCGGGUAAUAAUCAUCUAAGUAAGCAAAAUCGCUCUGUUGUUCUAGAGCACAGAAACGUUUGACAUUUUUUCGUGAUUCACCUUUUGCAUCCAGGGUAGGGGAAAAGACAAAUUCAGCAUUCAAAGCCACUACAAGCAAUGAAGGCCAACAACGACUACGGAUAGAGCAUGUGUUGAUUGUGCCUCCAGCUCUUCUCUUCUUUACUUCAACAAAGCCUCUAUUGAUUAGUUGUUCUAAGUACUUCUCAGCAGUUGCCUCGCUGUUGUCUGGAAUGAAACCUUCAACUAUCCACAACUGAUAUAACUGCCUGGUGGAUAUCUCUAGGUGUGCGGGAAACACAGGUAAGUAAAGACAACAAAGUUUCAAAGGAAAAGGUAACAUGCAAUGUGCGACGGAUUGAAGGAAAAGGGGCUUAUCAAUUGCUUCCCUUUUAUUUUCUUCUAAUGAGAUGCUUCCAUGGUAUAGGAUGUGGAAAGGCCAUCCUUGGUAUGUCACUCGCAAUGGUCCUCCAGUUGGCACUAAAUCAAGCUGAAUAUUCUGUCAGUUUUCGAACUGAAAUAAGAUGACGAUAUCAAUUUUAGCGAGCGUUAUUAGUACUCUAUGUUGAUGCUGAAAUCUGCUCGCCCUUUGCCCGACAAGAUUUUUACACUAACGUUCACGUUAUCAAUAAUGAAGAUAUCAAUUCCUUCUUACUUCAACGAUUGCUCCAGCCACUGAAGUUGGAGUUGUCCCUUUUUUUCUCACUAAGCCUGCGUUCACAAAAGUGGAUCAGAGACACCGGUGGUUUUGCCGGCGCAAACCCUCUGAUGCCUAAGUUAGCUAAAGGUGUUUAUGGGAAAACGGUGCAAUUAGGGUUCAAAUAAUUUCUUAGAAUUAGCUCACUCUCGGUAUUAAAAAGCGUCUGGAUACAAUUUGGCAGAGUUUUCCCUUCUCUCAUUUUUUCUUCCCUUUUCUUCAUUGAUUUCUUCUUCUUUUAUAGCCGCUGUCCCACGUUCCUGUUUAGCCUUAAUCCCUCCUUUUUCGGGUGGUGGCAGCCCCUCAUGGGACUCUAACUGCUACAUUAUGGGCAAACGUGGGAUCUCGCGUCUCCCGCAACGGUUCUGGAAAAAGCGCAACUACCGUGAUUCUGUGGGAUCGUGUUCCCACUUUUUCGGGGGAUGGGUAUCGGCUCGGUAUAUACCUCUGGUCAGUAUACUCCCCUGGUUGGUACUCGUCUCUAGUCUGCUCAUAUUUGUCCCCGUGUUCUGCUCGUACCAUUUGGCUGAGAUGAUCCAUGCCGGGGCAGAAAUAGUAGCAUGGCCGACCUGAUGCUUUUAUUUACUUAACACCAGUCCCCCAGUUUAUGGUCUUGCAAGUGAAAUGAAUUAAGAAUAGAAACUGAUAGUCAAAUGUUACCAACCCGGGGGCUUCUCAUCUGGUCUUCUAUUUACCGGGACGGACCUGAGGUACCAUUUUUCUUCUGGGGAGGUUCCGACCUGAGCAUGGGCCUUAAUGAGCAUAUCCAUUGCAUAUCUGGGCUUGCAUCUAGCCUGGCCUCUUGUAACGGUUAGUGACGUGGCAUCUCCAGACUGUUCGUAUUUGAAAUUUGAAACGACGGGCUAUUCGUCCUCGAUAUACGGUAAGUGAGCUGGCAUCUUUAUCACUUAAAUGCUUUCAUUUCCUCCUUUUCGUUUCAAAUCCCUAGACUUACAUCAUCAUCGUUUUGUUAUUCGUCUCUCCGUCGUUAACCUACCCCCUCUUUGAACUUUACUUACACUUCCCGUGUUCGGAGUAUCUACUUGCUGGGUUUUUUCUCUGUCACGGCAGCGCUAUCAGGGCCAGUUCAUUCCAGGUAUUGCUUUUAAUCUCUUCCCUGGUUGUUGUUGAUUGGGUUCUGUGUUGCCCCCUUUUGUAUCCGUAUACUUGAGUUUUCUUUGUUUUCUUUUGGGAUUCUGAUAUGUCAAAUCGGAAAAGGAAGUUAAUUGUUGAUGAGAGUGAUGAAGAAACAGGGGAUUCAGACCUUAACGUGUCAAUACCCACCGAUUUCUUAGGUCCCUCCAGUAGUGUAGGUCCUUCCCAUGGCAGGGAUAUCCUUGAAUACCCACGCCCCCUGACCAUUUCGCCUUCCCCUGAAUUAGAGCUUGUGGGGAAUAGAGGUGGACCCACAUCCAGCUCUGGUGAAGAUCACAGUUAUGGUGGGGUUGGGGUCCCUGAAGAAGUGGGUGAUGGCGAGAGAAGCAGUUCCGAGCCGAGCGGACCCUCUAGGAAAAGGAACUUUGGCCACAUAGUGGAGGCAGAUUCUUACCCUAUUGAUUUCAUAGCUUGUGCCACCACCCCCACUGAUCUAUUAAAGCUUAGGAACCUCUACAACAUUCCUGAGGAGGUUCUCCUUGUAGUUCCUGGGAAAGGUGAUGUACCUAGUCGGCCUCCGAAGGGGUACGUGACGAUGCACUUGGAGAGUUUCAGACUAGGAGCUCGGCUGCCCCUUCAACGUUAUUUUGCCAAGAUAUUGGGUGGUAUGCACCUGGCCCCAGGUCAGCUACACCUAAACGGGUGGAGGGUUCUCUCGGCUAUGUUUGUGCUGUGGGAGAGGUGCGGGUCGGAGGAGCCUUCCCUUGUUGAAGUGAAGCAUCUGUACCAGCUGCGAAGCAGCCCAAAGGAGGCGGGCUGGUACUACUUCAUGUCCAGUUUUGCAAAGAGGAAACCGAUCACUGGGUUUCCUUCUUCAUGUAAGAAUUGGAAGAACAAAUUCUUCUUUGCUGGAGGAAACUGGUGUCCAGCAGUCCGGUCGCUUGGUGGGGAUAUUUACCUUCCAAUGCAUUUUAUCACCCCAGGUCGUUCAUUUUUGCCUAUAUUCUUAAUCAAAAUUGCUACUUAUUGAGUUCUUUAACCUUGUUUGUUUUUUUCAGAAUCUUGGGGUUUGGUUAAGGACCUUGAAGACCGACCCUUGCUCCAGGUUGAAACUACUCUGGUGAACGCGUCUACCUGCCAAGACCUGCUGUCACUAAUAAACUUGGUCGGUUCGGGCUUAGUGGACAUUGUUGCCUGGAUGGAUAACAAUAUCCUCAGUGCAAUGAGCAGAAAGCGUGGUCGGGCUCCGAGCAGCUCCAGCAACCCUCCUCCUCCUCCGAAGAAAGUCAGUGUUAGCCCUUCUAAGGCUUCUGUUCCUGCUCUGCCCCCUCCUCCACCUAGUAAGAGUGUCGGGGAGAAAACUAUUGACAAGAGUUCUGAGGUCAGUACACGCUCUGGGGACCGAUCCUCCCCUCUUCCAGCUCGUGAUCAGGGUGACUACCUGAUCCUGUAUCAGAGGGACUAUGGGAAGUCAGUGGGACCGAAGAUGGUCCAGGACAUUGAGAGCAUGAAUCUCAAUGAAUUAGUUGGUUCUGUCCAAAGGGUCUCCUUCAAGUUGGCCACUCUAGUAUCUUGUUACAAGAAUAGGAUCACGCGCCAAGAGAGGAAGCUCCAAGCUGAGAACCAGGACUUGAAGAAGAGGGUUGAGUCUGUUGAUCGCUCGAAGGAGAAGCUGGUCGAGCUGAACGGGUAGAUUAUGGAGCUAGAGGAGAAAGUUGCGGUUGCUGAGUCCACUUCCUCCAAACUUGAGGGUGAGUUGGGUGACCUGAAGUCUGAUCUUCAGGUUACUCAAAGUGAAAGAGAUACUCUGAGGACUGCCCUUGAGGGAGAAAUCAAAUCCUUGAGUGAGCAGCUGGCUGAGGAGAAAGGUAAAUCCGCUGACGUGGACGAUCGGCUGGAUGCCGAGUAUGACUCUGGGGUUGUUUUCUCCUAUAAGUGCAUCAUGUCUGUGCUUAAGGAAGAAUAUCCCGAGCUGGACAUGAGCAAGCUGGAGGCUGGAGUAUAUGGCAGAGAUCGGCCAGGCAGAUAAAGAGUAGGGUGAGCAGGAUCAAGUGGAGGCUCCUUUAGAUGGGGUGCAGGAGGGGGAAGUUGGGGGACAUGCUUUUGAAGUGGGACAAGGGUCCGUGCCUCCUCCUCCCGGUAUUGCUGAUCUUCCACCUCCAGAGAUAGCUGAUCCUUCACUUGCUAAAGCCGUUGACCCUCCUAAUCCUUAGGUCUAUUUUUGUAUAGACUCUAGAUUUUCAUUCGUUUUGUAAACAUUUAAAUGCUUAUAAAUUUUUAGAUGUUCUUUACUGGCUUUCUUGUCUGGUUUUUGCUCAUGGAUUGUUUCUGCAAAUUAAUUUGACAAUUUAUCUGAUUUUGCUUGUUGGUUCUUUAGUGGACCGAGUAGGAAUAUGCAUCCGCUUGCCUUAGUAAAUUUUUGCAAAAUUGCCUGUUGGUCGUUUGUUGACCGAUCAAGAGCAGGCACUUACUUGCCUUAGUAGAAUUUUCGUAAAAUUGGCUGCUGGUCUUUCGUUGAUCGAGCAUAAGCAGGCACUUACUUGCCUUUGUAAAAAUUUAUUGAAAUUGCCUGCUGGUCUUCGUUGAUCGAGCAGGAAUAGGCACUUGUUUGCCUUUGUGGAAAUUUCGUAAAAUCGCCUGCUGUUCUUUCGUGGGCCGAGCAGGACCAGGCACACACUUGCCUUGGUAAGAAUUUCAUAAAUUUAGCUGUUGGUCUUUCGUUGACUGAGCAGGAGCAGACACUUACUUGCCUUAGUAGAAUUUUCAUAAAUUUAGCUGCUGGUCUUUCAUUGACCGAGCAGAAGCAGACACUUACUUGCCUUAGUAGAAGUUUCGUAAAUUUAGCUGCUGGUCUUUUCGUUGACCGAGCAGAAGCAGGCACUUGCUUACCUUAGUAGAAUUUUCAUAAAUUUAACUGCUGGUCUUUCGUUGACCGAGUAGAAGCAGACACUUACUUGCCUUAGUAGAAUUUUCGUAAAUUUAGCUGCUGGUCUUUCGUUGACCGAGCAGAAGCAGACACUUACUUGCCUUGGUAGAAUUUUUUUUUAUUGGGUUUGCUAGCAGGGGGAUUUCGUGCUGAAUUCAUCUUUAUUGAAAUUUGAAUGCAUUACAGGAACACAGAAUAUAUGUAUGUGCAACAAGCCAUCAUGCAUUUAAUAGAAAUAACUUAUGAAGACUUAGUAGAGCACUUUGCUUACUGGAAAUACUUCUUCAAGUGCUCGGCGUUCCACAACCUCUUUACGUCUCGUCCAUCUGUGUACACUAACUUAUAAGCUCCUGGUCCAGUUGCUCGUAUCACCCUGUACGGGCCUUCCCAUUUCGGGCCAAGAGCGCCAUGGUUGGGAUCCCUGGUGUUUUGGUUCACCUUCCUAAGCACCCAAUCUCCUGGUCGGAACUGCCUCACGCGUACGUUCUUGUUGUAAUAACGCGUGACCCUUUGCUGACAUUGGGCCACUUUCUGCGAGGCCCCUUCCCUUUUCUCCUCCAGCAGGUGCAGGCUCAAGAAGAUCUGCUCGCCAUUUUGCUCCUCAUUGAAGUAUUCCGUCCGAUGUAUUCGUACUCCAAUUUCUGCUGGGACUACCGCCUCAUGACCAAAAGCUAAGGCAAAUGGGGUUUCCUCUGUAGCGGUUUUGUGAGUUGUCCGGUAAGCCCACAGUACCCCUGGUAGCUCGUCAACCUAAGCUCCCUUCUUCUCUCCCAGUCUAGUCUUCAGGAGUUUCUUUAUCACUUUGUUGGCUGCUUCCACUUUUCUGUUUGCCUGGGGGUGUGCGGGGGUGCAGAACUUCAGGUCCACCCCUAGGUUCCGGCAAAAUUCUCUGAAGUUGUUGUCAAAUUGCCUUCCAUUGUCGGUGAUGAUGGUAUAAGAGAUUCCGUAUCUGCAGAUGAUAUUCUUCCAAAUAAAAUCCGUUGUCUUUCUCUCCGUGAUUUGGCUAAGGACCCCCACUUCUAUCCACUUGGUGAAAUAGUCUAUUGCUACAAUUGCAUGGGUUGCCGCUCCUCGGCCUUUCAGUAACGGACCAAUCAGGUCGAUUCUCCAUUGAGCAAAAGGCCAUGGGGAUGUCAUAGUGGUGAGCUUUUCUGGGGGUUGUGCGGGAACCUCUGAGAAGCUUUGGCAGAUUUUGCAACUCUUUGCCAUCCUUUUCGCAUCCUGGUGCAUGGUCGGCCAAAAGUAUCCUUGCCGGAGUGCCUUGAAGGCUAAAGUUCUUUCUCCUGAAUGAUUUCCACAUAUUCCUUCAUGAAUCUCCCUUAGUACAUAGUCUGCCUCCUCAUCAUCCAAACAUCGCAAAAGGGACAAGGUGAAUUCUCGGCGAUAGAGCACCCUAUCGAGCAGUGCAUACCUCGCUGCUCGGCGUUUUAACUUUCUUGCUUGCCUUUUGUCCUCCGGUAAAAUGCCAUCGCGGAUGUAUGCGAGAAUCGAGUCCAUCCAAGAUUCUUCGAUGCUUAUUCUCAUUACCUCUACUUCCUCUCCUAUACUCGGCGAGGCCCUCAUCUUUAGUGGAACUGACUUAGGUAAUUUGGGAUCUACUGUUGCAGCCAUUCUUGCCAACAUGUCUGCUCGGUAAUUUUCAUUCCAGGAUAUCUGCUUCACCUCUACCUUUUUGAAGAGUUCAACCAUUUGUUUCGCCUUCUUCAAAUAAAGCCCCAAUUUCUCUUCCCUUACUUGGAAUUGAUCACUGAGCUGAUUACAUAUUAGCUGGGAAUCUGCUUGGAUUUCUACUCUUUCUGGGCUUCGGAUUAUAACUCCUGCUCUAGAUCCCUGUUCACUACGUGACCCAUCAACCAUUACCAGCCACACCCCCUUUGGAUCCUUCUGUUCCACUAGUUGUUCCUCCUGGACCUCUUCCCCUGGUUCAACACGGUCAACCAUAAAAUCAGCCAGGGCUUGGGCCUUGAUUGCUCCUCGGGGCCUAUAGGACAGGUCGAAUUCGCUCAGCUCCAUGGACCACUUUACUAACCGCCCUGAUGCAUCUGGUUUUUGGAGCAUUUUCCGGAGAGGUUGGUCGGUCAUCACAAUUAUCGGGUGGGCCUGAAAAUAUGAUCGCAGUUUUCGUGCUGCCGUUUUUAAAGCCAGUGCCCAUUUCUCCAUCAAUGGGUACCUAGUUUCUGCGUAUACCAGGGCUUUGCUAGUGUAAUACACAGGGUGUUGCUUCCUUUCUUUUUCUCGGACUAACACUGAGCUGGUGGCCCAUUUUGAGAUUGCCAAGUAUAAAAACAGUUGGUCACCUUCUCUCGGAGUUGAUAGUAAUGGGGCGUGAGCCAGAUAUUCCUUCAGCUGCCCAAACGCUUCCUCACAUUCUGAUGUCCACUCCAUCUUUCUCCCUUUCUUUAUGGUUUCGAAAAAAGGGUGGCAUUUAUCUGUGGCCCGCGAGAUGAAUCGGUUCAAUGCUGCCAAUUUCCCUGUAAGGCUCUGCACCUCCUUAACUGUUCGUGGGGACCUCAUUUCUGUUACCGCCCGUAUUUUUUCUGAGUUGGCCUCGAACCCUUGGUGGCUCACCAGGAACCCCAAAAAUUUGCCAGAGCUGACCCCAAAUGCACAUUUCUCCGGGUUUAGCUUCAUUCCAUACUUCCUCAGUAGUUCAAAGGUCUCUUCCAAAUGUUUCACGUGAUCACUCGGUUCUUUGGACUUUGUGAUCAUAUCAUCCACAUAUAUCUCCAUAGUAUGACCGAUCAAUUGCUUGAAGAUCUUGUUCACCAACCUUUGAUAGGUGGCUCCUGUAUUUUUCAGGCCAAAAGGCAUCACCCUGUAGCAAAACAAACCCAUGUUAGUUAUAAAGGUGGUGUUUUCCUCAUCCUGCUCGUCCAUGGGUAUCUGGUUGUAUCCCGAAAAGGCAUCCAUGAAGCUGAGCAGACUGUGACCCGCUGUUGAGUCCACCAAUUGAUCUAUCUUUGGUAGGGGAAAACUGUCAUUCGGACAUGCCUUAUUAAGAUCUGUGAAAUCCACACACAUCCUCCAUUUUCCGUUGGCCUUCUUUACCAGUACUACAUUGGAAAUCCACUCUGAGUACUUGGCCUCCCUUAUAAAUCCUGCUUUCAAUAGUUUCUCCACCUCGGCAUUUAUGGCCUCGUACCUUUCCUAGUUAAAGCAUCUUCUCUUCUGCUUCACCGGCCUCGCCUCAUUCUUGAUUGCCAACUUGUGGCAAGCUACCCCGCGAUCAAUUCCUGGCAUAUCCUCGUGAGACCAGGCGAAUAUAUCUGCAUGAGACUGUAGGCACUUUACCAGCUCGCCUCUUACUGUCCCAACCAAUCCUGAACUGAUCUUAACCACUCUGCUCGGGUUGCUUUUGCUUACCGCAACUUCUUCCAGUUUCUCAACGGGUUCUUGGCGGCCCUUUUUAGACUCUCCUCGGUUAUCUAGAGAAGUAACCUGUAGUGUCUCCUUGGCCGCUGUAGCAUAACAACUCCUUGCCAUUCUCUGGUCGCCUUUUACUACACCAACCACUCCAUUUACUCUGUAUUUCAGUGCCAGAUAAUGCGUAAAUACAACGCAUUGGCUUAUCCUCAUGAAGGGUCUCCCCAGUAUCAUCUGGUAAGGGCUUCUUUCCUCUACCACGACAAAGUCCAGCAUCAUCGUUCUUUCAAACGGCUUUGUCCCCACAGUAAUUGAGAGUUCGAUGAUCCCCAUGGGAGUUAACCGUCCCCCUCCAAAUCCCUUUAAGGAUGUAUUUGUCCGUUCUAAUUUCAAGUCUGCAAUUCCCAUAUCAUCUAGGGCCGACUUAAACAGGAUGUCAACCGAGCUGCCCGUGUCUACCAGUAUUCGUCCCAAUUCUGUACCAGCCACCAUUGCCUUAAUCACCAGUGCAUCCUCAUGAGGAUAUAAGAUACCCUCUUCAUCGUCAUCUGUCCAUAUAAUGGGAACUUGCCGCACUUUUGCCUUCUUGGUUGCUGGCAAAUUGAAAAGCACCUCUUUGCUAGUCAUGGCGUAUCUCCCAUAGUUCUUCCGUGCCUUGUUCGAAUCCCCAGCCAAUGUUGGCCCUCCUGCUAUCACACGGAUAGUCGGCUGUUCACAUUCCAGGCCCCUCUCAGCUCCUUCAUCCCGCGUGUACUGUGAUUCAAUGACGGAGGACACCCCAUCUACAUAUUUAUCCAAAUAACGGUUUCUCACCAAAUCCUCCACCUGGAUCUUUAAGUCACGACAUUGGCUGAUUGUGUGACCGUGAGUGUCGUGAAAUUUGCAAAAUCUGCUCUUAUCCCGUCGGUGAGCAGGUUUUGUUAUAGGGGUUGGAGGGUACAACAGGCCUCGUCCCUCGAUUCUCUCGUACAACUCCUCCAUAGGGACUUUUAACGGGGUGUAUUGUCUAUACGCUGAGCUCUGGUCAAUUAGCUGGACUACUCGGCUAUUAUGAAUAUUGUCCCAAGCGGAUAUUGAAGGUAGCUGACCUGAUCGUCCCGUUCUGGAGUUGGCCGUGUGUAGUGCUUUGGGAGCGUUGUGAUAAGGAUGGUUAGCCAACUGCCGGAAUUCUCGUUGCCGCUCCAGGAAUGGGGGGCGCGGGGGCUGAGCCCUGUUGCGGUCUCUGAGCCAUGGGGUAAGGGCGAGACCGAGCUGAUACCGCACCCAUCAUUGAGGAUUCCCCAGCUCGCUUUCCCGACUCGCUCCCACUUGGGGUUCUCUUUUCCUUUCGUCUCAGCUCCUCCAGCUGUUCACUCUUUAUCCUUGCCGAUUUUUCCUCUUCAAUUUCAAUGUCUCUCUUUGCCUGCUCAUACCUCGCUGAGUAAUUCUGCACCAGGAGACUUCUCAGGUUAUACCAUAGCCAGCCUAUCCUCACACCCUCCUUUAAUCCGCUUAACGCCUGCGGGUGAUUGAAAGCUCCCAAAUUAAACACGGCUCGGUGGUAUCGUUUUACAAAAUCUCGAAGGGAUUCUUGUUCCUCCUGCUUCAUCCCCAUUAGUUCCAUCAUAUCAUCCUCUGGGGCCAUUGCUCCUCGGAACUGUUCGACUAACUCUUGGCACAUCUGCUCGUACCCUCUAAUACUUCCUCGUGACAGCUUGCGGUACCAUUCUCGAGUUCGUCCCUCCAGUGUCAAUGGGAACACCCUACACCUCUGAGCUGGUGUUAACCCCUGAACACCCGUCAUGUCGUUGAAACGUUCAAUAUGCACCAGUGGAUCACUUCGCCCGGAGUAUUUGAGGUCGGGGAAGCGAAAAUCUCUUGGGAUUACAAUACCCAUGAUCUCAAUUGAUAGUGGAGAUUCUUCAUCUAGCAUUAUCCUCCAGCUCGGGGGCUUUCUCUUGCCUUGUAUCUCCUCUAUCACUUGCGCUAAUCUGCGCACCUCUCCCUCCAAUUCUACAGCACGGUCAGGAUCACGCGCAGCUAUCUGAUCUCGCUCCUACUCGGCAUUUUGCAACCCCUGUCUGAGCUCUCCUUCAUCAAUACUGGCCCCUCGGCCAUCAGUUUUCGGUACCCAUCUAGGGCGAGGUUGGUCCCUCCCUUCAUCUACUCGUUCUCCUGGAACCCGACUAGUGCUUCUGUGGGGAUGCACCCCAUUAGGUUGGUCUGCCGGCGGAGGGAUUUCCUCAACUCUACGCCUCCGGAGGCUGGGUUCUGCUCCAACAUCAUCUCUUCCUACGGGGGUUUCACAAUCCUUUCUCCGCUCAUCCCUCAGCUCAUACAGUAUGGUCGCGAGAGUCUCCAUUUGUUUCUUCAUCCGCUCCAAUCGAUCUUGCAUCAUCCUCUCCCGGGCUUCAUUUGUAAUUUCCCAGAGAGUGAUUGUCUCCACAGUUUCAUUAUCCUCCCUCAAAGCAUCCUUCCUCGGCACAUCCAUGUCUAAUCGUUCGUUGCUUCUCCGGUAACUACUAAUUCAGUGGUAGCUUUUUAUCCAGCUCCCCACAGACGGCACCAAAAUGUUGAUGCUGAAAUCUGCUCGCCCUUUGCCCGACAAGAUUUUUACACCAACGUUCACGUUAUCAAUAAUAAAGAUAUCAAUUCCUUCUUGCUUCAACGAUUGCUCCAGCCACUGAAGUUGGAGUUGUCCCUCUUUUUCUCACUAAGCCUGCGUUUACAAAAGUGGAUCAGAGACGCCGGUGGUUUUGCCAGCGCAAACCCUCCGAUGCCUAAGUUACCACAAGGUGUUUACGGGAAAACGGUGCAAUUAGGGUUCAAAUAAUUGCUUAGAAUUAGCUCACUCUCGGUAUUGAAAAGCGUCUGGAUACAAUUUCGCAGAGUUUUCCCUACUUUCCUUUUUUCUUCCCUUUUCUUCAUCGAUUUCUUCUUCUUUUAUAGCCGCUGUCCCACGUUCCCAUUUAGCCUUCAUCCCUCCUUUUUCGAGUGGUGGCAGCCCCUCAUAGGACUCUAACUGCUACAUUAUGGGCAAAAGUAGGAUCUCGCGUCUCCCGCAACGGUUCUGGAAAAAGCGCAACUACCGUGAUUCUGUGGGAUCGUGUUCCCGCUUUUUCGGGGGAUGGGUAUCGGCUCGGUAUAUACCUCUGGUCAGUAUACUCCCCUGGUUGGUACUCGUCUCUAGUCUGCUCAUAUUUGUCCCCGUGUUCUGCUCGUACCAUUUGGCUGAGGUGAUCCAUGCCGGGGCGGAAAUAAUAGCAUGGCCGACCUGGUGCUUUUAUUUACUUAACACUCUACUUCCAUUCUGAUUAUCCGGGAGUAUUUCUCGAAUAAUAUCCCACACUUCAAUGCUCCACACAUCAUCAAUCACAAUCAAAUACCGCUUGGUCAUUAGAUAUUCAUGAAGAAUAAUUUUUUUCAUUUCAUAAUUUUUAUCCUUUAUUUCACUCAACCUAGAUGAAGGCAUCAGAAACUUAAUAAUGAUAUCUAAUAUUUGGUCAGCAUAGCAGGUGUAAGGCUCUUGAACCCAAGCAUGACAAUCAAAAUAAUGCUUCAUAUAGUUGCUGCUGUAAGCCUCUGCGGCGAAAGCCGUCUUGUCCAAUCCAAUGCUAUCAAGUAUGGUCACUGCGGAAAGUUGAGGUGGUCCUUCUAUCAAUAGAUCUAACAACUCCUCCAUUCUAUCAUCUAGACCCACCGUGUCCCUACUUUUAGAAGAUGAAGAUAUACCGGCUUCAGCUUCAAAAGUUUUGAUGGCAUCAAUGAUUUCGGAAUCCGUGUGCUCAAGUUGUUGCAUCCGUUGCUUAAUAUCAGUGAUUCUGCUUUGGGGUCCUUGCAGAGCAUUACAAAUGUCCUUGCUGCCGCUGCUUUGACUCUUUUGUUCACUGAUGCUGUUGAUGAAUGUGUUAAUCACCUUCUCAGAUUCAUACGUAAAGCAAUUGAUUUCAUCCAUAAUGUUCCCGAGAUCAGGGUCAUCAAUUUCAACUUCUCCUAUUUUUUGCAUCAGAAGGCAGGAGAUAUCAUCUUCAAAUUCCCUCAGCCAAGAAGUAACGAUUUCAGUCUCGGCAUGAAGGUUCUGAAUAUGUUGUUUUGCAGCAUCAAGCAACGUGACUUCUUCACCAGCUAACACCCGUCCCAGCCUCUCGGAAAAUAGCAUGAAGUUGAUGUCCAUAUCUCCUCCUCUCUCGGUACCACCCUGUAAUCAGUCCUGUAGCAUGCAAAGAAAUAGUUAAAAACAGAGAGUUGGAAAGAAACUUUGCUUUAAACCUCCCCUACCUCCGUUCUCUUAGCUAGUACUCCAUUCAAGAAAUUGAAUUGAGAUUGUUGACUCUCAAAUUAGAACAGAUCAAGGCAGAGGACUACGGUAAAUGAAUCUUACAAUACACUGUUCUCCAUAUGUUGUAAAAAGAAUAAAGCAUAAGAGAAUAAAUAGGUCUUGAUCAAGGAUCAAUCAAGACCAAUAUGUAUUAUACAUCCACUUUCAAGAAAGAAAAGGUCAAAACAAUUCCACCGGGACCAUAAGGCCUAUUUGAAAAGAAAAGAACAGAGCAAGAUCUUUAGUAAUUUAAGCUGUGGAAAAAUGCAAAAUCACGUCUACCACUUACUGGCGUGCAAAAAGUUUUAUGUAUCCACUGAAACAUUUAUUGUUGAUGAAUGAAACUGGUCUUAGGUUGACCUACACAACUCUUUCUCUCGGUACUCCAGUAGUGCAAGCAUGUUAGUUUAGUCAGUAGUUUCUCCUACACAUAAAUGAUGUUUAUUAUAGAAUUUUGAUAAUGGGUACAAUAAGAAAGUAGUUGCAAAGAAAAUAUUGGGGGUUGAUGUGAUAUCUAUUGACUUGGAGCAUAAUAAAUAAUUACAAAAUCACUAUUUGUCUUUAAUUUUCAUCAUACUCCUUAUUAAAAAAUUAUUAUGAUUACAUAGUCAGUGAUUUAUAUUCACAGAAGACAAAAGUAAUGAAUAAAUAAGCUACCACUUGCAAUUAAUAAAAUGGUAACCCUAUCUGGUAAGGUAGCCCUGUUCAUUGAAAGCAAAAGCAACAGAAUCGUUCACUGUGCUGCCACAAAAUGAUUGUCAUGGAAGGCACCAAAGUUUCCAAGUAACAGACAAAGUCGAAGUAGUUAGCACUAUGAAGCGAGGCUGAAAAUCUUGUUCCUCACGUUAAAUAAUAUUUAAUAACGACCUACUGCUAAUCAUUGUGUUUGUUAAUCUCUGCCUUAUGCCUUAGCUUUAAUAGCAUCUCCAUGUAAUCCUCCCAACCCACUACACGGGAUCAGAGUAUUAGCCAAACAUGUACAUAGAUAACUACUCUCUGUUUCAAUAACUUGUAAUCUUAUCUUAUAUCUCUUUACCGUUAUCUUGUAAUUAUCAUAUAGGCUAUGGCUUAGCUUGUAUUUAUCUUAUAGGCUAUGACUUAUCUUAUAGUGUUUGGCUUAUCAUCCAAGUAUGCUUGACUUGUAUAAAUUGUAACGUUACUCAUUGAUAAAUUAUUGAUUCAUACAAUUUCUUUACAGAGUCAGGCAAGUAUGAAGUUCAUCAAUAAUCAAAUCUCUUCUGUAAAUGAACAAAGCAUAUUGAUUGAGUGCCUAACUGUAGCAACUGGAGUGCUUAAAACCAGAGAUACCUCAGUUGCUGCCCAAUAUCACAAUCCAAUCAAUCAAGAUGCUACCAAGAAUGAACUAAUUUGAAGCUCAAUUGAAAAUGGAAUUGAAACAAGAUAAUGAUGAAAGAACAAAAAGCAAUUAAGAUCAAAUUGAAUUAAAGAAUUGAAAGAACCAACAGAGGAAAAAUCAAUUCAACGUGGUUCAACUAAUUUGCAUUAGCUUGCAUCCAUGGGAGGAAAUUUUUGAUCAGUUUUUAUAGAAAAUACAUUAAUCCCACUUAAUCCAAGACUAGAAAGCAUCACAAACAUUCUUUAUUUUUAUACACAGUCAACUCUCUGCUGAAAUGAAAUCUCUUACUUAAUGAGUACACAGCUGAAACAAAGACAACUGGAAUUACUUUUCAAAUUUGAUACACUGCUAAUAAUAAUGACAAUAUUAAAAUGUGGCAUGUGUUGAUUCUGCUGCCUCAAAGCUUCACUUGAGCUAGCCCUUAAUCUACUGAUUCACCUCACACGAUUUUUGUAACUUGAUCUAAGAAUCAAGUAUGAGUUUGAUAAAUUUCAUGAGAUAGAUAGCAUAAAUUUCAAAGUCGUUAGUUAAUUUGUUAUGAGAUAUCAUAUCACAAACAUAUUUUAUUAGUUUAAAUGAAGCUUAAUAAUUAUUCAACGAGGAUUUAAUUAGUUAAUUGUUUAAAUUUAUUCUUAAUGGAAUGCUAACAAACCAAAUUAAAUUUCUACAUUUAUUUAAUUAUAUACAUGCAUAUCUUGAUAACUAUUUUAACGUGUGAUCCAAUAUAGAACAUAAUUUAAUCUUGAAUUUUGCUCUGAAUAUUUUUAUAGUUGAUUUGUUAUAAAUUUGAACGAGGGAUUGCAAUUACUUGCUCUUUUAUAAAUAUUUUUAUACCGUAGGCAAUAGUUAUAAAGAUUGAUUAUUGAUGAACUUCACACUUGCACACAAAAUUCUAUUAUUGAAAGUCGAUGCUUACUAUAACACGGCGUUUUUCUAGCUUUUACUAGACGUGGUUUCAAUUUAUUGAACCAUUAGAGGGACACAUCAGUAGUCACAAAAGUGCCCCUGUAAAUGGCAAUCCUUGUAAUCAUUUUGCUGCCGCUCUUCAUUCCACUCCCAAGUACGCAGCCCAAACUUCAACUUUCUUUGGGAAGGUAAUGAAGCGUGACUUUGUCUCAGUAAUCUGUCUUUCAUAUUCCAUUGAAUGAGCCAAAGGAGGGAUGCUUCUAUAAUUAGUAGCAACUAUCAAUCAUAUUGAAGGAAUUUCUGCAACAGAUAAAGAAAGAAUAUCAGAGAACAAAGCUGUUAAUCAAUCAACACAUGUACAGCAGUAUUAGUAUUUCUGCCUCAUUGUAUUGCCUAAGCGGGUAUUAGGAUUUCUCCACAAGAACGUUUACUAAGACAUUCAGCCAAGUGUGAAGUUCAUCAAUAAUUAAUCUUUUCUGGAAAUAAACGGAACCUAUUGAGUGUCAGACUUGCCCAUCCUUUGAAACAGGAUUUCAGAGCAAGCAACAGAACAAAGACAGAAAAUACAUUCAACUCAACCCAAACACUAGCAAGCAUCACAAAUAGUAAUUAUUUUUUGUACACAAUUAACGAAACCAUGGCCGAAGCACAAAUCAAUGAACUAUCAACUGAAAAGCCAAAACAAAACUUCUUAUUUAUGAAUAGACAGCGGAAACAAAGAAACCAAAAAAAGUCCACCACCGUAGGAUCAGGACUUAUUUGUGUAGACAGCAAAUGUGAAGACGGAAAGGUUCUGGUUGAAAUUGAAGCUCGGGCUACAGUCAUGAUGUUUUCUUGUCAUGACCCAACCCGUCUUGCCAAUUAAGGUGUGGAUCACCCCUUAUAAACCCAACAUCGCUCCCGUGCUUUGCCGAUGUGGGAUUUGCCUAGGGUGUUACAUACACCUCCCCUUGGGGACUCAGCGUCCUCGCUGAGGUUUGCCCCACCAUCGCUUGAGAGGACAUGCGGAGCCGCUUUGAUACCAUAAUGUCAAGACCCAACCCAGACCUGGCAAGAUAUUGUCCGCUUUGGGCCUUAACAAGGCCUGCACAGAUUUGUUCUUGGGGCGCUCACACACCCCAAAACGCGUCUUGCCAAUUAAUGUGUGGAUCACCCCUUAUAAACCCAGUAUCUCUCCCGUGCUUUGUCGAUGUGGGAUUCGCCUAGGGUGUUACAUACACACCCCCUUGGGGACUCAGCGUCCUCGCCGAGGUUUGCCCCACCAUCGCUCAAGAGUACACGUGGAGCCGCUCUGAUACCAUAAUGUCAAGACCCAACCCAGACCUGGCAAGAUAUUGUCCGCUUUGGGACAAGUGGACACGCGAAGCCACUCUGAUACCAUAAUGUCAAGACCCAACCCAGACAUGGCAAGAUAUUGUUCGCUUUGGGCCUUAACAAGGCCCGCACGGAUUUGUUCUUGGGGUGUAUGGGCGUAAAGCGGACAAUAUCUUGCCAGGUCUGGGUUGGGUCUUGACAUUUUUGCUCUAAUUUCACCUACACAAGUCAUUGAAGAAAUUGUGAAAAAUAAGAAAUCUAAAUUUUUUUUUCUUAACUACUAAAACAAAUGAACAUCGAUGUAUUGAAGAGGGUUGAUGAUUGGGGUGAGCAUUAGAAACUCUAAAGGGUAUUUAAUGUUGAGGCAAAUUAGAAGAAAACAAUUUGUAUAACCAUUUUUGUAUUGAAGAAAAGGGGAAAAAAUAUAUGAAAUUGGAUAAAUAAUUAAAAUUUGAAGAAAUUGUGUAAAAUGAGAAACAUACAUCAAGUUCAAUAGGGGCUAAUCAAAUUCCGUAAGGAUAGCCACUCGGCCAAAGGCCGAGUGGUUAGAGUUGCUGCCCUCCAAGUUGGAGGGCAGCAGUUCGAACCCCCACAAAUGCAUUGUGGGGGUAUUUCCUUCCUUCAUUAAAAAUUGAGUGAAGGUAGUCUUCCUUCUUACCCAAGAGUGAGGAGUAGACAUUCCUCGAAUAUUUGUGAGGGUUAAAAUUUGGGUAGAGCUCCAUUAGCAUUGAUGUAAGUUGGUCCCAGUAAUAGUCUGAUUUAUAAAUAUCAGUUAUAACCUCAUGUAAUAUGAGUUGUAGUUUGAGCAAUAGUCUCAUGUAAUAAAAAAAAAUUCCAUAAGGAUAUAGUUGAAUGCCACACUGUUCCUUAUCCUCAAAUUCCCGUAGCUUUUGUCUCAGCUCUGGUUGAGGCCACCAGCAAUCGAACUUGUUUAAGCUCUUUAUGCACCAGAGAUGUUCAGGCAUCUUUUUCAAGUAAGCACAAGGGUUGAUAAUCAAGCAUUCUAGUUUUGGCAUGGCUGCAUUCCCCAUAGUCCAGAAGUCAGCUUUCUGUAUGAAUACGAGUUUUGCUUCAGUUUGAGCACUUGAAGAAGCGGCAACGUUUCUAGCACCGGCAUGGGAUCAUCCAUUCGGUCAGUAUUAGAAAAACUCAAGUGGGUUAGACUAUGAGGAAAUAGGUAUUCAGCAAGGACGAUUUUGGAGAGCCAUGGCAUCUUGCUUUCAUUCGCCAGCUUCAAUGACUUGAGACAGCUCAAUCUGCAGAGACUUUGAGACAGCAAAGAUUGAUCAUAACUUAAAUCUCCCCGCAUUCAGAGAUUUUGAAGAUUAAGUAGCCUGCCUAAUAUAUCUUCAAUACAGCAGCAAAUGUGCAAGGCUGAAAUGAAAUUUAGAUUUUCCAGAGAGCCACAGUAUUUUCCUGGAUGCGCAGGAAGUGUGAUUGACCCAAAAUUUAGAUGUCUGAGUUUUUUCAUCUUCCAAAAUUCAUCUACCGUAUGAUCUAUAUAGCUAAAGGGCAUGUCUAGGGUGUAGAGGUUCAGAAGAUUGCUUAAUAAUGAGGAAGACAGGCUUUUGAGGGAAGGGAUAUUCAACUUCAAAUAUCUCAAAAGAAAUAAAUUUUCAAUUCCGGAUGGAUACUAGAUGAGAACAAGAGAUUCCAAGUCCAACACUCUGAGAAGUUUGAACAUUCCACAAAUUUUCUCCCAAUCUAUGGGGUCAAUGUGGCGGCUUUCUGGAGAGCAGCACAAGAAAGAAUGCAGUUGCGAGUCAUAAUCAUCUAAGCAAGCAAAAUCACUCUGUUGUUCUAAAGUGUAGAAACGUUUGACAUUUUUUUAUGAUUUACCUUCUAUAUCCAUGAAAGGGGAAAAGAUAAAUUCCACCUUGGAAGCCACUCCUAACAAUACAGGACGGCAACGACCGGGAAUAGAGCAUGUGUUGAUUGUGCCUCCAGCUCUUCUCUUAUUUGCUUCGACAAAGCCUCUGUUGAUUAGUUGCUCUAAGUACUUCUUAGCAGUUGCCUCAUUAUUGUCUUCAAUGAAACCUUCAGCUAUCCACAGUUGAUAUACAUGCCUGGUGGAUAUCUCUAAGUGUGCGGGAAACACUGAGAAGUAGAGAAAACAAGGUUUCAAGCAAAAAGGUGACAUACAAUAUAUGAUACAUUGAAGCCCAAGGGACAUGGUCAAUACUUUGUCUAUAUUUUCUUCCAAUGAGAUGCUUCCAUGAUACAAGAUGUGGAAAGGCCAUCCUUGGUAUGUAGCUCUCAAUAGUCCUCCAGUGGGCACAAAAUCAAGCCCAAUGUUCUCUCCGUUUUCGAACUGAAAUGAGGUGACAAUCUUAAUUUGAGCGAGUGUUAUUAAUACUCUACUUCCAUUCUGAUUAUCGGGAAGUAUUUUUCGAAUAACAUCCCAUGCUGAUAUUCUCCACACAUGAUAAAAAAAUAAUCAAAUACCGCUUGGUCAUUAGAUAUUCACGAGGAAUAUUUUUUUUAUUUCAUAAUUUUUAUCCUUCAUUUCACUCAGUCUAGAUGAAGGCAUUAGAAACUUAAUAAUGAUAUCUAAUAUUCGGUGAGCAUCAUAGCUGUGAGGCUCUGGAACCCAAGCGUGACAAUCAAAAUAAUGCUUCACAUAGUUGCUGCUGUAAGCUUCUGCGACGAAAGCCGUCUUGUCCAAUCCAAUGCUAUCAAGUAUGGCCACUGCUAAAAGUUGAUGUGGUCCUUCUAUCAAUAGAUCUAACAAAUCCUCCAUUCUAUCAUCUAGACCCACCGUGUCCCUAUUCUUAGACGAUGAAGAUGCAAGAAAAUUACCGGCUUCAGCUUCAAUUGAUUUGACUUCAUCAAUGAUUCCGGAAUCGAAGUGCUGAACUUGUUGCAUCCGUUGUUUUAUAUCAAUGAUUUUGCUUUGGAGUCCUAGCAGAGCAUCACAAAUGUCCUUGCUACGCCUGCUUUGUCUCUUCUGUUGAGUAAUGCUGUUGAUGAAUGUGUCAAUGAACUUCUCAGAUUCAUAAGUAAAGCAAUUGAUUUCAUCCAUAACGGUCCCAAGAUCUGGGUUGUCAAUUUCAACUUCUCCUAUUUUUUGCAUCAAAAGGCAAGAGAUAUCAUCUUCAAAUUCACUCAGCCAAGAAGUAACGAUUUCAACCUCCGCAUGAAGGUUCUGAAUAGGUUGUUUUGCAGCAUCAGGCAACGUGACUUCUUCACCAGCUAACACCCGUCCCAGCCUCUCGGAAAAUAGUCUGAAGUUGAUGUCCAUAUCUCCUCCUCUCUCUGUGCCUAGUGGUCCUAACAUGCAAAUUGAGACAUAAUUGAGAGAGACAAUGAUUAAAAGAUUAAAAAAAUAAUAAUAAGAAAUUUCCAUGUCUCUCAAUUCAAACAUUAACUAGCAUUAAUUGUUGAUGAAACUCUACUCAGAACCCUAUGCCUGAUACCUCCUUCUCUAAUUAAUCCUGCCGAGUGUUGCCAUUCAAAAAGUUAAAUCAAGAUUGCUGACAGUCAAAUUACAAGAGAUGAAAGGCAGAGUGCCGGAAAUGAAUCUUAUAUCCUCAUGUUGAGUAUGCAUUCUCAAACCAAGAUUGUUGACUAAUCGUUACGUAAAACGAAUAGAAAGAAAAUUUUUAUAAAAUGCAAAUUAGCUUGGAAAGAUUCUACCUAGAAACCAUCAUGUGACAAAUUAAUCUCUUUCUUAACGCAUUUCUAAAUGUAACAUAAUAAAUUUCGUCCUGGAAAUGAGCAAGAUUGUGCUUGUACUCAAAAUAAGCAAGCUUUCAAUCUUUUUUUUUUUUAAUUUCCCCCUUUUUAUUUGAUUUGUGAUCAUAUGAAACGUGUGAGGAAAAACAUAACUUGUAAACAAGAAUCAAACACAAAUAAAUCAUGAACCUCACAUUCAUGAUAUAAAAAUAAUAAAAUGGAGUUAUUUUGUGGAUAAUUCAGAUAUUAAACUACCUGUUUUUUCUUAAAGUGAUCACAAACUUCAAUAUCCUGACGAUAUAUAUCUUAUUUUGAUUAAAAACAACACAAUCAAAUUAUUACAUAGAAAGAAUAUGAAAAGGAAUGCUGAAUUUUAUUCAAAUUGGGUAUUGAUAGAUGAAUGAUUUGUUAGAAUUGAAAAUGAUCGUGCAUGUGAAAGAAAAAUAAGUUCAGAGAAAAAUAAAAGAUCAAGAUUAGUUAAACUUUACUUGUAAGUAAAGGAAAAAUCUUGGUUCAAGUAAAGAAAGAGAUACCAAACUCACAAAAUGGAAAAGGAGAAAGGUUAAACAAAGACUUAGUUCAAAGAAAAGAACAUGAUGCUGAUGUCCUGUAAUCUUUUUUUUGUUUAUUAAUUUUCAUUUUUCUUCUUCCAAUUUUUGUUUUUCCAAUCCAAAAAAUGAAAGCAAUAUGCAUUUGCUAACUGGGAAAAAAGUCAUUUGUCUCAAAAUAAAAUGACAAUAUAUCAUGAUUACAAGAUGUCUUGGACAUUCUUAAGAUAGCAAAAUCAAUAAACUCAACAUUAUGUUACUGGCUAAAGAGUGGUAAGAAUCCAAUGACAACCAAAGCAGAAGGAUCAAUUUGAAUACAAAAGGGAAUUCCUCUGCUGCAAACAAGGGCUUUGAUGUGACUGUAAGGAAUUGAGUGAGCAGCAGCACAUCCUCUCGCCAUCAACUUCAUUGCACUGCAUUACAAGGCACCCUCUGGAUGCUGGAAGGGAAAAUGUGAAAACGAUUAUAGCUGCUCUUUAUUCUUUUAGUGCAAUUGGGCUGCUAAUCAACCAAUAGAGAAAGAAUUCAGUCAUCAAUUCUAACGAAGCUUCCAAAAUCUGCAACGCUACAGAUUAAAUUUUAAAUCUUCCACUUUCAGAACUUCACUCGUUAAAUCUCCUCUUCAAUUCUACCUAGUCCUUACUAGAUCCCUAAAGUCACCAAGGAUUAGUGAUGGUUUUUUAUUUUACAAGGGCUGUUGGACAACCCAGAUUGACGAGGGCUAAAAUCUCCAUAUAUUUGGAGUCUAUGAAGAUUAGACAAUAUGCCACAGUUUCUUUUUUGUUGUGUUUAAUCCUCUGUUAGUACCAAGAUCACACACCUAAGACCCUCUUUGACGUAUCAAGAAUCAUUCCGGAAACCGAAACUCAAAAUUGAAUCAAAGUGCCUACAUCCACUGAAGAACAAGGACCAUUUCACAAUCAUUCCAAGAAUAUGCAACUUUUUCUCUUUAACUCUUUCUCUUUCUAUGGCUUUGAUGAGACCUGUGAAGAUGACCCAACAACCAGCGUUAUAAACUACAAUAAAGGUUAUUUCCAACAAACCCGAAAUUUCCAUGCUCUAUUUUAACGAACCCCAACUGACUUUUGACCAGCAUUGUCGCCCUUACAUUGGACGACACGUCGGCGAAAUUCUAAAAAACCGAAUGACAAUAUCGUUCUGUCAGUUUUAAGAUAAUGAGGUGUGAUCACAGCACAAAUAUUUUUCGUUUAACUAAAGUAAUGAGAUUGAACUGUACCACUACUAAAAAACUAGAAAAAUAAAAUAAAAUAAAAAACAAUAACAUAUAUGCAACUUCAAUGUUGACAAAUUGAAUACACACCAGUGAAUGGGAAAAUAGAAAGUAAAACAAUCAAUAAAACUUUUGUACAAAUUACUAAUCCGUGAAAACAAAGAAACCAUACAAUUCUUAUCAAAAAAAAAAAAAAGAAACCACACAAUUUCAGUGAAGGCUGGAUUCUUAUUGAAAUUGAAACUUUGGCUGCAGUACAGUUAAGAUAUUUUCCGCUCUGCUUUGACCUACACAUACAAGUAAUUGCAUAUCUUAUUUUACAGUUUUUCUUGAUUAUUUCAACAACCAAUACAUAAGGGUUCUGCCUCUUCUAUUAAUAAGCGAUUAAUGAUUAGUGUCAGUAUCAGGGAAUGUGAUGGACACUUCCAAGUCUUUGUUGAGACAAAAAUUAGAUUGAAAACACUUUAUGGUAUCAUUAUUAUUUAGGCUGCUGCGUACUAUCGAAUCAAUCAUAGAGAAUAGAUGUUUACCUGAAAUUAGAUAAAUAAUUAGAGGUUGAAGUUAUUGGAUAAAAAGGAAAAAAAACUUACAUCAAAUUCGAUCCACGCUAAUCAAAUUCCAUAUGGAUAUAGCUGAAUGCCAUACUGCUCCUUAUCCUCGAAUUCCCGUAGCUGUUGUCUUAGCUCCGGCUCAGGCCACUACAACUCCAAUUUGUUUAAGCUCUUUAGGCACUAAAGCUGUUCAGGAAUCGUUUUCAAGUGAGCACAAGGGUUGAUGAUUAAGAAUUCUAGUUUCGGCAUGGCUCUAAUCCCCAUAGUCCAUUCCUCUAGCCAUAACAUUGACUUAAGGUGCAGCACCUUGAGUUUUGGAAAGCCAUCAGAGCUACAAGCCAACUAUCUACCUGAAUACGAGUUUUGCUUUAGUUUGAGCACCUGAAGAACCGCCAGCCUUUUCUAGUGCCGGCAUGGGAUCAUCCAUUAGCUCAAUAUUUGAAAAACUCAAGUGGGCUAGACUUGGAGGAAAUUUGUAACGCCACAAAUUUCCAUAAUAUUAAAUUAUGGAAAUUGGGCUUUCAUUGAUAAUUAUGGGUGGCCUAUAACCCUUAUUAAAAAAGGGAUACUAAAUUAUAAAUAGAGGUUAUUUAUGAGAUAGUUUUGAAAAAGGGUUAUUUUUCCUUAUUAAAUAGGGUUUCUUAAGAUUCCCUAUAAAUUCAUACUUUUCCUCUUCCAUAACCCUUAGUCCACGACGUUUAUUCUUCUUCUCUGCUGCUCUUUACGCUCCUACCCAAAUCCUAGGAUUCAAACCUUUGUUUAGGACAGAAUCAAAGCAACGGGUAAGUUAUUCUCCUUAUUCUCAACAGAUUUCUAAUCACUCUAUCUAGGGUUUAUAUUGGCACGAUUNNNNNNNNNNNNNNNNNNNNNNNNNNNNNNNNNNNNNNNNNNNNNNNNNNNNNNNNNNNNNNNNNNNNNNNNNNNNNNNNNNNNNNNNNNNNNNNNNNNNNNNNNNNNNNNNNNNNNNNNNNNNNNNNNNNNNNNNNNNNNNNNNNNNNNNNNNNNNNNNNNNNNNNNNNNNNNNNNNNNNNNNNNNNNNNNNNNNNNNNNNNNNNNNNNNNNNNNNNNNNNNNNNNNNNNNNNNNNNNNNNNNNNNNNNNNNNNNNNNNNNNNNNNNNNNNNNNNNNNNNNNNNNNNNNNNNNNNNNNNNNNNNNNNNNNNNNNNNNNNNNNNNNNNNNNNNNNNNNNNNNNNNNNNNNNNNNNNNNNNNNNNNNNNNNNNNNNNNNNNNNNNNNNNNNNNNNNNNNNNNNNNNNNNNNNNNNNNNNNNNNNNNNNNNNNNNNNNNNNNNNNNNNNNNNNNNNNNNNNNNNNNNNNNNNNNNNNNNNNNNNNNNNNNNNNNNNNNNNNNNNNNNNNNNNNNNNNNNNNNNNNNNNNNNNNNNNNNNNNNNNNNUGGUUUAGAUUAUGUGAAAACAGUUUCGAAUUUGCUGAGAAGUAAAUAGUUUUUAAAAUGUUUUUGAUAUCGGAUUCUCUUGUAAAUUUUACAUGGGGUACUCAUGGAUGUCCAGAAUAGUUCCAUAGAAUAUUAUAUCAUUCUGAGUUUUAGAUUAAGAGUUAAAAUUCUGAGAAUCAGACCUAUACAGAUAUGAAUUAGAAAAUCAGAUUCUUAGAAUAAGUUAUUAGUUAUCAUAUAUUGUAUUUGUUUAAGGUAUUGAAGGUGACUGAGGCUCUUAGAAGCUUAGAGGUGUGUUAAUUCAAAUUCAUUUGUCGAGGUAAGUAACUUCAUUCCUAAUGUACUGGAUAUGUAUAAGUAUUUUGAUAUUAUUAUUAUAAGUAUAAAUGUUUUGAUACUACUUAAAGGAUUACUAAUUUUGAUAACAAAAUUAGCUUUAUGUAAAUGUUUUCAAACCAUUCUUUUUAACAAAGUAUUUUAUAAAUGCUUUUUAAUAUGUAAAUGAUUUUAUGACAUGACAACCUUUUAUGAUUUUAUUUUUAAAAUGUUAUGCAAGCCUAAAUUAUUGAUAUGAACUUUUAUGAAACUGAUACGAAUGUUUUGUACCUAUGUUUGAUUUCAAUUAUUGAUGAUUGUAUGAGAUUCUUAAUGUUUUGGCUCAUUGUCCAUAGUUAUUCUGAUUCUGAUUCUGAUUCUGAUUGUAAUAUACGAUAAAAUUUUGGAGAAACAAAAUUUCAUGAUAUACCAAAUUUUAUUUUGAUUCACACCAUCUUACCAUCCACCUUAUGAAUAACACAUCAUUUAAAAAAAAUUAGGAUAAAAUAACUCGGGAUAAAAAAAGCAGAAUAACAUUUGAGAUGUCUAGUUUUUAAUUAAGUCUGUGUAUGUGUAUGCUGAAGAAAAAAAUUAUGAUCAGAAUCAGAAUUGGAUGUUCGAGCUGUGGUUUCGGUAAUGGGGUGAAUUGGCAUUUUGAUAACAAAAAAAUUAGGUUUCUUUUAAUACAAUUUUACAAAUUUUGUUUAAUCUAAAUCAAACAUAGGUACAAAACAUUCGUACCAGUUUCAUAAAAGUUCAUAUCAAUAAUUUAGGCUUGCAUAACAUUUUAAAAAUAAAAUCAUAAAAGGUUGUCAUGUCAUAAAAUCAUUUACAUAUUAAAAAGCAUUUAUAAAAUACUUUGUUAAAAAGAAUUUAGGUUUGAAAACAUUUACAUAAAACUAAUUUUGUUAUCAAAAUCAAUUAAUCCUUUAAGUAGUAUAAAAACAUUUAUACUUAUAAUAAUAAUAUCAAAAUACUUAUACAUAUCCAGUACAUUAGGAAUGAAGUUACUUACCUCGACAAAUGAAUUUGAAUUAACACACCUCUAAGNNNNNNNNNNNNNNNNNNNNNNNNNNNNNNNNNNNNNNNNNNNNNNNNNNNNNNNNNNNNNNNNNNNNNNNNNNNNNNNNNNNNNNNNNNNNNNNNNNNNNNNNNNNNNNNNNNNNNNNNNNNNNNNNNNNNNNNNNNNNNNNNNNNNNNNNNNNNNNNNNNNNNNNNNNNNNNNNNNNNNNNNNNNNNNNNNNNNNNNNNNNNNNNNNNNNNNNNNNNNNNNNNNNNNNNNNNNNNNNNNNNNNNNNNNNNNNNNNNNNNNNNNNNNNNNNNNNNNNNNNNNNNNNNNNNNNNNNNNNNNNNNNNNNNNNNNNNNNNNNNNNNNNNNNNNNNNNNNNNNNNNNNNNNNNNNNNNNNNNNNNNNNNNNNNNNNNNNNNNNNNNNNNNNNNNNNNNNNNNNNNNNNNNNNNNNNNNNNNNNNNNNNNNNNNNNNNNNNNNNNNNNNNNNNNNNNNNNNNNNNNNNNNNNNNNNNNNNNNNNNNNNNNNNNNNNNNNNNNNNNNNNNNNNNNNNNNNNNNNNNNNNNNNNNNNNNNNNNNNNNNNNNNNNNNNNNNNNNNNNNNNNNNNNNNNNNNNNNNNNNNNNNNNNNNNNNNNNNNNNNNNNNNNNNNNNNNNNNNNNNNNNNNNNNNNNNNNNNNNNNNNNNNNNNNNNNNNNNNNNNNNNNNNNNNNNNNNNNNNNNNNNNNNNNNUUCUUUGACCCCUUGUAUGGUUGAGGCAUUGAUAUGUACCGAAAAUUGGUUACAAGCUAAACUUUUUGCUAAUCCUGUCUACAACCUUCAGGAAGAUAUUAAAGCUGCUGUACCGUACAUCCGCCUUGGCCGUACAGCAGCUAUAACCCUUAUUUAGAAAGGGGUACUAAUUAAAUAGAGGUUAUUUAUGAGAUCAUUUUGGAAAAGGGCUAUUUUUCCUUAUUGAAUAGGGUUUCUUAAGAUCCCCUAUAAAUACAUACUUUUCCCCCUUCCAUAACCCUAAGUUCACAACGUUUAUCCUUCUUCUCUGCUGCUCUUUACGCUCCUACCCAAAUCUUAGGAUUCAAACCUUUGUUUAGGAGAGGCUCAAAGCGACGGGUAAGUUCACAACGUUUAUUCUGAACAGCAUGAGUAUCUCGAAUUUUUAAAGCUAUAUUUUCUGAACGAAUUUUCUUAUAAAAUUUAUAUUUCUGGAAACUAGACAUGUAGGGCUUCUUGAUUAAAUUUUAUUUCAUUAAAUUCAACUUCGUUUUCAAUUUUAUACGUAUUUUGGAAAUAGAAACCACUGCACUGGAAAUCCACGAUUCCAGUAUUGUGAUCAGAUUCACAAGACUAUUUGUACCACCAAAUGAACUCAAACAAUUCUGAAAGUUUAUAUUUAUGUUAAUAUAUGUGUCUAGGAUUCCCAGUUUUAAUUUCAUAAUUUUCUGAUUAGUAUUUUAUUUUAUAAAAAUCACGGAACCCGUUCUGUUUGGUUUAGAUUAUGUGAAAACAGUUUCGAAUUUGCUGAGAAGUAAAUAGUUUUUAAAAUAUUUUUAAUAUUGGAUUCUCUUGUAAAUUUUACAUGGGGUACUCAUGGAUGUCCAGAAUGGUUCCAUAGGAUUUUAUAUCAUUCUGAGUCUUUGAUUAAGAGUUAAAAUUCCGAGAAUCAGACCUGUACGGGUAUGAAUUAGAAAAUCAAAUUCUUAGAAUAAGUUAUUGAUUGUCAUAUCUUGUAUUUGUUUAAGGUUUUGAAGGUGUUUGAGGCUCUUAGAAGCUUAGAGGUGUGUUAAUCCAAGUUCAUUUGUCGAGGUAAGUAACUUCAUUCCUAAUGUACUGGAUAUGUAUAAGUAUUUUGAUAUUAUUAUUAUAAGUAUAAAUGUUUUUAUACUACUUAAAGGAUUAAUUGAUUUUGAUAACAAAAUUAGUUUUAUGUAAAUGUUUUCAAACCUAAAUUCUUUUUAACAAAGUAUUUUAUAAAUGCUUUUUAAUAUGUAAAUGAUUUUAUGACAUGACAACCUUUUAUGAUUUUAUUUUUAAAAUGUUAUGCAAGCCUAAAUUAUUGAUAUGAACUUUUAUGAAACUGAUACGAAUGUUUUGUACCUAUGUUUGAUUUAGAUUAAACAAAAUUUGUAAAAUUGUAUUAAAAGAAACCUAAUUUUUUUGUUAUCAAAAUGCCAAUUCACCCCAUUACCGAAACCACAGCUCGAACAUCCAAUUCUGAUUCUGAUCGUAAUUUUUUUCUUCAGCAUACACAUACACAGACUUAAUGAAAAACUAGACAUCUCAAAUGUUAUUCUGCUUUUUUUAUCCCGAGUGAUUUUAUCCUAAUUUUUUUUAAAUGAUGUGUUAUUCAUAAGGUGGAUGGUAAGAUGGUGUGAAUCAAGAUAAAAUUUGGUAUAUCAUGAAAUUUUGUUUCUCCAAAAUUUUAUCGUAUAUUACGAUCAGAAUCAGAAUCAGAAUCAGAAUAACUAUGGACAAUGAGCCAAAACAUUAAGAAUCUCAUACAAUCAUCAAUAAUUGAAAUCAAACAUAGGUACAAAACAUUCGUAUCAGUUUCAUAAAAGUUCAUAUCAAUAAUUUAGGCUUGUAUAACAUUUUAAAGAUAAAAUCAUAAAAGGUUGUCAUGUCAUAAAAUCAUUUACAUAUUAAAAACAUUUAUAAAAUACUUUGUUAAAAAGAAUUUGGGUUUGAAAACAUUUACAUAAAACUAAUUUUGUUAUCAAAAUCAAUUAAUCCUUUAAGUAGUAUAACAACAUUUAUACUUAUAAUAAUAAUAUCAAAAUACUUAUACAUAUCCAGUACAUUAGGAAUGAAGUUAUUUACCUCGACAAAUGAAUUUGAAUUAACACACCUCUAAGCUUCUAAGAGCCUCAAUCACCUUCAAUACCUUAAACAAAUACAAGAUAUGACAAUUAAUAACUUAUUAUAGGAAUCUGAUUUUCUAAUUCAUACCCGUACAGGUCUGAUUCUCAGAAUUUUAACUCUUAAUCUAAAACUCAGAAUGAUAUAAUAUUCUAUGAAACUAUUCUGGACAUCCAUGAGUACCCCAUGUAAAAUUGGUAAGAGGAUCUGACAUCAAAAACAUUUUAAAAACUAUUUGCUUCUCAGCAAAUUCGAAACUGUUUUCACAUAAUCUAAACCAAACAGAACGGGUUCUUUGAUUUUUAUAAAAUAAAAUAAUAAUCAGAAAAUUAUGAAAUUAAAACUGGGAAUCCUAAACACAUAUAUUAACCUACAUAUAAACUUUCCGAAUUUUCUGAGUUCAUUUGUGGUACAAAUAAUCUUGUGAAUCCGAUCGCAAUGCUGGAAUCGUAGUUUUCCAGUGCAGUGGUUUCUAUUUCGAAAAUACAUAUAAAAUUGAAACCGAAGUCGAAUUUAAAGAAAUAAAAUUUAUUCAAGAAGCCCUACAUGUCUAGUUUCCAGAAAUAUAAAUUUCAUAAGAAAACUCCAUAAUAAAUCAAAACCCUAAACAAAGCCUAAAUACAUUCUAAAUCAUGCAUUAUGAUCUAUAACCAUCUAGAAUCGUGCCAAUAUAAACCCUAGAUAGAGUGAUUAGAAAUCUGUUGAGAAUAAGGAGAAUAACUUACCCGUUGCUUUGAUUCUGUCCUAAACAAAGGUUUGAAUCCUAGGAUUUGGGUAGGAGCGUAAAGAGCAGCAAAGGAGAAGAAUAAACGUCAUGGACUAAGGGUUAUGGAAGAGGAAAAGUAUGAAUUUAUAGGGAAUCUUAAGAAACCCUAUUUAAUAAGGAAAAAUAACCCUUUUUCAAAACUAUCUCAUAAAUAACCUCUAUUUAUAAUUUAGUAUCCCUUUCUUAAUAAGGGUUAUAGGCCACCCAUAAUUAUCAAUGAAAGCCCAAUUUCUAUAAUUUAAUAUUAUGGAAAUUUGUGGCGUUACAGAAGGCUUUUCAGGGAAGGGAUAUUCAAGUUUAGAUAUCUCAAAAGAAAUAAAUUUUCGACUUCGGAAGGAUAUCGGAUGAGAACAAGAGAUCCCAAGUCCAAUACUCUAAGAAAGUUGAACAUUUUACAGAUUUUCUCGCAAUAAUUGGGGUCAAGGUAGUGGCUUCCUAAAGUGAGGUGCAACAAAGAAUGGAGGAACGAGUCAAAAUGAUCUAAAAAUUCAAAAUCAUUCAAAUUUCCAUGAGCGGUGAAGCGUUUCACAUUUUCUCGUAAUUUAACUUCCUGAUCCAUGAUUGGGGAAAUGACAAAUUCCCCCUCGAAAGCCCCAGUCAACAACGCAAGACUGCAACGCCCAGGAAUAGAGCACGUGUUGAUUCUGCCUCUGUCACUUUUCUUCCCUACAUCAACAAAGCCUCCAUUGAUUAGCUGUUCUAAGUAUCUCUCAGCAAUUGCUUCAUUGUUGUCUGGAAUGAAACCUUCAGCUAUCCACAACUGAUAUAAUUGCUUGGUGGAUAUCUCAAAGUAUACAAGAAACACAGAUAAGUAGAGACAACAAAGUUUCAAGUAAAAAUGUAACAUACAAUAUGCAACGACUUGAAGCCCUCGGAGUUCAUCAAGUACUUCCUUUAUAUUUUCUUUCAGUGAGAUGCUUCCAUGAUAUAAGAUGUGGAAAGGCCAUCCUUGGUAUGUAACUCUCAAUGGUCCUCCAGUGGGCACAAAUCAAGCCUAAUGUUCUCUCCAUUUUUAAACUGAAAUGAGGCGACGAUUUCAAUGUUAUAAAAAAUAAUCACAGUGAGUUAAACAAAUAAACUAGUAGCUAAUUUGACUACAGCAAAACAACAACUGAUAUAAACAACAGGAAAAAAAAUAACAACUGAAGAAAAUAAACUCGAGGCCUGUAAUACAGUGUCCUUAAAACAGAUUUACCACCUAUUGAAGUGCUUUAGGUUUACUGGUAACUGUUUCCCAGGAUACAACGGGCACGAAUUUUCUGUCAAGCACAGACAGAUAAUUCCGGCGAACUACAACAACGGUAAACUCGAUCAGAAAACAAGACAAAAGAAGGAAGAAAGAAAAAUUGUAAGUGCUCUGUGUGCUGGUUUCAGUGUGUGUAAAAACAGAAGAAGAAGGUGCCUUUUUAUACUCAUGUGGGUACGUAACAAUAGCAUAAAAAUUGAAUUUCAGAAUUCAAUAUAUGCAAUUUAAUUGCUGUAACAGCCAUUGAAUUUUAAACAAUUCAAUUCAAAAAUUGAAUUGCAGAACAACCCAAAAUAAUUGCGAAGCUAUUACAAAUCUUUUGAAUUCAAAAGGUGUGAAACUAUUACAACAAAUUUAAAAGGAAAUAAAACACGUGCCAUGCGUGCUUGGGAUGACAUUCGCGGGCGCACACAAGUUCAACCAAAUCGGUCAUGGAUUUGCCCCCCUCCCCUCGCGUACACGCGUGUGGAAAGAGUCUCUAUCCUUAAAAUUCUUGUUCAUGCAUGGUUAAAUGUUUAUAUAUAAAUACAAAUCCUUGGCUUCUUCAAUGAGGAUAACAAAGCCUCCAUUGAUUAGCUGUUCUAAGUAUUUCUCGGCAGUUGCCUCAUUGUUGUUUGGAAUGAAACCUUAGGCUAUCCACGUCUGAUAUAAUUGCUUGGUGGAUAUCUCAAAGUGUACAGGAAACACAGAUAAGUAGAGACAACAAAGUUUCAAGUAAAAAGUUAACAUACAAUAUGCAAGGACUUGAAGCCCCCGGGGUUCAUCAAGUGCUUCCUCUAUAUUUUCUUUCAGUGAGAUGCUUUCAUGAUAUAAGAUGUGGAAAGGCCAUCCUUGGUAUGUAACUCUCAAUGGUCCUCCAGUGGGCAUACUCAUCUCUGAUCGGCUCAUAUUUGUCCCCGUGUUCUGCUCGUACCAUUUGGCUGAGGUGAUCCAUGCCGGGGCGGAAAUAAUAGCAUGGCCGACCUGGUGCUUUUAUUUACUUAACACUCUACUUCCAUUCUGAUUAUCCGGGAGUAUUUCUCGAAUAAUAUCCCACACUUCAAUGCUCCACACAUCAUCAAUCACAAUCAAAUACCGCUUGGUCAUUAGAUAUUCAUGAAGAAUAAUUUUUUUCAUUUCCGAACUUUCUUCCAUAAUUUCACUCAACCUACUUGAAGGCAUCACAAACUUAAUAAUGUCGUAUAAUAUUUGGUCAGCAUCAUACAAUAAAGACUCUUCAACCCAAGCGUGACAAUCAAAAUAAUACUUCACAUAGUUGCUGCUGUAAGCCUCUACGGCAAAAGCCGUCUUGUCCAAUCCAAUGCUAUCGAGUAUGGCCACUACCGAAAGUUGAGGCGGUCCCUCUGUCAGUAGAUCUAAUAACUCCUCCAUUUUAUUAUCUAGACCCACCGUGUCCCUAUUCUUAAAAGACAAGGAUGCAGGAAAAUUACCGGCUUUUGGUUCAAACGAUUUGAGCUCAUCAACGAUUCGGGAGUGGAUGUGCUGAACUUGCUGCAUCCGUUGUUUUAUAUCAAUGAUUUUGCUUUGGAGUCCUAGCAGAGCAUCACAAAUGUCCUUGCUGCAUCUGCUUUGACUCUUCUGUAGAGUGAUGCUAAUAGCAAAUGUGUCAAUCACAUUCUCAGAUACGUAUGAAAAACAAUGAAUUUUGUCAAUGAUAGCCUUAAAAUCUUCUAAUUUUGCCAGAGUUUAACCCUCUUCUGCAUUGACUUGCUACAUAAACCAAGCAGUGUUGUAUCCAGAGUCCCUCAGCCAAGAAGCAACGAUUUCAGUCUCAGUGUAAAGGUUCUGAAUAGGUUGUUCAGCAGCAUCGGGCACCGUGAAUUCUUCAGCAGCUAGCACCCUUCUCAGUCUCUCUGAAAAUAGUCCAAGGUUGAUGUCCAUAUCUCCUUUACUCUCGGUAGUCAGUAGCCAGUAGCCCUAGCAUGCAAAGAAAAUAAUUAAAAAAAAAUUGUUAAAAGCUCUCCUUUUAAUUCAACAUUAGUCAACAUAAUCAACUGAGGAUGGCACCAAUACCUCCUUCUGUCAAGAAGUUGAAUCAAGUUCAGGUGGCUGUUGAGGCAGAACAGAUUAAGGCAGAGCAGUACUAGAAAAUGAAUCUUAAAACUAAAUGCUGUAGAUGUCGUGGGGAUACUGAUUGAUAAAGAGGGAUUAUAUUGAGAAAUUAUUGAUGUACAAUAAUGAUUUUUUGCACAAAACCUGAGGUAUAAUGUACGUGUAUAUAAAAUAUUAAUUAUGCAAGAAGAUAAAAGGGUGUCUUAUAAUUUGUGUUAUAUGUAUAUGUAUAUGUAUGAAGAAAGUAAAAUAAGCUAUCAAGACUAGUUUCUUUUUUGCCCUCUCAAAAGACUGAAAGAUUAAAAAUAAUUCCACUGGGACCAUAAAGCUUGUCUAAAGAAAAAAAGCAUCACCUUAGAAUUUGAUUCAUUGAUGCAUCUAAUGCAUAAUAGUCCCUAUUGUUUAGAUAUUUUCUUUUCAAGCGCUCUACAGACUACAACAGAAUGCGUUAUAGUUUCAAUGGUUAGAUGAUCAUUCAAUAGGGCUAAAGGUGUGCAUUGGAUUGGAUUCGAAUAGAUCUGAUUUGAAUUUGGAUGUUUUAAUCUAAACAAUCUGAUUGGAUUGAACUACUCUACAUAUAUAUAUAGAAUUCAUGAUUGUUUUGUAAAAAUUAUCAAAAAGACCUAAAUUCGAAUUCAAUCCGAAUUUAAAAUACUAUUUGAAUUUAAAUACUAAACAAUCUAAAACCAAAUUCAUCUGAAAUAUCGAUUUAUUUUGAAUCGAAUUGAUUGUAUUUGAGAUUUAGGUUGGAUUUGAAUGAUUUUUUUUUCCUAAUCCAAACAAUUCAAAAUCCAAUCGGAAUUAUCCAAAUCUAAAGUGCAAUAUUCAUCUCUUUUUCAUAUAUCCUUCGCUAAUUGAAAGCAUCAUGAUGUCGGGCCCUUCUUUAAAAAAAAAAUAAAAAUCUUCAACUUAUAUGCAACUCCUUUCUCAUUAUUAGAGCUGACAAAAUUUGACACGACCCGAUUACCCGACACGAACACGACAUAAAUAAAUGGGUAUGGGUCGUCAAAUUUAACACGAUUAUUAAAUGGGUCGAGUCCGGGUCAACACUAUUUUUUUCCGUGUCGGGUUAGGGUUAAAAUUCUUGACCCAUUUACCCGAUCAAUGAUCCGAUUAUAUUUUCUAUUUUAAAAUAAUUUACAUAUUAUUAUCAUUAAAACUCAAAUAUUAGAGAUGAUUUUUUUUUUAUUCUUUAAAAGGGUGAAUAUAAACACAGUGUUUUAUUUAUAAAAUUUUAAAUACAUUUAGAGCUUCAAUAGUGUAAAUAUGUAAAAAUUGAUAGACAUGUAUAUUUUAUAAUAUACAUAUAUAUAUAUAUAUAUACAUACAUACAUAUAUAUAUAUACAUACAUAUAUACAUACAUAUAUAUAUAUAUAUAUAUAUAUAUAUAUAAAAAUUCGUAGAUAUGUAUAUUUUAUAGUAUCGAUAAAUUAUGUAUGUAUGUAUGUGCAUACGUAUGUACUAUAGUGCAUAAAUAUUUGAUGUAACUUUUGUUCAAUAUAUAGAUAUUAAACGGGUUAUUGGGUUACCCGAUUAUUUUUCCGUGUCGGGUUUGGGUCUCAAUAUUUUGACAUGAUUAUUAAAUGGGUCGGGUUUGGGUCGACCUAAAUUUGACACGAUACGAAGCUGACAUGACACGAAUACGACCCGAUGACCCGUUUUGCCAGCUCUACUCAUUAUUACUCUUCUUUGUGUUCGACUAUUGUAGUGCUUUUUCUUUUGAGAUAAACUUUAUGGUCCCCAGUGGGAUUGCUUUUACCUUUUCUUUCCUGAAAGUGGAUAAAACAAAUUGAUCUUUGAUUGAUACUUGAUGAUGUCCUAUUUUCUUUUUAUUUUCAUAUUUAUUUUUUUUAACAUAAUGGAAGACUGGAAUAUAGAUAAAAGACAGUGUGUGCCAGCAAGAAAACUUUUUCUCAAGAUUGAAAAUGACUUAAAAAAACCAUUUUUCUCCAACUAAUAUCUUCAAAAUCAUUAUUGUAAUAACAGAACCCAAAAAAUAAUUAAAUAUUCUCUUGUUUAAUAUGUUGCAUGCUUGCAGAAAAUUGCGGAUGAUUGCACCAAUAAUUCAACCUUUACUCCGUGAGCUUUGAACUAAUAAUAUGUCAUCAGUUAUUGUCUAAAUAAAGAAAUUUAUGAAUCGGUAUAAAAUGGGGUCCUAAAUCCUGACCUACAUUGAAAAUUGGGAUAUGAAAUUUGUAACAAAUCUUAUAUAGGGUUUGUAUCUCGAUUGGUAUCUGGAUAAUUUUGCCAGCCUAGGUUCACGUAUUAACAGUUAGAGCGGGAGAUCCCAAAAAAGGGUAUCUUGAAUUUAACCAAAUUCAUUAUAAGGAUAUAUGGACCCAUUUGAUUGCCUAAGGGAUCUCGAAUGAGAUUUUCAGACAUCUCAAAUCCCGUCUUGAAUAUUAAGUUGGAAGAAAAUUAGAUCUUGAAUCUCAACUCGAAUAAUAAAUCAGAAUGAGAAACUUUUAUCAAAUCUUGUAUCAUUUAGGACGGAUUCCCAAAUUCCAAUCGAGAUUUGAGGAAUUUUGUAUUAGCAACCAAAGCCGAAGAUCCCAAAAAAUGAUAUCUUGAAAUUAACCAAAUUCACUAUAAGGUAUAAACUCAUUUGAUUGCACCCUUAAAAAGUAUUACCGAUGACACCACACAAUCAUAUUAUUAAAACAAACCAAACCACACAUAUCCAAGCUUAACAUGUAUAUAUAAGAGCACAAAAAAUAACUUCUUUCUCGUUAUAAAGGAGAACAGAAUCAGCUAGAAGCAGGGGAAUCAAUGUAUAACAGAAAAUAAAAGGGAAAAAAAAUGAUACACAUUCAUUUUUUCAGCAAAAACCAACGACUAUAAGGUGAACAUGAGGCAACAACCUCUAAAAUUGGACAGAAUCGGCUAAUACCUUAAAAUUCACAUGCUAAUACUAUUUAUAAUUUCUAUGUCAAAAAUUUAAAAUAAUCGGUAGUAUUUGUUCAAAACAAGCAUUUGUAAUCAAUAUUUUUCCUACAUUCUUAUUUGGAUUAUUAUUUAGAGAAUCUAAGAUAAUAACAAUCCAGCAUUCAAGUUAUUUAUGAAUGAUAAGGACUUGAAUCUCCAUAAAAUUGGAGAUUCUGAAGAUUAGGCAAUAUGCCCCAGUUUCUAUUUCUUUUAUUUAGUCCUCUGAUGUAUCAACAAUCAACGCUAGAAACGCAAUCCCCGAAAUUGAAUUAAAAAAAAUAUAGAAAACAUAGAGCAAAUCAACAGUAGAUUCAGCAACAAUGGUGCCUACAUCCAAACUUUUCUUCUAAUGGAAGUGAUGCAGAAUUCCCUUAAGACAAUUAUGACAAUUAACAUGUAUUACACAUGGUACGACCAAACCACACACGUCCACACUAAGUUGGAGUUUCAAGCACAUUACAAGAAUGAAGACACACGAAUAGAAUAUACACAGUGAAUCCAAAAACUUGACAUUAUUACUUGUAGCAGAUCCUUGAAAACAAAGAAACCCAACAAUGUCCUGUAUCAAUCCUGAGGACUCAAUAAUGUGUAGACAACAUAAGUGAAUACUGAAAGGAUCAAGGCCGGAUUCUGGUUGAAAUUGAAACUUUUGCUGCACUACACUUGACAUAUUUCCCGGUAUGAUUUCACCUGCGCAAGUAAUUUAAGAUCUGAAAUUAUAGUUUUUCCUGACUGUUCAACAAUCAAUACACAAGGGUUCUUCCUCUUCUAAAAAUAAUUAAGGGAAAAUGGUCGGGGUCAGCAAUAGGAACUGUGAUGAACACUUUAUGUCUAAUGUUGAGACAAGAAUUAGAAGCAACCACAAUUAGAAAACACUUUAUAGCAUUAGCAAGCUGCGUACUAUCAAAUAUAUUGAGGAGAAGAAAAAAAAAUGUAUGAAAUUAGAUUAAUAAUUAAAGGUUGAUGAUAUAGCAUAAAAUGAAAAACUUACAUCUAAUUAAAUCCAUGCAAAUCAAAUUCCAUAAGGAUAUACUUGAUUGUCAUACUGCGCCUUAUCCUCGAAGUCCCGUAGCUUUUGUCUCAGCUCCGGCUGAAGCCACCAACACUCGAAUUUGUUUAAGCUCUUUGUGCACCAGAGCUAUUCAGGAAUCUUUUUCUAAUUAGCACAAGAAUUGAGAAUCAAGCAUUCCAGUUUUGGCAUGGCUCCAAGCCUCAUAGUCCACUUCUCUAGCCAUGGCAUUGAAUUCAGGUGCACUAUCUUGAGCUUUGGGAAACCAUCACGCCCACAAGUCAGCUAUUUACCUAAAUAUGAGCUUUGCUUCAGUUUGAGCACUUGAAGAAGUGGAAACGUUUCUAGUGCAGGCAUGGGAUCAUCCAUUUGUUCAAUAUUUGAAAAACUCAAGUGGAUUAGACUUUGAGGAAGUAGGUAUUUGGCACAGACGAUUUUGAAGAGCCUUGGCAUCUUGCUUUCAUUCACCAUCUUCAAUGACUUGAGGCAUCUGAAUCUGCAAAGGCUUUGGGACAUCAAAAAUUGAUAAAAAUAUAAAUCUCCUCAUAUCCAGAGAUUUUGAGGAUUAGGUAGUCUGUUCAAUAUAUCUUCAAUACAGCAGCAAGGAUGCGUGGCUGUAAUGAAAUUGAGAUUUUCCAAAGAGCCGCAAUAUUUUCCUGGAUGUGCGGGAGGUAUGAUCGAGCCAAAAUUUAGAUGCCUGAGUUUGUUCAUCUUCCAAAAUUCAUCUGUUGUAUGAUUUAUGUAGCUAAAGGGAAUGGCUAUGGUGUAGAGAUUCAGAGAUUUCUUAAUAAUGAUAAAGCCAGGCUUUUGAGGGAAGGGAUAUUCAGCUUCAUAUCAAAAGAAAUAAAGUUUCAAUUUUGGAUGGAAAUUGGCUGAGAACAAGAGAUCCCAAGUCCAUUACUCAAAACAAUUUUCACCCAAUCUAUGGGGUCAAGGUGGUCGCUUUUUUAAGUAUAACAAAUUUUCAUCCAAUCUAUGGGGUCAAGGUGGUCGCUUUUUGAAGUACGACAAAAGAAUGCGGGUGGGAGUCACAAUCAUCUAAGUAAGCAAAAUCACUCUGUUUUUAAAAAACGUAGACAUGGUUGACAUUUUUUCGCGAUUUACCUUUCUGAUCCAGGAUAGGAUGAAAAGAUAAAUUCUGCUUUGAGAGCCGUUUGCCACAAUGAAGGCCAGCAACGACUACGAAUAGGGCAUGCGUUGAUUUUGCCUCCAUCACUUCUCUUCUUUGCAUCAACAAAGACUCUAUUCAUUAGUUGUUCCAUGUACUUCAAAAAGGUAAACAACUCUCAAUAUUAUGUCUGCUUUUGAACUGAAAUGCGAUGACAAUAUCAAUUUCAGUGAGUGUUAUUAGUACUCCACAUCCAUUCUGAUUAUCCAGAACAAUUUCUCGAAUAACAUCCCAGACUUCAAUGCUCCACACAUCAUCAACCACAAUCAAAUACCACUUGAUCAUUAGAUGUUCUUGAAUUUUUUUUUCAUUUCAUAAUUUUUAUCCUUUAUUAUACUCAACCUAGAUAAAGGCAUUAGAAACUUAAUAAUGAUAUCUAAUAUUUGGUCAUCAUCAGCGUCAUAGCUGUAAGGCUCUGGAACCCAAGCGUGACAAUUAAAAUAAUGCUUCACAUCACUGCUGCUGUAAGCCUCUGCAGCAAAAGCCACAUUGUCCAACCCAAUGCUAUCAAGAUGGCCACCACUGAAAGCUGAGGUGGUCCCUCUUUCAAAAUAUCUAACAACUUCUCCAUUCUGUCUUCUAGACCCACCAUGCCGCUAUUCUUAGAAGAUGAAGAUGCAGGAAAAUAGUCAGCUUCAUCUUCAAUACUUUUGAAAUCAUCAAUGAUUCCGGAAUCUAUGUAUUGAAGUUGUUGCAUCCGCUGUUUUAUAUCAUUGAUUCUACUCUGAAGUCCUAGCAGAGCAUCACAAAUGUCCUUGUUGCACCUGCUUUGACUCUUCUGUUGAGUGAUGCUGUUGAGAAUGUGUCAUUGACCUUCUCAGAUUCAUAGGUAAAGCAAUUGAUUUCUGCCCAAGGUCUGGGUUGUCAACUUCAUCUUCUCCUAUGUUUUGCAGCAGAAGCCAGGACAUAUCGUAUUCAUAGUCCCUUAGCCAAGGAGUAACGAUUUCAACCUCGGCAUGAAGGUUCUGAAUAGGUUGUUUUGCAGCAUCAGGCAAUGUGACUUCUUGGCCAGCUAACACCCUUCUCAGCCUCUCCGAAAAUAGUCUGAAGUUGAUGCCCAUAUCUCCUCAUUGAAAAAUUAGUGUUGGCUCCCAUUCCUCCCUUCUCUUAGCUAGUACUCCAUCCAAGAAGUUGAAUCAAGAUUGCUGACUCUCAAAUUAGAACAGAUCAAGGCAGAGCAGUGCGGGAAAUGAAUCGUACAAUACUUUGUCUUCCAUAUAUUGUAAAAAGAAUAAAGCAGGGAGAAAUAAUUACAACAUCAUCAAGUAUCAGUCAAGGCCAAUUUGUUUUAUACAUCCACUCUCAAGAAAGAAAGGGAAAAAGCAAUAAAGCUUAUCUAAAAAAAAAAAGAACAGAGUAAGCGAAAGAGCAUUAUCAAUUAUUUAACAAUUGAAGCUGUGGAAAAAUAGAAAGUCAUGUCUGCCACUUACUAAAGAAGUAAUAACAUAGCAACUUUAUAAAAGCACUGGAUACAAUCAUUGCUAUUAUGUUGAAAUUAACCAACUUCACAAUCUGGACAUGAACUCAUUUGAUUGCAACCUUUAAAUAGACUAAUGGAUCACUUGACACAUUGUCUUAUAAAUGGACUAAACAUAAUUGUGAUAAUUUUUUCCCAAACACACUUGAUCGUUGAGAUUGUCAACAAAAGAUGAACAUUGAUGAUUGACAUGUAGUUUUCAAGUAUUUAGAGUAUGACGCUGAGAUAAAUUAGAACUCUACAUGACCAUCUGAAGAAAUUUUCCUCAAAUGAAUCUUUUGAGUUGGAAUUUAGACACAUUCACUAUCAAAGUAUCUUAAAGCAGUGGAGAAUACAUAUGACAAAGGUUGAAGUAACUAAUUUUAUGAGCAGGAACUGAAAUGAUUUUGGCAUGAGAUUACAACAGAUGAUUAACAUAUAUGCUUUCUCUAAGGCAGCCUCAUUAAAAAUGUUAUUUCGUCAAGUCAACUGUCUUCAGGAGAAAAAUGAAGCAACGGUAAUAAAGUAGGUGGUUGAUGCUCGUGAUUCCUCAGUGCGGCAGCAGAAAUAAAACUAAAUUUCAGACUUGCUGUUGUCAUAGAAUAGAUUCACCCUGUCCUUGUCCUUGCCCUUGUCCCUCUUUUUAUACUGAUGAAUUUGAGGCCGACGAUAUUUCUGUGAAUAAAGAAAAUGAUAAUAGAAAUGGAACCAUUGGGCAAAUGGUAGUGUAACCUUUAGUCGACGAUGUGAGUUCACCUUUAUGUACUAUUUAAUUUCCAUUUGUUUCUUGAAACAUAUAUAUGCAAACUUUAGAACAUCAAGGGAAAAACUUGGACAAAGAUUCCAUUUCUUUAUUCACAUAAACAUAUCAACAUCAGUACAUGUCUUUUCUUCUUAUACUUCUUCAAGUUCACCGUCUCUCUUCUUAUCUUAUUUUCAACCGUUAAUAGAAAAAACAUUAGUAAUUAAGAUUUAAAGUGAUAAAACUCAAUUAAGGCAUGCAUGCAAAUUUCAGACCCCCUCUCCCAAAACCAAAAAAAAAAAAACCCACAUUGCCAACAAUUACAGUAAUUUUAGAAAUUUUAAUUAAUUGCAUUUGUAGGUAAUAAGAAUGUUAGGACCCUACUAGUUUAUUUUAUUUUAAUUGCUUGUUUUAAUUUCUUUCCUAUUAGUAUUAGGUUUUCUUAUUUCAAUUAAAGUCGUUAUUAAAUUACAAUUAGGAUUGUCUUGAACUACUAUAAAUAAGUGGUUCUUAUUAUAAUUUUAGGAGACAAGUAAUAAAAUUAAUUCUAAUUCCUAUUAAUUCUUCUCCCUUCUCUUUAAAUUCUUCAUCUAUUCUCUUUUAAUUCUCUAAUCAAAACCCUAGAAUCCUAUCAUCUGGUAUCAGAGCACAUCCUUCCUGCCACCAUUUUUUUUUUCGUUCACUAUUUGAAAAAAAAAACAGCAACCAAACUUUUGUCAAUAUCUCUUGGCUUUUGGAGACUUGAACCGGGCACACCCUCCAAACUUUUUCCAGCAUCUAAAUUUUUCAACCAAACGUGAAUUUUCUUCGAACUUUUUUUAGGCAUCAUGACUGUUAAAGAGCUUGAAGGCCAAGUUGAGCAGUUAUCACAACAAUUCCAUGACAAGUUUACAGCCAUCGAUGAAAAGGUUACAACCUUAGCCAAGCAGAAUAACGAUUUGCAGGAACUCAUGCACGGCAUCCUUCAGUAAUUGAGUUAGUUGUGAAAAGGCAAACAACCAGCUACUGAUCAACGACAAGUUGAUAUAUUUACUGGAGGGACCUCUGCUCCUCAAACGGUCAUUGCUACCCAUUCCCCUCUUGAACCUACUGAACGCAUUGGAAGUACUCUUGUGCAAGCUCGUAACAUAUGCCUUGACUUUCCUAUUUUUCAUGGUGACAAUCCAACGGGAUGGAUUUUUCGAUGUGAGCAAUAUCGUCGCCUUACUGGAUUAUCAGAUGCUGACUUAUUGUCUUUAGCUAUUGGCCAUCUUGAUGGUGAUGCGGUACCUUGGUUUCAUUGGCUAGAGCAGACUAUGGGCGAAAUGACUUGGGCGCAAUUUACACGGGCUUUGACUACUCGAUUUGGGACAUUAGAAGAGAAUGAUGCAGUUGGCAGUCUUACCAAACUAUGUCAAACAGGGACUGUUCUUGACUAUCAACGACAAUUUGAAAAGUUGGCUGAUCGGACUAGCAAUUUAACGGAGCCUUUCUUCAUUAGUUGUUUCCUCUCUGGGUUACGUGAAGAUAUCUAGGCUGGCGUACAACUAUUCAAACCUGUUAGUCUCCUACAAACUUUUGAACUUGCUAGAUUUCAGGAAAAGGCAAUUACUUUACAAGGCAAUUGUUCCCCUAUUCCUGCCAUCCAAGAUCCACUCCCACAAUUACAGUCAACUCCUACUCCACCAGCACCCUCUUUAUUAGGACUGGUUCCCUCUAUCUUACCUAAUAAUGUCAAACGUUUAUCCUCAACUGAGCAGGCGGAAAGAUGUUCUAAAGGGCUUUGUUUCAACUGUGAUGAGCAAUUCAAGCCUGGACAUCGCUGCAAACAAUCUCAACUAUUGCUUUUAGACGCUAAUAUACCUCUUCACAACCCUCAAAAACCACCUGACCAUCAUGUGGAUUGGAAGAUCUCGGUUAUUGAAACUGGGUAAAAGGCUUGCGGACAAGCCUGUUUUAAGGGGCAGUGAAUGUUAGGACCCUAAUAGUUUAUUUUAUUUUAAUUGCUUGUUUUAAUUUCUUUCCUAUUAGUAUUAGGUUUUCUUAUUUCAAUUAAAGUCCUUAUUAAAUUAUAAUUAGGAUUGUCUUGAACUACCAUAAAUAAGUGGUUCUUAUUAUGUUUUUGAGGGGCAAGUAAUAAAAUUGAUUCUUAUUCCUAUUAAUUCUUCUUCCUUCCCUUUAAAUUCUUCAUCUAUUCUCUCUUAAUUCUCUAAUCAAAACCCUAGAAUCCUAUCGAAGAACUUUCAAUCUCCAUCGAAUUUUUUUUUCUCUAAGCUUAUCAAUGUUUCAGUUUAUCUCCAUCUCCAAAAAUCAACCACUAAAUUGGAUAUGCAAUUUAAGUCGGAAGCCAGAAAUUGGUCUAAUUAAAUAAACUUUGGAAGCAAAAUAAAAGUAAUUAGUGGAAACGUUGAUUAACUUACCUCGGAAUUUCCUGAAGAACGAAGCCUCGCUACUAGGUUUCCGUUCCAAAAUAAAAUUUAAAUCAGCUUCAGGUUUUAACUUGGUGGGACACGUACCACAUUUAAAUCAUUUCAAAGAAUUAUUUAAAAAAUAAUUCACAUUUUUUCAAUUUAAAAUAAAUAAAAUUUAAACAAUUAAUCAAUCAGAUCUUUCUUGUAAUUAGUAAAUUUCAUGGGAAAAAUAAUAUAAAUUUUUUGAGAUAUCAUAUCAUAAAUGUAUUUUAAUUAUUUAAUAAGGAUUUAAUUAGUCAAUUGCUUAUUUUAUUCUUAAUAAUUUGAAAUCGUUAAAAAUAAUGUGAAUUUUUUAUGAUUUAAUUUUUUAAAGUGAGGUAGGUUUACAAAAUUUGAGCGAUGGGAAUAUCACCACCCUAUAUUCAAUUAUAAAGCAAAGCAAGAUCUCUCUCUUUAUAUUAUAGAGAUUCCGUGUGAUUUUCUACAACAUCAUGUGGUAUUAUAGUCAAUUGUAAAAACAUGUUAACAUCAUAUGAUUUUGUAGUGAAUCCGCAUGAAAUCCAUAUUUAGACUUCUGCAUUUAAAAGCUUUGAUAUAUAGAAAUUCUCAAGUGUCGAUAUGUAAAUUUUGUGUAAAUUCGCUAUAACACUAUAUAAUGUUAAGUAUAUGCACUCAAGAAUCUCUCUCUCCCUAUAUAUAUAUUAAAUUAAUAUUUUUAAAAAAUCGUUAUUGAAAUUUGACUUCCGAUCUUAGAAUUCUAAACGACUUCCACAAAAAAAAAAUAUUUAAAUUGUUACAAUCUAAAGUGUAAUGAGAGUCUAGAUAUGUAUAAUUUUAGUACAAAUAAAGGUCUGGCAAACAUUUAUUAAGAUGUAUAUAUAGCUAGUACAUAUGAUUUUAUUAAAUCCUGAAAAUCAUGUAUCUCAAGACUUUCGUAAAUAUAUAGUUUAAUUCAACCUUGGGCAAAAAAAAAAAAAAACUCAUAUAUAUAAUAUAUGGACUUAGCAUUUCAAUUUAAAAUAAUUAAAAUUCAAAACCGAGUUAGAAGUUUGAACUCUUUUAAAGGUAGUGAGGUGCAAAGAUCAAAUUAAUUUUUAUCAUCUUUCCUCACCACAACUCAAACUUAGGUGGUUAGCUAAAUAAAACUACUUGAAAACUAUUGAGUUAGAGCUCCAUGGAGGCACACCACUAGCAUCUUCAUUCAUGUGAUAUAAGACCUGUAAAUCUAAGGAUUUAUACGCAAGAGUGUGGCAAGUAUGAUGUUCAUUGUUGAUGCCGAAAAACGACCUCAACAGCUAAAUUUGUUUUCUUUUGGGGAAUUACAGUGCGAAUCCAAGCUCAAACGUCGGUCUGAACCCAGCUUUAUAUACCUGACAACUAGAAAACACGGUUAGGAUACGCCUGUGGGGUCUCGACGUAGACCAUCUGAUUCUUAAGUUAGAAAUUGUGUAUAAGAAAAAGGUAAACGAAAAGGGAAAACUGAAAAUUAAGGAUUUUUUUCAGUAGAGAAAACUAAAAAUAUUGUCGGGAAUCCUAUGACUUUUAGAUAGGUGACUUAUAAAAUUUUUGGUUCAUUUUUCUAACCCCUUCCUCAGAUGCCCUUUUUAGCUUAAAUAGGCCCUUGGUCGUGGGUGGUUACCACCUUUAACUUCUGCCCAUUUUCUUCAACAGUUGCACGUGGUCAUCAAUUGCAGACAGUUUAAAUGGAUUGUGGCACACAACUUUCCUAGAAAUUAGGCCACGUUAUCUCAAUCGAUAGCUUUCUAUGUCAAGCUAAUUUUUGGGUCGAACAAAUAAAUUUCGAGAUCAGAUUUCUUCACUUUCAGGUCGGACCAGUGAAUUUCCUGGUCGCUCAUAUAGGCUUAAGGUUGUAUUCUUAAAUCAGGUCAUUUACAUAAAUCUCAUAUCAUACUUGUAAACCAGGCCGCCAAAAUAGGAUCUAGGUUGUACUUACGAGAUUAGCUCGACGACAAUGAGUUCUGAGUAGAUUGGGGUCGACUAUAUUUCUAAAUAUUACUAGAAAAAUCCAACCCGAACAAUGUUGACUCUUUCUAGAGGUUAUCAGAAAAAUCCAACCCGAACACCAGUCUCAUAGUUUUCAACAUCAGGAAGCUAUUUUCGGUGUUGGACACUAAUUAAUGAAAAAUAUAAAAAUUCUUAUAAAUUGAACACCAGUCCCCUAGUUUUCAGUACUGAGAAGAUAUGAACGGUAUUGGAAACUGAAACAAUGAAGAAAGCGUAGUAUGGUCUCCAGCAGAACAGGGGUAAUGUGAAGUAGAACAAGGAUAGUGUUGCGUUAAAAUAGGCUUAAAAGUAAGAAUUUGGCAAAAAUAAUAAUAAAAAAUAAAAAUAAGGAAUAAAUAAAGAAUAAAGUAAAUAAAUAAAAAAGCGAGACCAUGGAGAAAAAGCAUAAGCACGUGACUUAAAGGCAAAUUGAAAACAUACAUUUUGUCUUUUCUCAAUACCUUUUGGCUUCUGUUUCGUUUGGGCUUCUGUUUCGUCCUCAUCCUCCACACUUUUUCACAAUAAAAGUGAAAUAUUGAGCUGUCGCCGUCCUGCGAUUUUUGGGUAAAUUGAGCAACGACGCUACAGAGCCAUAAUCAAACAUGUUAGUGAGUACCUCGCGCGCCAUCUUCUGUUGUGCUUUUUUUUAUAAUAAAUACCAGAUCUAUAUAUGUGUGUAUUGAAACCAAACGCCCUUUUUUUUUUUUUUAUAAACAGAACUCGCCUUUUUUUUUUGUUUGUUUUUGUCACAACUCAACUUCUUCUUCUCUUUGCUGCGUUUCUCUCUCUCUGUUUUUUUUUUUGUUUUGCAUUCUCCCUCUCUCUUUGUUAUUGUCGAAACUCAAACUUCUUCUUCUCUUUGUUGUGUUUCUUUUUUUUAAACUACUCUCAGCUAAUGUUGCAUUUUAUUGAUGUAGAACCAAUGCUGAAUGAUGUUACUAUUGUUGACUAUCAGCAAAACUGGAAUCCAUUAUGACUAAAGGAGAUCCGGUGAGUUGUCUCAUCCCAAGCGCAUUUGCUUGUUGCUGUGUUUUGUAUUGUGUUGGAUGUGAUGUUGACAAUGAAAGGUUGCUUGUAAUUUGCUGUUUACAUACUGGGUGUUAAUAUUGACUGGAAAUGAGGUUUUGUUAAAUGUAACAUUAGGUAAUAAUGGAAUUAAGGAGUGAAGAUGGGUCACUUUGUAGCGAUUCGCAAAAUGCGAAUAAGGAGUUGUUGGACGGGCUUAGUGAUAUUGCAUCGGGUGUAGAUGAUAAUGGAAAAGUCAGGGAAGAUAAUGUAGAAUUAAAUUGUAACGUGGCCGAAAAUAAGUCUAAGAAAAUAAGACGCGGAAAUGAGGUGAAUGAGGAAUCGAGUUGUGCACAAUUUGAAGAUGAGGGAGAUGAGCAUGAAGAAUAUGGCGUGAAUAGACUAAACUUUGAUAAGACUAAACUUUGAUACAAAAGAGAAAGAGAUUGAAGAGUUGAGGAAGGAAUAUCUUAUUGCAGACGAUAUUACACUUAAGUUAUUGGGCGAAGAUGAGGUGGCAAGCAAAUUGGGUAAUGGAAAUUUUUUAACUUGGUUUCAAGUUGCUCAUUCAACCUUACUUUGCUCGAAUGUUGGUGAGAGUGGGUUUGAGUCCAGGUCAACUUGACCAAAAUGGCUGGAGGGUUUUAGGUGGUAUGUAUGUUGUAUGGGCUGAGCAGAAUAUAACCGAGCCGUGUUUUAAGGAGUUUACUCACUUAUAUUUUUGUAAUGAGCAUGGGAUCAAUCACAAAGGAUAGUACUAUUUUAUGUCAAAAUCAAAUAGUAGAAGAAUAGUACUUGACUUUCCAAGCUCAUGUAGAGGUUGGAAAAACAAGUAUUUCGUGGUGGGUGGAAAUUAGGGUAGGGAUGUAGAGCUGACCAAGGGUUGGUUUAAAAUUCCCACUCGUUUUAGUAGACUAGGUAAUUCAAGUUUUGUUCAGGUUGAGGUCGAAAUAAGGAUACAAUCUAACACAUGUUUUUACUGCAGUGACUUUGAAGAAGAAAGUUGAUAUAAAUGACAAGCUGAGUGCUAGAGUUGAGAAAUGAUUGCUAAAUGCAGGAAACACGUCUACUGCUAAGCGUACCCCUGCAGAAAUUGCAAAAGCCGUGAUCAAGGAGAUAUCGAACGAGAAAGGAAAACCACAUAGUAAGAAACCAUGGCGGGCAUCACAGAAAAACAAAGCUGAUGAGAAAAAAGAAAAAUAACUUGCUGUUUCAGCUUGCAACAUGCUACCUCAGAGCAAAAGUGACCGAGCUAGCGACUCUCGUCCCUUGCGCAUUUUACCACCUACCUCUUCCCCGAUAUGUCCGAAAGGAAGCUUGCUUGAAAGCAAUGACAUCAUAGAGUCAAAGUGAGGAAGAGCGGAGGACUUACUACCCAUGGUGAACUUAGCUGCUCGAUUUGUGAGCCAGGGUACCAUCAAGAAUUUUUCCCACUUGUCAGCUACUCAUGCUCUUGAAGUGCUUGCUCGAAACCAAGCUGAGGUGGGUAUUAAUUCACAAUCUUUAUUUCUUUGAUGUUUAUACUUUUCUUCUUAACCAUCAUGCUUUCUUUCACAGCAAUCCUUGAUCAUGGCCGCGGAUAUCGAGACGUUUGCAAAGUCAUUGAAAGGCCAUGCAAAAAUAGAAGAAGUCGAGCGCGCUUUGAUGAAAGACAACCUCACGAACAAAAAGACAGCAAGCGAGCGAGAUCAGCUCAAGCGUGACCUCAAUGCUCACAACGAUGAAAAUACUCACUUGGCAGAAGACUUGGUAGCCAAAAAGAAAUCUAAUGCGAGUAAAGACUCCAAGAUUGCCGAUCUUAGCUAUGAGUUGGAAAAAGUUAAGUCUGAUGUUGAUCAACGCAUUCGACUGGAGAAAAGGCAACUGAAGGCAGAUGUCAUUUAGACAUGCAUUGAAUUGUUCCAAGAACAACACCCGGACAUGGACUUUCAAUGGAUGUUGACUGCUUAUGUGAGCAAAGAAAAGGCUAAGAAGAAGUCAUCGAGUACGGAUCAAGAAGAAAAUCGAGUUCUUCAGGGUGAUGAGAUUAGAGUUGAGGGUGAGACAUCUUUAACUAGCAGAGUUAUUGAAGACGAAGAGCAUGCUUCCUAAGUAGAUUUGAGAAGUUGUUAUAAGGCUUGCCUUUAUGUAAUGUUACGAACUGAUAACUCUUGUUGAGCUUUCAUUUUGUUUUUGUAUUCGGAUAAUCGUUACGUAGCCUGGACGCUAAUUUUUAACAAAGCUAAUGCCGACCACAACAAGACUGAAGAUGUUUAGGCUAUUGCUGAUUGUAACUAGGCUGGAAAGUCGACCUUAAGAAGCGCGAAGCUGACCUCAUUAUAGAUUCUUACAAAGUUAAAAUGUUGCCCUCCACCGUAGGUCUUCCAAAUCUAAAGUGUCGACCUCAAUCGUAGACCUCAAAAAACUAAAUUGUCGACCUCAAUCGUAGAGCUUACAAAGCGAAAGCUUCAACCUCGACCAUGGAUCUUACCAAGAUAAAAUGUCGACGUCAACCGUAGGCCUUACAAAUUUAAAGUGUCAACAUCAAUCGUAGACCUUACAAAACUAAAAUGUUGACCUCAACCGUAGGCCUUACAAAUCUAAAGUGUCAACCUCAAUUGUAAACCUCACAAAACUAAAAUGUUGACCUCAAUCAUAGAGCUCACAACUCAAAAGUGUCAACCUCGACCAUAAAUCUUACCAAGCUAAAAUGUCGACCUCAACCGUAGGCCUUACAAAUCUAAAGUGUCGACCUCAGUUGUAGAUCAUACCAAACUAAAAUGUCGAUCUCAAACGUAUGCUUUGCAAAACUAAAAUGUCGACCUUAAAUGUAGAGCUCACAAAGCAAGUGUCGACCUCAACCGUAGGCUUUACAAAACUAAAAUGUCAACCUCAGUUGUAGAUCCUACCAAACUAAAAUGUGGAUCUCAAUCGUAAGCUUUACAAAACUAAAAUGUCGACCUCAAUUGUAGAGCUCACAAAGUAAAAGUGUCAACCUCGACUAUAAAUCUUACCAAGCUAAAAUGUCGACCUCAACCGUAGGCCUUGCAAAUCUAAAGUGUCGACCUCAGUUUUAGAUCCUACUAAGCUAAAAUGUUGACCUCAACCGUAAAGCUCACAAAGCAAGUGUCGACUUCAACCGUUGGCUUUGCAAAACUAAAAUGUAGACCUCAAAAGUAGAGCUCACAAAGCAAGUGUCAACUUCAACCGUAGGCUUUACAAAACUAAAAUGUCGACCUCAACCGUAGAGCUCACAAAGCAAGUGUCGACUUCAACCUUAGGCUUUACAAAACUAAAAUGUCGACCAAAGUUGUAGACCUCACAACGCAAAGGUGUCGGCCUCAAUUGUAGACCUCACAAAACUAAAUUGUCGACCUCAAUCAUAGGCCUUACAAAUCUAAAGUGUCGACCUCAAUAAAUUGAAAAUUGUAGAACUUAAAUGUUAUGGCUAUAGCCGACCUCAACGAGUUGAAAAUUGUAAAUCUUAAAUGUUAUAGUUAUAGUUGACCUCAACAAGUUUUCACGUUGGACCUCAACAAGGCCAAAAUGUUGAUCUCAAUCUCAAUAAGCUUGGAUAAAUUUUUCAUGUUCGGUCUCAAUAAGGUCUAAAUGUCGAAACUCAAUCUCAAUAAGAUUUGAUAAAAAAUUUCACGUUGGACCUCAAUAAGGCCAAAAUGCUUAUCUCAAUCUUAAUAAGAUUGGAUAAAUUUUCACAUUCGGCCUCAACAAGGCCCAAAUGUCGAUCUUAAUCUCAAUAAGAUUUGAUAAAAAUUUAUGUUGGACCUCAAUAAGGCUCAAAUAUGCCAAUCUCAAAGAAGAUCAGUCACAAGUAGGUAAGAAAUAAAGUUGCAUUUCUGAAUAACCUCAUUGAUAUUAAUAUGACAGAAAUUACGUAAUUGAACACAUAACGAAUUGAAAUAACAAAGAAAAAAACUAUCAUAACAUAUUUAAAAAAAAAACAAACAAGAACAUCAUAAAUAGGAUUGGCCAACUGAUAGUAUUUUUGUAAGUGCUCUGCUUUCCAUGACUUGCCGACGACCCUGCCAUCCGGAUAACCUAACUUAUAUGCGCCAUUACCAAAUGAGUGUAGUACUUUGUAUGGUCCUUCCCAGCUCGGCCCCAGAACUCCAUCAGCUGGCUUUUUGGUUGAUUGAUUGACUUUGCGGAGCACCAGGUCCCCCUCCUAAAAUUGUCGUAGCUUGACAUUCUUGUUGUAGAACUUAGCCACUUUUUACUGGUAAAUUGCUACUUGACCUCUUGCCGACUUUCUCUUCUCAUCAAGCAAAUCUAAAUCCAACAAUAUAUAUUCCCUGUUUAUUGUCUCAUCAUAAUAUUUUGUGCAGUGUGUCUCCAUGCCAACCUCAGCUGGGAUUACUGCCUUAUGUCCGAAAGCAAGUGAGAAUUGAGUCUCCCCCGUUAAAGUCUUCACGGUCAUUCUAUAGGCCCACAGUACUCCUGAAAGCUCAUCCACCCAAGCUCCCUUCUUCUCACCUAACCUUUUCUUCAACAAUUGCUUUAUAGUUUUGUUCGCCGCUUCCACUUGUCUGUUUGCCUUCGGAUGAGCAGGUGAGCUAAACCGAAGUUCAAUAUCAAGCUGACCACAAAACUUCUUGAAAUUCUCAUUAUUGAAUUAGGUUCUAUUAUUAGUGAUAAUAGCUUGCGGUAGGCCAUAUCUGCAAAUCACAUUCCUCCAUAUAAAAUAUGUUGUGCGCUUCUCGGUUAUCUUUUGUAACGGCUCAACUUCAAUACAUUUAGUAAAAUAAUCAAUGGCUACCACCGCGUAUUUCAUUUGGCCUCUCCCGGUUGGCAUUGGUUUGAUAAGAUCCACCCCCCAUUGUGCAAAUGGCCAAGUGCUCCCCAUUGUCAUCAUGUUUUCUGGUGGUUGUCUUACAAUUACGACGAACUUCUGGCAUUCAUCACAUCUCCGAACUAACUCUUGUGCAUCUUCAUGCAUGGUCGACCAAAAAUAACCAUACCUUAUUAUUUUAUGGGCCAAUGCCAUACCUCCGCUGUGAUUUCCACAAAUUCCCAUAUGCACCUCUCUCAUCACAUAGUUGGCAUCAGCUGAGCCCAAACAUCGCAGGUAAGGUAAAGUGCAACUUCUCUUAUAAAGCACAUCUUCGAUAAUGGAGUACCGUGUUGCCUGGCAUCGCAGCCUUCUUGCCUCUGCUUUAUCUUGAGGUUGUUCCUCAAAUUCAAUAUACCUCAUGAUAGGCACCAUCCAGUUCUUCUCAUCUUUUACCAUACAAACUUUCAUUUCAGAAUUAACUAUUGGCUUUGAAACUGACUCCAAUGGAAUUCCUCGUUGGAACUUUGGGCAUUCUAUAACUGCCAGUCUUGCUAUAUAACCUGCUCAGUAAUUCUUUCCCCUCAGAACUUUCUCCAUUGUAGCGUGAUCAAAACUACCACAUAACAGUAGUGCUUUGCUCAGAUACUUGGACAUGUUCUCACUUUUGGCUUGAAAUGUCCCAUUCUAGUAGUUCACUACCAGUUGAGAGUCACUUUUCACCUUCAAAUGCCAAACUCCCAAUGCUCUUGCUAAUUUUAGACCCGCACUGAGAGCUUCGUAUUCUGCUUCAUUGUUUGUAGGAUGGAAUUCAUACUUGAGAGAGUAGCAUACUUCUUCCUGGUCGGGUGAAACAAGAACAAUUCCCCUGCCUGACCCUUAUGGGUUUGCAGCUCCAUCUACAUUAAGCUCCCAUACAUCAUUCUUCUUCUCUGCCUCUUUAAUCUCCUGCUCGGCAUCCAUCUCUUCACUCCCUUCACUGCAAUUAUUAAUGAAGUCGACCAGAGCUUGUGCUUUAAUUGCUGACCUCGAUUGGUAACCGAUGUCGAAUUCACUUAGUUCUACUAACCACUUAACUAGUCUUCCUGAAAUGUCUUAUUUUUGAAAAAUUGAUCUCAAAUGUUGAUUAGUGACUACCACGAUCUCAUGAGCUUGAAAAUAUGGCCUCAGCUUUCUUGUAGCUACAACAAAAACCAUUGGCCACUUUUCUGCAAUAGGAUAUCUUACUUUUGCCCCUGUAAGAGAUCUGCUCAUGUAGUAUACAAGUUGUUGUACUUCAUCUUCUUCUUUUACCAUGACUGAGCUAGUUGAAUAAUUUAAGACCACCAAGUAGAUCAAGAGAACAUCACCCACUAAGGGCUUAGCCAAAGUGGGUACAUUGGCCAAAUAUGCCUUUAAUUGUUGAAAUGUUGUCUCACAUUCUUCCAACCACCUCAAUCUUUUUCCUUUCUUCAUCAAUUCAAAAAAUGGAUGGCAUUUCUCUGAUGAUUUCAAAAUGAACCUACUCAGCGCAGUAACCUUUCCAGCUAAGCUCUGAACAUCUUUAAGAUCCUUCGGCGACCUCAUCUUGGGGAUGACUUCUACUUUUUUCAGAUUAGCUUCUAUCCCCAUUUGACUAACUAGGAAGCCCAAAAAUUUCCCUGAUUCCACUCCAAAGGCACACUUUUCCGAAAUCAACUUCAUCUUAUCUUUUGUAGCACUUCAAAUGUCUUACGCAAAUGCGUUGUAUGUUCCGCCUGCUCAACAUACUUGGUUAUCAUGUCAUCUAUAUAUACCUCCAUCAUUUUACCAAUCAAGGGCUUGAAAAGCUUGUUUACCAACCUUUGAUAAGUAGCUCCAGUAUUUUUUAAUUCGAACGACAUCACAUGGUAGCAAUACAAUCUUUGGUCGGUCACAAAAGCUGUCUUUUCUUCACCUGCUGUGGACAUACGAAUCUGGUUGUAUCCUGAGAAUGCAUCCAUAAAACUCAUUAAGUCAUGCCCGAUUGUUGAAUCCACUAACUAAUCAAUCUUUGAGAGAGGGAAACUAUCUUUAGGACAAGCUUUGUUGAGGUCGGUAAAGUCUACACACAUCCUUCAUUUUCCAUUCGCCUUUUUAACCAUUACCACAUUCGAAACCCAUUCUGGAUAGUUCACUUCCCUUAUAAAUCCCACUUUCAACAAUUUAUCUACCUCAUUAUGGAUGGCCGCAUACCUUUCCUGGUUGAACACUUUUCUUUUCUACUUCAUUGGCCUAUGUUUUUUAUCUAUAGCCAACUAGUGACACAUGAUUCGUGGGUUUAUUCCCAGUAUAUCUUCAUGUCUCCAAGCAAAUAUGUCAUUAUACUCCACCAAUAAAUUCUGAAGCUCAUUAAAAAUGUCAUCUGUUAUCUUUGUUCCCACUCUUACUACUCUGCUCGGAUCAUCCUCACUUACUGGUACUUGUUUCAUUUCUUCAUUAGGUCGCUAUUGGCAUAACCUAUUUUCAGCUCGUGGAUCGAUACUUGUGAUCUUCAUGGAUUCUCUCACAAUUUUAGUGUAACAGCUUCGAGCCACUUAUUGUUGGCCUAUCAUCACUCCAACUCCACCUUGAACUCUAAAUUUCACACAUUGCAUAUAAGUUAAGCUCACUACUCAUACUAUCCUAUUGAACGGUCUGCCCAAAAUAACUUGAUAAGGGCUAAGCUCAUCAACUACCAACCAUGUCACUAUCACUGUCUUUUGUAGUGGGUUGGACCCUAUUGUCAGCGGCAAGUCAAUCAACUCAAGUGGAAUCAGCUCAAAUCCACCAAACUCCUUUAGCGAUGUUCUGACGGGAUCAAGCCUGAGGUCUCCUAUUUGUAGAUCAUCCAAAGUUUGCUUAAACAAAAUGUCUACCGAGCUUCCCCCAUCUACAAAAGCUCGAUUCAAUUCUUGCCCUGCCAAGACAACCUUCACUACAAGCAUAUCCUCAUGUGGAUGUACGAUCGCUUCCUCGUCCUCGUCCGUGAACAUGAUCGACACCUUGUGAAUCCGCUGCUUCUUUAGUGCCAGAAUAUUAAAAUUCACCUCGAAACUUUUUAGUGAAUAUCUGCUAUAAUUUCUCCUCAAGCGGUUUGAGUCUCCUGCUAAGGUCGGCCCUCCUAUAAUCAUCAUCGCUAUAUUAUCUCUAAUGUCUUCUCUUCUCCCACCUCUUCUUUGGUCAUCCACAUACUUCUUUAGAUAUUGAUUUUACACUAGCCAUUCAAUUUGUUCCUUCAAGUCUAUGCAAUCUACAGUUCCAUGUCCGGUCACCUUGUGAAACUCACAAUACUUGUGGUGAGCAUUUCCACUCAAACCCCCUACAAUCGGCUUUGGCAGUGUUAGUAACCCCUUAUCUUUUAUUGUAACAUAUAUUUCUACUUUGCUUAUGUUUAGUUGUGUGUAUCUUCCACUCUGUUAUAAUAAAUUCACCCCAUUAGCAGGUCUCGAUCCUCUUCGGUCUACAGGUGGUGGCAACCUAUUGUAAUCUUAUACUUGGCUCUCCCGUUGGUUCCUCUCAUAAUUAUUUCCUCCCUCUCGACCCCUUCCUACUAAUGAGAUUUUUCUUCUUUCAUGAUUUCCUUCCUAAUUUUGACUCGGCCUUUCUGGUUGUCUAUAAUUGAACAAUCCUUUGUCGUAAUGAUGCUUAUCAUUCGUGUUCAUCCUCGAGCUAUACCCAAAGUUAUCUCAUCUUCUUCUCAGGUCCCCCCUUCUCAUCGGAUCCCAUGUCUGCAUUUCCAUUCUCCUUGUUUCUUCCUCUGCAUCUUCAAUUUUCAUAUCCAAAUUUUCCUGGUCAUACGCCUCAGUAUAUGUUGUUAUCCUCUUACUAUAUGAGUUAUUCCACAAUCGAUUGAUUCUCAACCCUUUCUUUAAUCCCUCUAGAGCAUCUGGAUGAUCAAAGGCCCCUAGAUCAGUAAUCUCUUUAUGAUACCUGGUCACAAAACUCCUCAAACUUUCAAAUUCUCGUUGGACUAAUUUUUUUCAAUCUACUCGUAUCUUACUCUAGUAUGCAUGAACAUCUAAAACGCACAGCGAAAAGCUCACAUAACUCAUUGAAAUUUUCUAUGCUUCCCUUCUUUAAUCUCUGGUACUACUCCCGUGCUCGUCCUUCUAAGGUUAAAGGAAAAACACGACACCUUUGAAAAUUAUUCAAACCUUGGAUCCCGGUCAUCUUAUUAAACUUCUCCAUAUGAUGAUUCGGGUUAGUUUUUCCUUCAUACACCAAGGCUGGAACCACAUACUUAGAUGGCAAAGUUACCGCCAUCACUUUACGUACUAAGAGGGACUUGUCAUCAAGUAACAACCUUCCUACCACUUGCUUGCCCUCUGUUUUCGCCUUUAAUGCCUCUAAAGUUUUUUAAAAUUGCAGCAUUCGCUGCUCAAGCUCAUUUGCCUGGUGGGGGUCUCUCAGCUCUUCCCUCUCUCUUUCUUGAUUCAAGUCAUUGAUUCUCUAUCUCAACUCAUUCACUUGUUCUCCUACACUUCUAUUUUCUUGUCGUACCCCAACUUGUGGUAGUCCCAUUCUGCUCUACUGUUCACCACCAAGCUCUUCCCUCUCUCGCGCUCCACUACUCCCUGGGUCACUAGCUCGAACUUGAGCCCCUCUGACUUGGGCAUUAAUCAGCCCCCUAACCAUCUCCUCAAAUUUUGCCAUGUGCCUCUCGAUCCAUUCUCUCCAUCUCUUAUCAGCCCCCUAACCCUGUCUGGUAUGCUAGCUCUGUUCAUUGAAAGCAAAAGCAAUGGAAUCUUUGACCUUACUGCCACAAGAUGAUUGUCAUGGAAGGCACCAAAGUUUCCAAGUAUGUAUGCAUAUCACACACAUACUUGCAUGUAUGUAUAUCACAGAUAAAAUUUGUAUCCCAGGGUUAUAAAUGUGAAUUACUCAAAUAAAUAUGCAUUAUUAAUCAUGUCCGAUGCUCUCUUAUUUCUUCAACGAGAUUUAGAGAAAGUACUAAAUCCUUUGUAAAAUUUUAUAUUUAAUAUAUCUUCAUUUUAAAACUACAUCCAUAUCCCGCAGAAAUUUGGGGAUCUUUUUAGCAUUAUUUUUUAAGAAAUGCAAAAUGAUAAAGAGUUCUAACCGUGACAUAAGGGUGACAAAAAUAAUAGUAAAUUGUGUAAUGUUACAAUGUUAAUUCAAAAAUAGUUAUAAUUUUUUAUUUAAUACUGUAAAUAAAAUUUACAAUUGUUUUGUCAUCAUUGUAUCAUUCUUUGAUUCAAAUAUCAGUAUUAAAUGAACCCUCACCUUUUUGAAAGGAUUACAUCUUAAGAAACUAUUUAUAAUUAUUUUCAUUUGAGUCCUUAGUGUUAAAAAUAUAACAAUGAAAUUAAUGAUAGUCGAAUUCCAAGUAGGAAUGACAGAAAAAUCCGGUCUAACUAGAGCAUGUUUUCUAAGUACUCUGGCUGGACUUGGACUUUGGUUUAAAAGCCCGAACCCAACCAGAAAGCCCAAAAAAUAUUGAAAAUUUUAAAAAUCUAUAUUACUUUAAUUAAAAUACAACUUUUUACAUAUAUGUAAUCCACUUAUAGCAUAUAUUUAAAGUUUUAAGUUAUUUGAACCCAACUAUUAAAGCCUGAUCUAACAAAGAAAAAACUAAAUUUUAUAAACUAUAAAAUUUGUAAAAUAUAAUGAAAAAAGUUUUUUAAAAAAAUACAGAAUGUAUACUUCAAGCUUUUUGGCUUGCCUUUGGAAAAAAAAAAACCAAUGUUUUGUCAUCCCUAAUUCCAAGCCUUAAAUACUUCUCCAAAUGUAUAGUACAAUAUUGUAUAAUAGGACCAAUCACAUGGAGAUGAUUUGUAAAUUUUUGCAUGCAAUUUUAAUAUGCACAUCAGAAGAGAGGCAGCAAUCUUAGUUGAUACUUUUAUUUGACAUAUGAUGUAAGAAAUGAAACAAAGAUUGUAACGUUACAAAUUUUGCAAUUCAGCAUCCAAAAUAUCACUAGAACUUGCAAUACAAGCUUUAAUCUCUUCAACAACACAUUGAAUUGCGUCCAGGAACACAAACAAAAAUAUAGUUAAUUAUGCAUGCAUUAAAAAGAUGAGGAAGAGAAGAUUAAGGAACAACAUGAGGCCACCAAGAGAGUGAUGAAAAAUGUGGAUUUAAGUUUAAGUUCCACAAUGUUUAUGUAAGCAAAAGUGAAAAACUGAGAGUCUGAGGAUAAUGAUAUUAUUAAAUUUAAUAUGGGUUUGGUUCGUUUAGAUUCAUGAGUUUCUCUAGACAGUAUAUAUGGGGAGGCCAAAACUACUUUGCAUUGUAGGUUUUGUACACCACUCAUUUGUCAUUUACCAAAGUCACCGUUGGAUUUCAUCUGAUGGCUAGAAAAGAAACACAUAGAGAAAUAGGAGUAACUAGAAAAACAAAUAAUGGGCCGGUCACCUAGAUUGGUAAUUGAGCAUAGGGAAAUUAAAAAAAUUAACCUAAAAAUUUAUGAAUUAUUGGCUACUUCCAGCAAAAAUCUAAACCAGCAGUUUUUGAUCAAGCAAAUAAAUUAAUGGCAACAACAACGGCUAAUCGAUGCCGCGACGACAAUGGCUACUUCCAGCAAGAGCGGCCUCUUUAAUUUGAGUUAGUUCGCUGAGUUUAUGUCCAAAUUCUUAAAUGGAUAAUGGAUUUAUUGUUUUAGUACUAAUUGUUGAUGAUUAUAGGUUAGAUCUUGUUGAGCGAUUAGUUUUGUAACAUUAAGCUUGAACUAGGAAUGAAAAUUGAUAAAAUGCUUAUGGAAAUAAGUUUGUUAAAUAUGACAAUACAAAUGUUUGCUAAAUGCCUCAAAGAAUACAAUUUUUUGUAUAGGCUUAAUUUUGCUAUUAUUUUACUUGAAUGAAUAUUUAAGAAGGUUGCAACUAGUAUUGUGGCUUGAAUAUAGGCAAUGGUAUGGUGUUAUAGGUGAUUAUGAGCAAAAGUUGUUUGUCACGAUAAACUUAUAAGUGAAAACCUUCUUUUUCUCAAACAAAACCCAGAUUAAGAAGAUUCAAUACUUCAUCAUAGCUUUCAGAAAACAGUAUCAAGACAAUAAUGCCAAGAACCAUCGCCUGUAAACUUUAUCCGUCGGAAAAAUCGCAAAUGAUGCUUACACGUACAAACUUUUUUUUUCGAUUUACAGGUGCUACGCCUUCAGCUGGUUACCCAUUUUCCAAAUGUUAAAUCUCAAUUGUUAGAUACAUUUCUUCACAUUCUAAAGGCUCAUUCGCUAUAAGACAAAGGACUAGGGUACCAAAGUCAUGAUGCAAGAUAGCUGGAUCCUAUAUGGGGGAAAUUUAAUCCAUUUGACAACUAAAAAAUUCAGAAAUCAGACCUCAAUUUGACAAAUUAGAAAUUGAAACAAUUAAUUUUGUUCCAUAUGCAUGCAGAAAAUUAGAUGUAUGUAACUUGUCAUAUGAUAUAUAUAUUCUAUCAGGUGGAAGAUUUUCCACUUCAUUUGUAUGAAAUAUAUGGUAUCAAUCAAUAAAUUCUUAUUUUGUUAUAUAUACUAAUAGUAUCUUAUAGUAAACUAAGAAAUAUUAAAGAUCUUCUAGUGUGUUUUUGAGUUGUAAAAUGUUUUUUUUAAAAAUUGAGUUGUAAAGUAUAAUUAACUAUUUUGUGUUCCAUUACAGGUAUUAUGAAAGGUUUUUGAAGUUUUUAGAUGUUUUUUGACCCAUUUGUCAAUAAGUGAAACUAUUAGCACCACUUUAAACUCCUCAUAAAACCUUUCUUCUAAAAAUACACCAUUAAAAACAUAUGUAAAUCACAGUACUUUUAACAACACCUAUGUUAAUUCCACAAAUAACCUUAUAUAUUCUUUUUUCUUAAAAAAUCAUAUGAAAACAAAAAUCUUUUAGUACAAAACCUUUUCACCAAUUCAAUCUGAAGCCCUUGUUCGGUCCAUGAGAAUCAACUUUUCAAUUUAGAACUGUUUGAGCUUCUUUUUCCAAGUUUUUAUUCUUAUUCUUAUAUAUAAAUGAGAUUCUUAUAAUAUAGAAUUCAUUUUAUUACUUUAUUUUAUCAUUCCAUGGGAAAAGAUAUCAAAACAUUACUAUGAAGUAAGUUAAACUAGUAGAAAGUAGAAUCUAAAAACUAGAUAAGAAAUAUUCUAGGCCAUCCUCUUGAGUGGAUCUAUUUUAAUUCCACAAACGUCCUUGUACACUUCUUUCUCACUAACUUUACUAUGAGAGAGAGAAAAAAGAAUUAAAUAAAUAUUUCUUUUAUACUAAAAAAGAUUGUUUGAAGCUAAUCCAAUAUUAUUUUAUACUCUGAAUGUGACAAUUCACAUACUUUUAUAUGAACACGUAAAUUGAUAAAAUCAAGAGAACAAGUAGCCAUAAAAAAAUAAGCCUUUCAUAAUUUGAAAAUAAUGAACUAAAAUUUCAGUCCACCAGAAACCACUAAUUUAAGAAUAAAAAUAAAAAUAAAAAACAUUUUCACUAAAACAACAAAAUUAUCUUUUAUUUAAUAAAAAUAAAACCCAUGUGGGGUUAGAGGAAGAUAGAUGAAUAGUCAAACGUGAUUUGAUUAAAGUUAAAAAUAUAAAUUUAAGAUAUAAGAAUUCUUUUGGAGGUGCCAAUAGCUCCACUCUAUUCUCUUUUUGUAGUUCUGCAAGUUUUAAACACAGGGUUCUAUGAAGGUCUUAGAGGGUGCCGAUAGCUUUCAUUAAUGUGCAUAUAGGUUAAACAAUAUCAAAUUAUUAGAUGGACCUUACUACCUUGCAGAUUCUGUGAGGUACACCUCUCUAAUAAGAAUGGAGCGUGUCUCACUUAAGACCACCUUUAUUUUACUUAUUUUGGAUGGACGUACCUUACAGAAUCUAGGUACCGUCUUCUUAUUUGAUCCAAUGUAAUCAAACAAUCUAAUCUAAUUGACUUGCUGCUUUAUGUUAAUAUAUAAUUAUGUUUUCUUUCAAUUGUUCUAAUAGUUGAGAGUUUUAUCGGGAAGAUAGCUCGAAAAUCAGCACUAAUUCCUACUCAGAAGGGAGGGGAAAUAAAUUGUGAUAGAAAAUAAAUUAUUUGAGUGCUCUGCGAGUCGAAGACCCACUCUCAGAUAAACAACUAUCUUUGUAAAGCAGAGCAGAAUUUAGAAAUGUCAUUCUUCUCAUUGGGUCAUUUCUUCAAACGUCCUCCGUACAAACAACUCACCCGCCAUCAGAAUCUAUUUCCGCUCAUAAAUCAAAAACCCAGAACCCAAUCAACAGCACCCUCUUCCGUUCUCAUAAAAGUUUUAGCCCGUUCUUCUUAUCUCUCAGUUCGCAUUUGCUGUCAAAAACAUGCCUUAGUGAGUUUCACUUUUUUUACUUGUCUGUGUUUUUAAGCAUUUUGAAUUAGUAAUUAUUUGGCAUUAAAAUUGAGGUGCCUUAACUUGUGUUGUCAGGAUAUGUUUUCUGAAGCUCUUCUAUGUUUCGGUGCAAGUUCUACAAGCGUGGAUGAACAUGAUAAUGAUGCUGAUGAGAAUUCUGAUGAGGUUGAAACUUUAGUUUUUAAUUUCUUCUUUUUUCUUUUCUUUGAUUAUUGAUUCAUGUCUUGUAAAGGAUCUUGAGAGCAACAAUAAACAAGAAAUGAAACUCAUUUCCCAUUUGCAAAUUGGCUUCUAUUUGUGUUAAAAAUGUGCUUCUAAUUUCCAAUGUAAUGUUACCAGUUAGCCUUAGAUUUUUGUUGACUUUGUUGGUUCACUUGCUAGAAAGGUAGCAAGAGGAAAAAAUUAAUAAUAAUACUAAAUAAGCACAAAAUUUUCAAUGUUUGGUAUGGAAUUGAAAAUUGUCUUCUUUCUGUGUUAAAAGAGUGCCUCGAAAACGCCAUUAUAAUGUUACUAGCUGGUCUUAGAUUUUGUUGAAUGUAGAGUGGCUUCUGAAUAAAAACUAUAGUUGUUUUAAGUAUUACUUACAGAUUGCUUUUAUGCAGAUCUAUAUUUAUUCCAUAUUUCCUGAAUGCGAAGACGUGGAUGAGUGCAUAUUAAAUGCUGCUAAUUCCAUUGGCUCGAAAGAGACACCGCGCUAUGAAGUUAAAAUGGGCGAGCAAUGCAAUUGGAUAAAGAAAACUCAGGUUUGUUUGCUCUCCUUUUUCUCUCUAUCACAACGGUAUAAUUGGAAUUAUUGUUAUGUCAAUUUGAUUAUGUUUUCUUACAUGUUGCAGGAGUCAUUUCCUCCCGUUGAGGUGACAAAAUGACUAUGGAUUGUGCCCGAGUGGAGUACACCACCAAUAUGAUUAUGUCACUCCCUUGGGAGGUUUUGUUGCAGUAAUUUCUCAUCUUUUAUAGGGUACCCUCUUCUUCAUUGCUUCCGUAGAAGUCAUAUCAGCUAGUUGCUUCCGAAUCUUUAAAUUUCUUCAAUGAGGAACCUUCGUUUGGAAAAUUGAUUUUCAUCUUAUUCGAGAAGGUUGCUUUGAAGGAGAGAGCUUAUGAAAUGCAGCAAGCAAAAUCAUAACUACAAAGCAGUAGACUAAUUGUUAGCUGACUCUAAGCAAAGGCAACAUUCAUAAAAGAUGAAGAAGAGUUUCUAAUAUUUACCAAUAUAACUUAUAGCAAGUGCACAGAAUAGAGCCAUAUGAACAUUCAGGAGCAUAAGAACAACCAAUGUAGCUGCAAAGAUGAGAUGUAAUUACUACCGUGAAGACGAGGAAAGAAUUCCAUUAUUUAUCAACAGCUAGACUGUAGUAUAAUGGAAAGACUUGCUAAGGAAAGUUUAAAGCAACACUCAUCCAGAGAAGGCAAGAACAAGUAUAGAAGCAAAAGUGCACACAUUCAUAUAUAGGGGUAACGAGUAAUGUAUCAUAAAUCACUUGCUCUAGCUCAGGAAAAAAAAAACAACGCAAAAUUGCAAAUUCAUAGUGUUGUUAUUUAUCAAUUGGAACCCAGAAAAAAAAAAUCUAUACUUAAUUAUUCAUUUAAGCAGAUUGAAACCCUUACAAACACAGGUAAGCAAAUCAAAAUUAUCAUUAAAAAUCCAAUCAAGGCCACAUAAAUCUAAUCACAUCCAAAACCAUCCCAAAAUCUCGUUCAAAAUUCAUAUACCCACAUACAAAAACCAUUCAGAAAAGGAAACUAAAUUCUUACAGAGAGCAAGCAAAGAAGAGGAUGAACAAAAAAACAGAAUUCCUGGCAUAAAGUUUAACAUUCUCAUGAACUCUUAACUUAAGGGUGUGUGGGGAAGAGGGAAACGAGUAAGACCCAAGAGCCCCAAUAAACUCACGGGUCCAAGAUGGGGUCUUGGCUGAGAAAUCAUCAGUGGUGAGUUUAGCAAAAGGGUUGACGAUAAGAAGAGCGACAAAGGUGUAUAAAUAAUGUAAAAGGCUGUGAGUUAUGGUCGUGGCUGUGGCUGUUUCUUUGGUGGAGGCUGUUGUGACGGCGGUGGCCGACGUGGUUGUGGCGGUGUUGAGGAUUUCGAGGUAGCCUGAGUCGAUGGAAUUGCAUGGGAUAUAUCCCGUUUCCUUCGUAAUACCUAAAAUAUACCUCAAUCUAUUAAAAUUUAUAACUUUACACAUACAUACUUAAAUAAAUUAGGGAAAGUACAAAAAUAGCCUCAAUAAAAUACCAAUAAAAAAUUAAUACUCGACUCAUUCAAUCUACUUACUCGACUUUUUACUCGACUCAAUGCUCAACUUACCAGAUUUUGUACCUGACUUCGUACUCGACUAGAUACUCGACUUAUUCAAUUGCCUUCACUUCUUACUCGACUGAAUGCUUAACUUACCAUACUCCAUACCCGACUUCGUACUCAAUUAGAUACUCGACUUAUUUAAUUGCAUUCACUUCUUACCGACUGAAUGCCCAACUUACCAGACUUCAUACCCGACUUCGUACUUGACUAGAUACUCGACUUAUUCAAUUGCCUUCACUUCUUGCUUGAUUGAAUGCUCAACUUACCAGAUUUCACUUUUUUAAAAAUAUUAAUACUCGACUCAAUGUACUUACCCGACUUAAUACUCGACCUCUUUAAAAAUUACAUAUAUUUUACUCGACUUGUUAAAAAAAUUUAUUUGACUUUUACUUAAUACUCAACUCAUUUAAUAUGCUUACUCGACUUCCUACUAGACCAAUUCUUACUCGACUAAAUUCUCGACUUACUCGACUUCGUACUCGACUUCUUCCUGCACUAAGAGGAAGAAAUGUGUGGAUUCUUAGUUUUUUUAAGGUUAUUUUUUACUUUUCCUAUCUUCGUGAGGUAUAUAUAUGUAAUAGGGUAUAAAUUUGGUAUUUAAAGAUAAAUUAGGGAUAUUUAAAUAAAAAACCCUCCUGAGUCACGUAGCCAUGACUCGAAUGUUGGGUCGGGUACAUUUAGAGAUAGUGGGUUGGAUGCGAAUACCUUCCCCAUUAGAGAGAGCUAUCCAACUUUGGUUGAAUGAGAGUCCCUAAAUUAUCAAAAUAUUAAUAAUUAACUAAUUUGUAAAAAAAUUCAUAUGAUAUGAUGAUAUAGGGCUUGGUUUGUGGUUUUCUAAGCACAUUAUUAUUAUUAUUAUUCUUUUAAUCACUCCAAGUUUAAAUUUGGAAGAGGUAGAGGAUAUAAAUAAAUGAUAUUAGAAUUUGCCGAUUUGCCAAUAAAACUUCGGUAUUAUAUGCUAAUUUUUUUUAAAGAAUUUUCUUUUAGUAUUGUUUUGAGAAAAUAAAUAAAGGUGGUCAAUUUAAUAUACUUGAUGAUUGGGGUGAGCAUCGGAAACUCUAAAGGGUACUUAAUGUUGAGACAAAUUAGAAGAAAACCCUUUGUAUAACCAUUUUUAUAUUGAAGAGAAGGGAAAAAAAGUAUAUGAAAUUGGAUAAAUAAUUAAAAGUUGAAGAAAUUGGUUAAAACGAGAAACAUACAUCAAAUUCAACGGGGGCUAAUCAAAUUCCGUAAGGAUAUAGUUGAAUGCCGCACUGUUCCUUAUACUCAAAUUCCCGUAGCUUUUGUCUCAACUCUGGCUGAGGCCACCAGCAAUCGAACUUGUUUAAGCUCUUUAUGCACCAGAGUUGUUUAGGCAUCUUUUUCAAGUAAGCACAAGGGUUGAUAAUCAAGCAUUCUAGUUUUGGCAUGGCCCUAGUCCCCAUAGUCCACUCCUCUAGCCAUAGCAUUGAUUUCAGGUGCAACACCUUAAGCCUUGGAAAACCAUCAGAACCACAAGUCAACUUUCUACCUAAAUACGAGUUUUGCUUCAGUUUGAGCACUUGAAGAAGCGGCAACUUUUCUAGUGCCGGCAUGGGAUCAUCCAUUAGGUCAGUAUUAGAAAAACUCAAGUGGGUUAGACUAUGAGGAAAUAGGUAUUCAGCAAGGACGAUUUUGGAGAGCCGUGGCAUCUUGCUUUCAUUCGCCAACUUCAAUCACUCGAGACAGCUCAAUCUGCAGAGACUUUUCGACAGCAAAGAUUGAUCAUAACUUAAAUCUCCCCGUAUUCAGAGAUUUUGAAGAUUAGGUAGCCUGCCCAAUAGAUCUUCAGUACAGCAGCAAGGGUGCAAGGCUGAAAUGAAAUUUAGAUUUUCUAGAGAGCCACAGUAUUUUCCUGGAUGCGCAGGAAGUGUGAUUGACCCAAAAUUUAGAUGUCUGAGUUUGUUCAUCUUCCAAAAUUCAUCUGCCGUAUGAUCUAUAUAGCUAAAGGGCAUGUCUAGGGUGUAGAGGUUCAGAAGAUUGCUUAAUAAUGAGGAAGGCAGGCUUUUGAGGGAAGGGAUAUUCAACUUCGGAUGAGAACAAGAGAUCCCAAGUCCAAUAAUGAGGAAGGCAGGCUUUUGAGGGAAGGGAUAUUCAACUUCAAAUAUCUCAAAAGAAAUAAAUUUUCAAUUCCGGAUGGAUACUGGAUGAGAACAAGAGAUCCCAAGUCCAACACUCUGAGAAGUUUGAACAUUCCACAAAUUUUCUCCCAAUCCAUGGGGUCAAAGUGGCGGCUUUCUGGAGAACAGCACAACAAAGAAUGCAGUUGCGAGUCAUAAUAAUCUAAGUAAGCAAAAUCUUCCUGUCUUUUAACAGCGUUUAACCGUUUGACUUUUUUUGGUGAUUUACCUUUUGGAUCCAUGAAAGGGGAAACGAUGAAUUCCACCAUAUAAUGAACUGUGAGAAGCACGGGACGCCAACGACCAGGAAUAGAGCAUGUGUUGAUAGUGCCUCCGGCUUUUCUCUUCUUUGCUUCAACAAAGCCUUCCUUGAUAAGUUGUUCCAAGUAACUCUCAGCAGUUGCCUCACUAUUGUCUGGAAUGAAACCUUCAGCUAUCCACAACUGAUAUAACUGCCUGGUGGAUAUCUCUAGGUGUGCGGCAAACACAGAUAAGUAGAGAAAACAAAGUUUCAAGCAAAAAGGUAAGCUGCAAUAUUUGAAGUGCCGAAGCACAAGGGGUAUCCCCACUGCUUUCCCUAUAUUUUCUUCUAAUGAGAUGUUUCCAUGAUAUAAGAUGAGGAAAGUCCAUCCAUUAUAUGUAGCUCUCAAUGGUCCUCCAGUGAGCACUAAAUCAAGCCCAAUGUUCUCUCCAUCUUCGAGCUUAAAUGAGGUGACCAUCUCAAUUUGAGUGAGUGUUAUUAAUACUCUACUUCUAUUAUGAUUAUCCGGAAGUAUUUCUCGAAUAACAUCCCACACACCAAUGGUCCAUACAUCCUCAAUCACAAUCAAAUACCGCUUGGUCAUUAGAUAUUCAUGAAGAAUUAUUUUUUUCAUUUCAUAAUUUUUAUCCAUGAUUUCACUCAACCUAGAUGAAGGCAUCAGAAACUUAAUAACGAUAUCUAAUAUUUGGUCAGCGUAACUAAUAUCUGGAAUCCAAGCGUGACAAUCAAAAUAAUGCUUCACAUAACUACUGUUGUAAGCCUCUGUGGCGAAAGCCGUCUUGUCCAACCCAAUGCUAUCAAGUAUGGCCACCACGGAAAGCUGAGGUGGUCCCUCGAUCAAUAGAUCUAACAACUCCUCCAUUCUAUCAUCUAGACCCACCGUGUCCCUACUUUUAGAAGAUGAAGAUAUACCGGCUUCAG
This 111810-nucleotide long non-coding RNA is filed under the name Citrus sinensis (sweet orange). Its description in RNAcentral is "long non-coding RNA (CSIN_LNC000105)". Lineage: Eukaryota; Viridiplantae; Streptophyta; Magnoliopsida; Sapindales; Rutaceae. The record is from RNAcentral.